Molecule: long non-coding RNA, 96865 nt
Filed under: Hordeum vulgare
Lineage: Eukaryota; Viridiplantae; Streptophyta; Magnoliopsida; Poales; Poaceae
Description: long non-coding RNA (HVUL_LNC005035)
Source: RNAcentral
CCCAAUUCGGGCGCUCGAUUCCUGGCUUCGCCUCGAGACGAUCUCACCUGUUGUUGAGGCAUGACGGCUUGCAAGCAGACCGCAUCCACGGGCACCGAUGUAACCAUGGACGAGGCCGACAGCAAGUAAGAAUCGAAACUGAAUCUUGUUUCUGUGAUGCAAGAGACAUCCCUAGUUUCGGUGCAUCGAGCCGCGGAUCCAUAACCUUGGAUUCUUACGCAGCUCGGCAGCGAAGAGAGAUGGAGCGGAUGAGCGGAAGCCCCGGACCAAGUGCAGGAAGGGGAAGAAGGUCAAGGACAAGUAAGAUUCCAACCGAUUUGUGUGAUGCAAUAGAGGUUAAUUUUGGUGCGUCGACCCAUGACCUUCUCGAUGUUCCACGCAGGUUGGCGGUGAAGAGCAAUGGAGCGGAGAAGCCCAAGACCCACGACCUUUCCGAUGUUACACGCGGGUUGGCGGCGAUGAGCAUUGCAAUGGAAAAUCCGUUGGAUGAACAGCUCGCCAAGCUCGCCCUUUUCACCUACCAGUGAGAUUUGAUCCUCCACGUUUUUUCAGAUUGUUUUUCCUUUUUUUGCUUUUCUGGACGGCGCUGAUUUGACCAUGAUUUGGUUAGGGACGUCUUCUGGAUGGACAACUUCAAAGGCGUCUAUGACAAGCCGUCCGUAGAUGCUGUCAGUUCGAUCCUUCAUUGCCUCGUAACCGAUUUGUUUCGACUGUUUCGUGGAUGAAUCGAUAAUUUGUUUCUUGUGGAAAAUUUUCAGAUUAGAAAGAAAGCUGCUGAAAACUGGGAAUUCUUUAACGAUUCGGUAAGACAGCCAGCUUCUAAUCUUCUGUAACUUUUGCCAUGCUGAUUAAUGUUUUACAUGGAUGGAUCUGUGUUGCAGGACAAGGCCCCUUACGUAGCCAUUGCACGUGUGAACGAAAUACUCCUUGCUGAGGCUUAUGAGUUCAAGAAGGUUGAGACAAAGACAUGGCGGUUUUACCUAUUUUUAGAUGAUUUACUGUGCAAAGCUAAGCAUCCUUUGCAAAUAUAAUGCUCUUUCAUCACAUAUAUUAUUUCCAAUAACAAUAGAUAAUCUCAUCUACUUUACCUUCCAUUGAAAGAAUAAUUAAACUGAUUUUGUUUGCACAUUUAAUUUUCUUUCUUGUUGAUCCAUCUUCACCUUGAGCUUUUAUAGAUUUCUUUCCCUUAUAGACACUGAAGUUGACGCUCGGGAUGACGAACAAGAUGACGAAUCUGAAAAUGUGAACACACAAGAUCUCUAAGAUGUGUUUGAAUAGGUGAUUUGCAUUUUUCCUUUUGCUAUCUGUAUAUCUUUUGGAUUGGUUACUCAAUUAGCAGGGGUCAUGCAUGUACUCUUGUUUUGUUUUUCAUAAGUGGAUUUUUAGGUCCGGGGAUCCCCGCACCCCCUUAUCUGUACCAUUCAUUAAGAAUAUGGCACUUUGAGAUUUGUGCGCCUCACUAUAGUCAAUGAUUCCGUUAGCAGUUUUUUUUUGCCUCAUUAAGCGCAGGAAUCUAUACUACUAAUAAAAGAUCAAACGAAAACUUCUCUAAAUACACACAACUAUUACCCCCACAAAAACAAACACCAAUCACUACCACACAAUUAGACAACAAAUUACAAUCUAACGGCCUUCCACCAUCCAUGCACCACCACCGUGUGCAUUUACCAAAUUAAGUAAGGCUGACCGUGCUCCACCUCCUCCUACAGCGAAAAUCUGUUGCACCUCCACGAGCCAAUCAAGUACAGAAAUUUAGGAAGAAUUAACGGGAGCCAGUCGCCCUGGCCUGCACCUUCGCCGUCGCCUCCGCGUCCAACUCCCCCUCCGGGGGGCCCCGUCCGCCUCCUCCUCCCCCUCGUCGCCCGCCGUGUCCCCCAUCUCUGUCGCCGCCACCGCCCGUCGUGUCCCUCAUCUCUGUCGCCGCCGCCGCCGCCCACCGCGUCCCCAUCUCGGUCGCCGGUGGCCUCCACCUCCACUACAUGCAGGAGAGCCGCCAUGCGGAUCCCUACAGAUCGAUGCAUCUUAGUGGGUUUCCUCGGUACCGGAGAAUAAUCGCGCCGGCGACGAGGCCGAAGGUGGGGCGGGUCGACCAAGAAUCGUCCAUCCUUGAGGUCCCCGAGUUUCUCCUGAUUCCUCACUGCAUCUCCCAUCCAUCUUAUCUGGAUAGUGUAAGUGUCAGUAUCUUCAGGGAUUGAGCCCGGGACGAGGGCGGCGAGUUCUUGGGACAGCCGUGCUAAUGUGGAUGUAGAUGUACCGCAAGGGCAUGGUGCCUCUUCGGUGGUUCUUGCAGGAUCUGUCAGUGAUCCAUCACAAAGUUCACCGGAAUCAGGUGAGGAAAAGAGGCAUUCCGUUUAUCAUUUCCCCUGUUCGGCUAGAGUUGCAUGUUUCGAAAUUCAGAGUGUGGCACCCAUGCUGCUUGUUUAGCAUGCAUUCUGUGGUAGUAAAAGGCAAGUACUCUGUUGUGCAUGUUUGGGUUUGGGGUUUUCUGAUUUGGGACUCCACAUUCAGUCCCAUAAUUGAUAUGACCCUCAAUUAUGCAUGCAUUGGCUGGUAUGAUGAUGUAAUGGGGUGUUCUGGAGUCAUUCUUCUGAAAUUAGUUGUUAAAAAAGUUGUUCUGAAAAAAUAAUAUUGUUCUUUUCUCAAAAAGUAUAUAUAUGCUUAUUUUCUCUCAACAGAAACUGAAAGUUUAAUGCACUGAUUUGAAAAAAAAUACAAUAAUUUCUGUAUCCCUUCAUCUUCACAGACUACUCUAAGUUAUUCUCUCCCCUGUUCAGCCAGACUUGCAUGUUUUUCAAUAUUCAUUUCAGAGUGGCAUUACCCAAGUGUCCAUCACACCAGGCACCACCACACUGCUUGUUACCCAAGUGUCCUGGAGCACACCAGGCACCACCACACUACUUGUUAGCAUUCAGUGGGAGUAGAAGGGAAGUACUGUAGUGUGCAUGUCUAUGCUUAGGAUUUUUCCGAUCAGGGGGCCCAGCUUGCAGUCACAUAAUUUAUAUGUCCCUCAAUUAUGUAAAGGGUCGAUAUUGAGAAAAUAUGGGGAAGUGCUAGAACAUGUCACACCGUUAUCAUGGAAAUUAACAACUUGUUGGUCUAAGGGUAGAUUGUUAAAAACUCAGCGUAUGUGUUCUGAAUGAUAGUUAAAUGCUAUAUGAUGCCAUUGCAAGUGAUUGUCAUUUAAUUUUUCGUUCACAUGAUGAAUAUGCAUAUCUCAAGGACAUGCUUAUUCUUGCUACACAACACAUAUUUUUUCUUUGUUCACUGGUUUAUAGUUUUGCUAAUGUUGACUGUUGUUUAAUGCUUAGUGUUGCCCGUGGUAGAUCCUGAACUUAAAAGUGGCAGUGUCAAGUUUAAAACAUAUUUCGAGAGUAAAUUAGUAAUAGAGGGACAAUCUACAUCCUCCCCACAGUCCAUUCCCAAUCCUGAAAAGAAUGGCUUUUCCAAAAAAAUUCCACAAUCAGGUGAGAUGACAACUAUAUUGAAAAAUAUUGAUUUAUUGGCAAAUUUUCCUUAUGCUAACAUGGAGAUCCGUAUUGAUUCUCCUUCCACCAAAAGUUUCAGAGACUGCAGUUCCAAAUCAUAAGAGCAAUAUCACUUGCUAUGAUAAGGGUAAGGACAAGGGGUUCCCCUAUGCAAGGCCAGUCGUCAGCAAGAUGUCCGGCGACGUUCAAAUUGCUCCAGGAAGCUCAUCAGUCAUUUUGACCAUGCCACCGCAUCAAGGCGCGGAAGGACGACGCGUUAGGCCAUAUGCUCGAUGUGAUGAUUCCUUGCUGCCUCUUGUUAGAGAAGUGGUUCCCCGUGUAGCUCGUGGAGGCGGCGGCAGAACGCACGGUGGAAGACAAUGUCGCUCCAGGUCUUGUAGACGAGCGAGGCGCGGAGGAGGCAGUCCGGAUCGUCACGCGGGCGGAGGAGGCAGUCCGGAUCGUCACGCGGGCGGAAGAGGAGGAUCUAUUCGAUGAGCUCGUUCGGGAGCACCCGCGGCAUCGCCCCCAUGGUGGCCUCUAGGUCUGGGCGUGUGUCCGGGAGCGUCGCCGGCGAGGUGCGAUGGCAAGGCUGCGCUGGGGUUGUUACAGGCUUUUACUGGAAUCACCUUUUACAGGCUUUUGUCAUUGUACUAAAAUCACUUGAACUUUACUGUAAAGUACAUUGAGACCAGGUCCACUACUCAGUAUCUGGUUCGAUUCUUAUACCGACACUUAUACAUACAAUUACAGCUCACUUGUUUUAUUGGUGAUCUCGGUCUUGGCAUCCACGAAGCACACUCAUUUUCAACAAUCGAUGGCUACUCAGUGGAUGUAUUCGUUGUCGCUGGUUUGCCUCUUGUGGUAUGCAUUAGCUAACUGAUUCUAGCAUAUUAGAGUGUGUCCUUUUCCUUACUACUAUUUCAGCAAUUUUUAUGGUGAUAUAUUCUCUAUUAGUGCUAUUCAUAGGCUACUAAACAGCUGCAAGUAAAGAUAAUGGAGAAAUUUCGCAGUGUUGAGGUAUAGGCUUUAGUCUGCCCUUCUUGUAUGAAGUUUAAUGCCUCUAUCUAACUGAAUAAUAAGCACUCUACUGUUUGGUUUCAGUAAAUUUGCUUAUUGUCAAUUAUUACUUAUGUCCAUAUAGAGUUAUAGACUUACUGCUCAAUCCAUGCUCGCAGAAAGGUUUGUCACAGGAAUGUUGUGCAUUUUAUCGGUGCAUGUACAAGACAGCCCAACUUAUAUACUAUAACAGGUAUUUCCACCAAUGAAAUGUAUUGAAUAAUUGACACUAUCGCCAGAGCCUUUUCAAUGAAAUGUUGCCCUGUUCAUUUAUCUUGACCAUUAAAAGUUGAGUUCUCCUUCUCGUGAACUAUUGGUGUCUCCUAUUUACGGUUGUCCUAUUAUUCAAAUUGUUCACCACGAUGUCCUAUAUUCCGAUGCAUGCAUGUUUUCCACUCGGAGAACAAGUUUCUAGAUACCACAAUAAGAAUACUCAUUUUCAUGUUCUCUACUUUUUAUUGCCAUUUUCUGUUGUGCAAUAUGAGUUGAUAUGAGUCAAAUAGCACAAGUAUUAUUGUUGACUAAUUAUUCAAGUACUUCCCUUCCAAGCAGCCCUUGAACAACGAACAAGGAAAUUUUGGAGUCCUUGUUUCACUGCCUACGAGGACGUGGGAGCCACCAACACUGUUUGCUUCCUUCCACAACUCAAGGUCCUAGGUAUCUGUUCUCGCUCCCUAUAAGUUUUUGUUCACACAUCAUGAUUAUGGUUUCCAGGAAGAUUCAGAAAAAAGAUUAUCGUUUGCAAAGAUUAUCAUUUGCCCAAUUUAGCUAGCAACAUCUUAUAUUUCACUGCUAAUUUAAUGGGCAAGACACAUCACAAUAAUUCAUACAAGAAAUAGCGAAGGAUCUGGAAGAAAUAGUGUUCCUAGCUAAGCUGUGCACUUUCUUGUAUUGAUUUCUAAAAAUUAUGUUUCAAGAUAGCAUCAUUCGUGUGUCCCUUCUGGAGAAUGAGACCGAUAGUGGGUCUCAAUAGCCAUUUAUGUGGAUUCAUACUUGAGUGUCGGGAUUUAAUUUCUUUAAUACUAGAAGCAUAAUAUGAUGAGAUGAGGCGACCAUGUAUUUGCUAGCAUCAUGACUUUAGCCUACCGGUAGCAUUAUGCGAUGAAAUGAGGAGGCGGCCAUGUAUUUUUCAGUAUGAUGACUUGAGCCGCAACAUCUGUAUUGAGUAGCCGAAGAAGUAACCGCACACACUUCUAUUGUAGAUUAGUGUUGGCCUGCUUCAGACUGAAUAUAAACUAAGGCGUGUAGAGAGGGAUUGGUCAUAAUAAGCAUCUGUAUACAUCGUGAUUGUAGUCCCCCCAUCGAGUCAUACGAGAGGGGUAUGCUAUUUUAGAAGAGGGCAAAAUAAAGCAUGUAGACUAAUGAAUGUCAAUUUAGACCAUCGUUUUGCAAUUGCUACUUUUGGUUCGAAAGGUCUAACAAGAUAAAUAGAUUGUUUAUAUGACCUUGCUGUUAUGACUUUACUUUGCAAAUUUUAUCACACUAGCAAUGUUGUGUGCACAGUUAUUUGGUUUCAGCAAACUUGAUCAUGUGUACAUUGUUGUGUAUACAAGAUGGAAUAUAUUAGGCUUCAGUUGCUAUAAGAAAAACUCGAGCUCUAUUUCCACUGGCGAGUAAAUGCAACCUGACUAAAGAACGCAAGCUCUUUCCUCAAGCUAUAUGUUAGGUUGCAUAUAUAAACCAAAGUGAGGUCCUUAUCCUGGUUGGUUUGGGACGGCCACAUCCUCGUGAACGAUAAGUAGUUGCGCUAGAGAUGGGCGUGCAGUGAGAUUUGCCCAACGUGUGGCUCUUGCAAAGAGAAAGCCAGCUUUGCGAGGCAGGUAUUGCCAGCAGUGGCCUUUUGGUCGUGAUACGAGGUGUUGUCUCCCCCUGUUCCUAGAACAUCGGUCCCAUCUACGGCUGAUGGAUGGCAAUCAGGUUUCAAAGGAGAAAAAUCAUUUUCAUGGAUCACCUGGUACUGUGUUUGGUAAAUUUGGAAUAGUCAGAUUUUUUAGCACGAUUAAAAGGGAGUCAAUGACACCAUAUAUAAGAUGUUUAGCACAAUUAAAAGGGAGUCAGCGAUACCAUAUUUAAGAUCUUCUUUUGUUAGAGUUGUUCCGGAUGCAUGUUGUGGAUUGAGAGUUUGGGCAUCUUUUUUCCUCUGUAUUAGAUAAAAUCUGGCUGUAUGGGUCUGGUUGUAAAACGAACUUCUUCUACUAACAUAUCAUUGCUUGCGAUGGAAUAUGGAUGUAUUUUUCUUCAAGAUGUAACACUAAAAUACUUGUUUUUGCUAUGUAAUAUUGACAUCUUCGAUUUUUUUUGUACGCAUGUACUAAAGAAUUUCAUGAAUGGAAUAAUUUCUCGCUUAGACGCUUCAGUUAUUUAUUGUGCGCGCGUACUAAAGGAUUUUUGGAUUACUAGCUAAUUAUUUAUUACAACAAUUAUUCUUUGUCUGUGCAUUGCUAUUUGCAAGUCGAGGUUCCGAAAUAAUAUUUUCUUUACAAUUAUUUAGUUAUAUCUUGCAUCUAGAAAUUAGUAUAUGAUAUUUUUAUUGCCUCAUAAGUCAUAAUUAGAUAAUAAGAAAAUAAUUUCUUUUUUGUUACAUGUGUACGUGCGUUGGACGUGCGAGCUUACUAGUAGGGAUAGAAAACAAAAAACCUGGGUCUAGUAUAGACCUGCUUUUUCACAGGAAAAAGUCCAUUUUAAACCCUGAAUUUGUAGAGGUUCGACGAAAUGAACCUCCAACUCGAAAUUCCUGUCGAUUGCACCCUGAACUAUGUAAUCCUGGUCUAAAAAGAACCCUGGAUUCGUUUGCCAAACUGGGAUUGCUGACUUGACUGGGAUGGGCUGUGCACGCGCGGAAAAGACCGGGCCAGACCAGUCAGGCCCAUCUCGCUAUCGGACAUCACAAUAUUUACGAAAUUAAAAAAAGUGAGAAAAAAAGUUCACGAAUUUUGAAGAAAUAACCAUGGAUAUAAAAAAAGUUCAACGAUUUUGAAAACAAGUAAAUGGAUUUUCAAAAUUAAAAUUCAGGAAUUUUCAAAAACAUUGUGAAGUCCACAGGUUAUUUUAUAGUACGUAGGAAGCACCUUAAAAUGGUUUUUAACAUAUGAUUAACAUUUUUUAGAAUACAUGUUAAAAAUAAUAAUACAUCAUAUACAUUUUUUAAUUGUCCCCAACACUUUUUUGAAAUGUAUGAACAUUUUCCAAAUGCAAUAAUUUUAAAAUUACACACAUGUAUAUUUUUAUAAUUUUGAACCUCAGCGCUAGGUCGUUGGUUCUUUUUUUUCCUUUCGUUUUUAUUUUUAUUUUUAUUUUCGAUUUCAAUUUAUAUUUUAUACUUUUUGAUUUCUUUUUUUUGUUACUGUUUAUUUUCUCUUAUAUUAUAUAAGUUUAUUGUGUAUCGUCAAAAUAUUUAUUGUAUAUUACGUGUGCAUGUACGUGUAUGUGUGGGUUGUUAUGGUAUGUAUUAUGCGUACCUGUAGGCUAUUCGGUGUUCAUCGUCGGACCGGAUUUGUCCCAACACACUGUAAGAAAUAUUUGAAAAAAGGUUCGUCAUUUUUUAAAAAGAUUAACAAAUUUAAAAAAAUGUUGACCAGGUAGAGCUUAAGCUACAGUCUUAAUAUACUCACAACUACAAGAACAAAUGCAUGCAUCACUCCACAACUACAAGAAAAAAUGUUCGCGCAUCCAAAAAAUAUUUUCGAAUUUGAAAAAUGUUCCGAUUUUGAAAAAAAUUCACGUUUUCUAUUUUUGAGAGAUUUUAUAAAAUGGUUCACAUAUUAUAAAAAAUGUUCGUGUUUCAGGGAAAAAUUAUUUGUUUAGAAAUGUGUUGUCCGUUUCGAAAUAUGUUCUAAAAAUAUUAAAUAUGUUCGUGAUUUUAAAACGGUCCGGCCCAAAAAAUGAAUCCCGGUUGACAUGGUGCGAGGGUUUGAUUUAGACCGGGAUUGUAUAUUCAGGAUGCAAUCGACCGGAAUUUUGAGUUGAGGAUUUAUUUCGUACGACCAAUACAAAUUCAAGGUUAUAACUAGACUUUUUUCUUUUCACAGCGGUUCCCGACAAACGUGGCAGGUCACGCCAUAGUAUUCAUGUGACCUCCGGUGACAACUCUAGUCGCUGGUUGAUCCAAUGCAACAUCCUCAUCCUUUCUCCUAUUUCUUUUUGACUACAGAUUACACAAAACUAUCUUGCUUCUUUUUCCCUUUCUUCUCUUACACACAACGCCUCUCUCUGCUCUUUUUUCUCUCUCAUAGCACCUCUCUGAGAAAGAAAAUAGCGCCUUCUCUCUACUCCAGUCUCACUCAUGAGAAUAAAGCUUUACAUGCACGCGAGCCAAUGGUCUCCAGUGAUGGGAUAGAACAGAAGGUGAGACCCUUUUGCAUGCAUGAAGUGGCUCAGCCCCACGUGCUUGAGUUUUCUUUCAUGAGGUAAUAGCACCAGAGAUCCUACAACUUGCACACAAUGUGAUGGUUUGAUCCUAGAACUUGCAAAAUGAUCCUAUUUGAUCAUACAACUUGCUUCUUUUGUGCAGUUUUAGUCGACAGCGAAUCACAGCGCGCCAAGUGGACAGAGUGGAGGCAGGGUUGAUGGUUUUGCAAAGUGGCCCUUCCAUUUAUCACUUAUUAAUCAACACCCAGGCCAUCUGUAAGCUGCAGAUACUAAUUGCCAUCUGUAACCCAGUUUGAGAAGUAGAGAUCAUUUUACGUGCAGAUACCAAUCCCAACUUAUUUUGAACAUUUGAUUAGUUGAGUUGGGAGGUAGCCAUGUGCCAGUUAUGUCUGAUUAACCGUGCGUUCGACUUAUUAGAAUAAGCGCAUGCAUGCACCUGUGAUGGUGCGGCUCCAUGCAUGUUUCCUGUUUAGAAUAAGCCCAUGCAUGCACCGAUGGAGCAGCUCCAUGCAUGCACCUCUAAGUUCAUGCAUGUUUCCUGUUUAGAAUAAGCGCAUACAUGCACCUCUGAUGGGAUCACUAGGACAACUAGUCCUUCAACCAGGCAGGCAAGGCAUGAGGUGAGAGCAUGAGAAGAGGACGAAAACCCAUACAAAUGCAGCUAGCCCGCACCGUGCGGAGAACGACAUGCCGUGCCGCCUCCGAGAGCAGAGCAUAACAGAAACCGCCAUUGGCGCCCUAAGCUAAGCUAGCAGUAGCACAAACGAGUGCGUGUUGAAGAUGGUCUCAGAAGAGGGCUAUCCCGGGAGCCAAGGGGGUGUUUAGUUAUUACUGACUUCAGUAUUAUCUUUUGGGACUAAUUCACUUCAGUAGUUUCUUAACUUGGACGAAAAUUACUGUUUCCAUGCUUAAGUGAAUCUCUCUAAAAUAAAUUCGAUUCCAAUAAAAAUGGAACUACUGUACCAUACAUCUAAAAUUUGUGAUUGCAGAAUGAGCAUUAUAUUUUCCUUUUCUAUUCCGCGAAACAAACCUAUAAUACAGUAAACCUCUGUGACAACACAAAUAUACACUAGAAAUACACAUAUUUUGGCUUCUUGUAUAUUGGGGUACAGCUCAUAUUUGGAAUCAACUGUAACUGAUCGUUAGCAGGGUGCACUAGUCUUUUCUACAAGCUCAUCAAGUUUUGGUGCGAAUUCAAAGGAACGAAUCGGUAAUUUUUUUCUCACGAAAAUUGUACAUCUAAUUUAUAGACGAACUCUUUUGACAAUAAUAGAUGAUGCCCCCGACACGUUGUUGCGGGAAAUUUGUUAAAAGAGUGCAGAAAAGUUGCUAUGAAAACAUCUAUAACUAAGGGGAAGCCAAUGUAAGUUUAAAAAUGAAAACAAAAAUACAAAGAGUGUAAAAAAGAAAAACAUGAGUUGCUGUUAAUAUAAUGUUAUUUCUUACAAAAAUAUGAAUGUAAAGUACAUAGGUAUGGUGCAAGCGACCAACAUAUAUAUUAUCAGUACAAAAUCUAAUGCAAAAAAUAAUUUAUGAGUAACAUGCAUGAAUUGAUGAUCCGGUGCUUGCAUGCAUAGGGUAAUGUAAAAAGAAUGUAGUUUAUGACUUAGUACAUGCAUGACUUGCUCAUGUGGCAUAGUUGCAUGUCUAGGAAAAUACACAUAUUUUGGCUUCUUGUAUAUUCGGGUACAGCUCAUAUUUGGAAUCAACUGUAACUGAUCGUUAGCAGGGUGCACUAGUCUUUUCUACAAGCUCAUCAAGUUUUGGUGCGAAUUCAAAGGAACGAAUCGGUAAUUUUUUUCUCAUGAAAAUUGUACGUCUAAUUUAUUGACGAACUCUUUUGACAAUAAUAGAUGAUGCCCCUGACACGUUGUUGCGGGAAAUUUGUCAAAAGAGUGCAGAAAAGUUGCUAUGAAAACAUCUAUAACUAAGGGGAAGCCAAUGUAAGUUUAAAAAUGAAAACAAAAAUACAAAGAGUGUAAAAAAGAAAAACAUGAGUUGCUGUUAAUAUAAUGUUAUUUCUUAUAAAAAUAUGAAUGUAAAGUACAUAGGUAUGGUGCAAGCGACCAACAUAUAUAUUGUCAGUACAAAAUCUAAUGCAAAAAAUAAUUUAUGAGUAACAUGCAUGAAUUGAUGAUCCGGUGCUUGCAUGCAUAGGGUAAUGUAAAAAGAAUGUAGUUUAUGACUUAGUACAUGCAUGGCUUGCUCAUGUGGCAUAGUUGCAUGUCUAGAAAAAAUAGCUAGUGGGUAGUAGCUAUUUAGGAAUAGAAGAUAUGUAUGACGGUGAUUUGGGAACGGUCAUACUGUUUGUCAAUAAAUGUUUUCCUUAUCAGCAAAUAGUAGGAAAAAGCUCUUUAGUGUGUGGACAAAACUUUUCCUGGGGAGAUAGGUAAAACCUCAAGCAAGAUGAGUGCAUCUACAACUACGUCAACUUAAUAUUAGAAGUACUAAGCUAAACUACAUUGUAAACUGGGAGUUUGCUGAAACUCUAUGGGUAGUGAAAAAUUGACCGCCAUAGUAGAGAAUAUUGCAUGGGUAGUGAUAAAAAUUACAUCCAUAGUAGUGACAACCUAUGCUUGCUAUGUAGUGAAUAUACCAUGCAAUCUAAGCCUAUUCCGAUCUUACACUAGUUAAGUGUAGGGCAAGUUUUUCUAAUAUGGAAACACAUAGUUGUCACAAUAUUAGAACUACUUGAGUAGUUAGAAUCUGUGCUUGCUAUGUAGUGAAUAUUCCAUGCAAUUUAAGCCUAUUCCGAUCUUACACUAGUUAUUAAGUCUAGGGCAAGUUUUUCUAAUAUUGAAACACAUAAUUGUCACAAUAUUAGAACUACUCGACUAAAAUCUGCCAACUACUAGGAAUUCACUAGAAGUCUAUGUGUAGUGAAACAGUGACAGGCAUAUACUCCAUGUCACCAUACAUAUGAUUAGAUAAUUACUUCAGUCAUAUAUCAGAUUAUAUAGAAAAUAAAUUCUGGGCCAUCUUUCAAAUAUGACAGAAAAACAACGUUUCAAGGGAGAACCUAAAUAUUGAGAGCCACUCGGUUGAGUCAUAUUCAUGUUAAAUAAUGUAUGCAUCAUAAUACUAACCAUGAAUCUUCCAUGUUUGAAAUUAGAGUGUCAUUUUUGAAGUAAAAAUGAAAAUUAGAACUGUUUCGGGCUCAUGGUUUUGAACUGAGAUUCACCUAGUUCAGAUCAUUAAUCCUAGAACAUUACAUGUCUGCAUAUAUUUUAUAUAUUUUUGGGCAAAGGAGACACUAAUAUAUUGUUAAAUUUUCUUGCUUAUUCAGAUAGAAACAUUCCAAGUAAUAUGACAUUUCCAUAUUAUUAUUUUUUCAGGCUGGUUCAUGGGAUCGCACAAACCGAGUAGUAAACAUUUUUCCAUUGAAAACUAUAUAGUCUGCUAUUAAGUAAUCUGCAACUUUGAAAUGGAAUGACCUCCCUCUAUCUAUAAGCUUUUUUGACAAAUUAUUCUGCUACCUUAUAUGUUUCCACAAUGAAACUGGUCUAUCUUCGCCUAGCCAAUUAUGUGCAGUUCUGUUUUGAAACAGAAAAUUUAAUUUGAUACCACACAUGAUUGUCUCUUUCUUUGCAGGGGAAAGAAAGGCAGAUAUGUAAUAAACAGACUAAUAUACGCUUGUGUGACAGCUAAACACCAGAUUUAAAAAAAAUGCAAUAUGUAGAAACACGCUUGGAUAAUUCUUUGUGUUUCUCUAGGAAUCUAUAUCUCCUGUGUAAGUGUUGACAAGAAAAUCUUAAAAACUUCAUCCCUGCCAGUAGCAAGAGAAAAAGGCAAUAUAUAUGAAGUUCUGUUCUCACUUAAUUUGAGGCAGCCACAACUCAUCGCACGAAAGCCCAAAUAUCCAAAAGACACCAUCCCAGAAAAACCUCAGCAAACCAGCGACAAGACAUCCAUACAGUAACCGUUUUGCCUGGAUCUUCCGUGUAACAAGCUACUGGAUGCUGAGAAUCAAUCCAUCAAUCGGUCACCAGACGCAUCCGAUUAAUAAGUGAUAAAUGGAAGGGCCACUUUGCAAAACCACCAACCCUGCCCCCACUCUGUCCACUUGGCGCGCUGUGAUUCGCUGUGGACUAAAACUGCACAAGAGAAGCAAGUUGUAGGAUCAAAUUGGGUCACUUUGCAAGUUCUGGGAUCAAACCAUCACGUUGUGUGCAAGUUGUAGGAUCCCUGGUGCUAUUACCUCUUCUUUCAUCCCAUGCACAGAAAAACAGAUACGGACAAGCAACACCUCCCUGACAUGGCUACAACAGUGUUGUCAAGUCAUCUCUGUCUCCAUCAAAAAGGUAUCUAGGACCGACACUGUUCUCUCUCCUGCAUCCCUGAUCACAUCCUGGAAAACAUUUGCCUAAUUAACUAACAUGCGCAUGCAAAUGGCCUGCUGCUGACUCUUCGGCACGAAUCUUCAAGUCGCCGGACACGCUACAUAAUAGGGUGUCGGGGCACCCGGGUGCCAUGGCACCUUUUCGUUUUCACAAGGUCUCUUGUAUGGAUUUGAUUAAUUUCUGAACUAGCUAGUUAUUAGAUUUAUACAUAUGAACAUGAGUUUUGAUACCAUACGCUCCUGCUUUCUACUAUGUGAGCCUCUCAUGUGUGUGUUAAUACCAUGUGAGCCUCUCAUGUGUGUGUUAAUACAAAGUCAGGCUCACAUGACUUUAUUAUCUUGAAAGUUAAGUAUUUGCCCGUGGAGGCACCAAUUAUAUCAUAUAUUGCCAAAAACUGAUGGACAUGAUUGUCAGCAAUAGAAGUAUGUCAUUGUUGUUGAGCUAACACGCGAUUAACGGCGUCAUUGUCCAAAGAGCUUCACAGCAAUGACACACUUUCAAUGGACUACCGUGUAUUUUGGGUUGUAAGUGUGGUUCGGCCCAAGCCCGUGUAAGUGGUCGCUGUUAUAAGCUCCGCGUCCAGCCUGUAUUGGGCAUCGAUCAAGAAAUGAAACAAUUGCUUGUCCUACCUUCCUUCUUCUCCCCCAAGUUGCUCUUAUCCUCUCUGAUCCCCAAUUCCCUUCUGCUACUCUACUGUUCGGAUAUCACAAGUGGUAUUCAGAGCUUCAUCGGUCUGAUUCGUGCUUCAUAGACUCGAGAUUUGUCGGUAACAUCGACUGAUUGGUUGGUUUUCUGCCUUUGGCGGUCAACUGUAAAUCCGUAUCAGCGUUAGGUUGAAUUCGGAGGAAGUGGCGACGACUCCGUUCAAGCCUAGCGCGCAGACAAGGUAUCUGGCGGAGUCCAUGGGGUCAUUCAAAGAGUGAGUGAUGAAGGAGUUCGAGGUGUUGUGGUUGUUGCAUGCGAAGGUGGACGGGAUCGAGGCGAUCCAGUCUCAUCUCGACGGACUGGAUGCGAAACUCGAGGAACAGGCCGCCAGGUUAGAUCAGGUCCAAACCAAAGCGAAUCUCUCGGUGAGCUCAAUCGGGGAGAUAUAUCACGAGCAAGUUCAAGUGGCUAGGGUGCUUAAGGAAUCAAUCAGCGUCAGAGACACGGAUCUGAACCGAACCGCAGCGGAGGGUUGCCUGGGUGCGUCUCCCAAGUCGGGGCCAAUUUUUGGUGGGCCGACUACAUCGCGCGCUCCACCACCGCCACCUCCUCCUCCAUCAUUAUGACCUCACUCGACAAUUCCUCUCCAGGUAUCCCACCCACACUCUGCCCCAGAUGAUCAGAGUAGCAAGCGACCAUGGAUGCCUAAGAUGGAAUUCCCGAGGUUCGAUGGUGAAGGGUUGUGCAUUUGGUUGGAUAAUUGUGAAGCAUAUUUCCUGCUGUACCAGAUUCCUGAUUCCUUCAAGUUAAUGUCAGCAUCCAUGCACUUACAUGGCAACGCAACACACUGGUUUCAGUCAUACAAGUUAACUGAAUACUGCAGUACGUGGGAAACUUUCCUCACGACUAUUACUCAGGAAUUUGAGGUCAAUGUGCAUCGUUCAUGUAUGAGAGAUUUGCUUGAGUUACGGCAGCAAGGUUCUGUGCAGGAGUAUCGCACAACUUUCCACGAGUUAGUGCAUCAGGUCCGGAUGUAUGAGUGUAACAUCAGCGAGACUAUGCUAGUUACUCAGUUUAUUUUGGGCUUGAAAGAGGAGUUGCGUGAUGCAGUAGAAAUUCAGUUACCAGCUACUGUAGCAGCUGGCUAUGAGUAUGCUAUUGUACCGGAGGCCCUAUUGGAUAGAGCAAAAUAGAGCAGCGCUGUCGUGGGGAACGAACACCUAUGGGACCUCGGGAUUCCUUGUGGUUCGGCGGGGGAGACGGAUGCGCCUAGAGCACACCGAGAGGUCGGGGCACGAUCGUUUUACCCAGGUUCGGGCCGCUCGGAGGCGUAAAACCCUACUCCUACUUCUUGUUUAUUAAUCUUAUGUAAAGGUGAUGAACUGCUAAGUGCGUCUUCGCUGACUGGCUACCCCCUUGUGCAUGCCCAGAGCCUCCUUUUAUAGGUCAAAGGGGUCACCAAUAGUGGCAGCACAGGGUUCUCAUGGGGUGCACACUGGAACAGUGCACCCACAAGUCGCAUAGUGUGUUAUAGUGUUCCUGGCGUCUUAGCAGACGCAUUUAAUGCUUCGUCAGAUGUCCCAGGGAUGGGACAGGGGUGCGUCCCUUCGGUAUUGUUUUCCCAGGUACCGCUCGACACGCGUCGUGCGAACCGACACGUAUUGAGUGGCUAGAGGCAGCUGGUUGUUGCGCUGGCACAAGGGCACGUCGGGGCCCCGCCGGGGUGAAACGCCCUGGAGUGUUGGUAGCUCUCCCGGCAACGGUCUUGCCGGGGCUUUGCUGGCUUCCCCCGACAAAGGGGCUUGCCGGGGGUGACGUCUUCGGUCUUCUAGCUCGAGGCUUCGGGUGCCUUAGGCGUGGCGUAGCACUUAGGAAAGUGCUUUGGCCGGUUGUUGCCUUGCCGAGGGGCUCUGGAAGCCCCCGCUCCGAUCCUUACCGGGGCUUUGUUGGCCUCCCCCGGCAAAAGGGGCUUGCCGGGGGUGGCAUCUUCCUGUCGAUCUAGGUGAUUUCUUAGGGCUUCGCCUCUGCUUCCCAUCGUCCCUGGCAGGGCCUACCAUGGGCAUGGCUACUACUGUCGAUGCACAAGUCAUGGGCGCUAAAGGCCCAUUCUUUAGCACACCGCCAAGAGCCCCCGGGCCUAGGCCAUACAUGCAUGCGAGGCGUUGUUGGGCUAGGCCCAAAUAGUGCACGGGUACGCGCGGUCGAGAUUCGAGGCGUUGUUGGGCUUUUGCUUCGGCUGCCAUGUUUCCGUUGCGCGCCCUUGAAUGCACGACGUGGGAGUUGUGCGCGGGGUGGCCGAGUAACCCGCGCGGGGGGCGGACCUACCACGAUUGGCCGUUUUCGCCACACGUGCUGCAUGCACAGCUGUGGCCUAGCACGUGGCAUCCGGGACUUAUAGUCCUGACGAACGCCGCACCCCGGUUUGGAGGAGCGAGGCGGCCGUCUGCCCGCUCGUGAAUGUGGGCGAGCGGAUUGGUGGAAGUGGGCGGUGGCUCUUGGAGGCAGGGGAGAGCGAGCCUCCGUAUUCCUCCCUAUAAAACUGGGGGAUUGCGAGGGGUGACGUUCAUCCUUCCUCCAAGAACACCUCCGUCCAGUGCCCACCCUUCAUCUUCGUCUUGAGCAGUGUCAGCUCGCGUCUCUCCCCCUCUCCGGUUGGGUCGGAUUCGCCGGUGGAUCCGACGCUGCCUUCUCUUCCAGGCGGCUCGCAGUCCCCGGCUUCGCCAUCCCUUCCGGUUGCGUUCUCCUCUGCGCAGUGCUGGUCCAGGAGGGACCAGCCUGGGUUGUUGUCGCGGGCCUCGCUGCUUUUUUCCUUCUUGUAGGUGCCGCCUCGUGGCAUAAGACGAAAUUUAUCUUAAGUUAGUACGACAACCACAAUCGAUGUAAUAUAUGAUAUUAUCAUGAAUGAAAAUGUAUGUUAUUUUCCUUGUUUGUUUCUCCUUGUAUGGUAAAAGAAAAACCCUAAGUUGUACUAGGCACCUAUCGGUGCGAACAGUCCCGACCGAGAAUGCUUAGAGGACGGGUCCUCUGUAGUCUGUCGCGCCAAGUUCCCCUCGCGGUAAGUUUCGGAAACUAGGUGGUUCGUCGACCCUUACCGGAGGUAAGCGUACGCAUAACUAUGCAUACCAACAUAUAUGAAAAUCGCUAAGAACUGCGAAAAGCUUAACUCUUAUUCAUGGUGUGCACAAGAUUGUGCUUGGCUUUCCGUGAAGGUUUAUAUGCCCUUCUGGCAAAACUUGCGCAAAGGAGGGUUGUCGGGAGCCCCCGGCACCCGAGCUUCAUGGGUUACCGGCAAGGACGUUGCCGGCAUGGAGGCUGCUAGGGCAGUGCCGGACCUCCUUGGGAGCGACAGGCCCCGACAAGGAUGCAUCAUCUUGCCGGGGGCGCUCCCCACCGUGCCUUCGACAACAGUACAACGCUCCUAAGAGGCGAGCCUACCGGAACGAGCGCCUGGGGUCUUGCCGAAGCCACCUGGCACAUUCUCGACAGCGGCACAUCGCCCCGGAGGGGAGCGCUCGCUGGAGAAGGUGUCGGAGGUCUUGCCGGAGCCCCCGGCGUGCGCUCCACAGUGACGCUGCACUCUGGGAGGAGGUGUAUCGGCAGGAGUGCGUGGAGGCCCAGUGGCCCUGCUCCCCUGGUCUUCGUCCGAGCCGUUGCUGGCCCGGGUAGUCGCACACGCAGUCGCGAAUCGAUGAUCCGCCACAGCCGCUGUCCGUCGGAGGCCGUGGCGAUGGUGGUGAUGACGGAGCUGAUGCUCCCAUCCUUAGGUCAGAUCAACGCACCUUCUUCAAUCCCCCUACCUGGCGCGCGAGUGAUGUCGUGGGGGGAGAAGACCUAUGGGACCUGGGGAUCCCUUGUGGUUCGGUGGGGAGACGGAUGCACCAAGAGCAGACCGAGAGGUCGGGGCACGAUCGUUUUACCCAGGUUCGGGCCGCUCGGAGGCGUAAAACCCUACUCCUGCUUCGUGCUUAUUAAUCUAAUGUAAGGUGAUGAACUGCUAAUUGCGCCUUCGCUGACUGGCUAACCCCCCCCCCCCUACGCAUGCCCAGGGCCUCCUUUUAUAGGUCAAAGGGGUCACCAACAGUGGCAGCACAACGUUCUCACGACGCAUAGUGUGUUACAGUGUUCUUGGCGUCUUAGCAGACACAUUUAAUGCUUCGUCAGAUGCCCCAGGGAUGGGACAGGGGUGCGUCCCUUCGGUAUUGUUUUCCUAGGUACCGCUGGACAUGCGUCGUGCGAACCGACACGUAUCGAGUGGCUAGGGGCAGCUGGCUGUUGCGCUGGCACAAGGGCGCGUCGGGGCCCUGAUGCGGUGAAACGCUCUGGAGUGUUGGUAGCUCUCCCGGCCGGUAAGGGUCUUGCCGGGGCUUUGCUGGCUUCCCCCAACAAAGGGGCUUGCCGAGGGUGAUAUCUUCGAUCUUCUGGCUCGAGGCUUCGGGUGCCUUCGGGGCGUGGUGUAGCACUUCGGAAAGUGCUUUGGCCGGGGGGCUCUGGAAGCCCCUACUCUGAUCCUUACCGGGGCUUUGUUGGCCUCCCCAGGCAAAAGGGGCUUGCCGGGGGUGGCGUCUUCCUGUUGAUCUAGGUGAUUUCUGAGGGCUUCGCCUCUGCUUCCCGUCGUCCCUGGCAGGGCCUGCUGCGGGCAUGGCUACUACUAUCCAUGCACAAGUCAUGGGCGCUAAAUGUCCAUUCUUUAGCGCACCGACAAGCGCCAAAACUUUCAAGAAAGCAACAGUUAACAAAGCAUUGCCACGCCAAGACACCGUAACCAAAUCUCAGUUAGCUCUUGGUGAUAUGUGGAAAGUACGACAGCUGAAAGACUACACGAGAGAGAAUGGUUUGUGUUAUAGUUGUGGAGACAAGUUUGCUCCAGGGCAUGUAUGUGCCAACAAAGAAGCAGCCCAAGUGAAGGCGAUCAACAUGGCAGAGGAAGCAGCACAACUUAAUGAUGCAGUGUUAGAUGCCACUGCUACUGAAGAAUUUGUCGAAGAAGUAGCUGCCUAGUUGUCAGUUAAUGCCCUUGCAGACACUACCAAUACUAAAACAAUACAAUUCAGAGCACUCGUGGGCAAUCAAGUUAUGUUGUUACUAAUUGACUCUGGGAACUCGCACACGUUCUUAGACCAACAGUUGGCACACAAACUUCAGUGUCCCACUAUAAAUUUACCUAGUCCCAUGACAGUCAAAGUAGCAAAUGGGGAGAAGCUUCAGUGUACUCACAUGGUGCAAGGGCUGAACUGGUGGAUACAGGGGCAUACAUUUUCCACUUACAUGAGAAUCUUAAAUUUGGUAGGGUAUGAUGCCAUCUUGGGCAUGGGCUGACCGUCUCACUGGAGUCCAAUGACAUGUCACUGGGAAGAACAAUGUGUGCAGUUUCAGGACAAGGACACCUCUGUCACAUUGCACGGACUGAAAUCUCAACCAGUUACCCAAUUGCAGGAACUGACAUUAGAUCAAGUGGUAAAAUUUCAUAAGGGAAAUGAUAUUUGGGCUACUGUUGUCCUAUCAGUUAGCACAACUACAAAUUCUUCUGAAAUUCCAGACUGUAUUCAACAAACUAUAGAUUCCUUUGCGGAUACCUUUCAAGAGCCCAAGGGAUUACCUCCGCACAGGGAAUUUGAUCAUGCCAUAUCAUUACUACCCAACACAACUCCAGUAAAUUCAAGGUCAUACAUAUAUUCUCCUCUCCAGAAAGAUGAGAUUGAGAGACAAGUAUCUGAAAUGCUUGCAUCUGGAAUCAUUUCUCCCAGUAUGUCACCUUUUGCGUCCCCUGUGCUCCUAGUCAAGAAGAAGGAUGGAACAUGGAGAUUUUGUGUGGACUACAGGAGUCUAAAUGUUGUUACUGUCAAAAACAAAUUUCCAAUGCCAGUGGUGGAUGAACUACUGGAUGAGCUGGCUGACACUAAAUGGUUCACAAAGCUAAACAUACGAGCUGGCUAUCACCAGAUCAGGAUGGUGGAGGCCGAUGAACACAAGACUGCUUUAGAGCACAUCUGGGCCAAUACUAGUUCAGAGUAAUGCCAUUUGGGUUAUCUGAAGCACCUGCAACUUUUCAGUGUGUCAUGAAUAUUAUUUUUGCUGGUUGUACGAGGACAUUUGUCUUGGUGUUCAUGGUUGACAUCUUGGUGUUCAGUCAGGACUUGGAGGCCCACACGAACCAUCUGCAGCAGGUGUUCACUAUACUCAGGGAACAUCAACUAUAUGUCAAACUCAGCAAAUGCUCUUUUGCCCAACAACAACUGGAAUAUCUGGGUCACAUCAUUUCUGAUAAGAGAGUUGCAACAGAUCCAACAAAAACUGAGGCCAUGGCACAAUGGCCAAUGCCCACCAAUGUGACGGAAUUAAGAUGUUUUUUGGGGCUGACCGGGUACUACCGAAAAUUUGUGCAGCACUAUGGCAUGAUUGCCAAGCCUCUCACCAAUCUGCUGAAGAAGAAGGCUUUUCAAUGGGCAACAGAAGCACAAACUGCAUUUGAUCUCCUCAAGAAGGCUAUGACCUCCAUGCACGAGUUGACAUUACCUGAUUUUUCCAAGCCAAUUUGUAUUGAGACUGAUGCUUGUGACUCUGGCAUUGGAGCAGUGUUGACACAAGAAGGGCAUCAUGUGGCCUACUACAACAAAUCUCUAGGACCUGCAAAACAGAAGUUGAGCAUUUAUGAAAAGGAGUUCCUGGCAAUCAUCAUGGCAGUGGAGAGAUGGAGAUCUUAUAUGUGUAGAGGACCCUUUGUGAUAAAAACUGAUCACCAGAGUUUAUGCCACUUAGAAACCCAGGCUCUCACGUCAGAACUUCAGAAGAAUGCCAUAACUAAAUUAAUUGGACUUCAAUUCCAAUCCCAAUAUAAGAGAGGAGAAGAUAACAAAGCUGCUGAUGCUCUCUCUAGAGUGGGACAUGUGUUUGCUCUUCCUGCUGGUUCUGUCGGUCAGCUUGUGUGGCUGCAAGAAAUUUUAAACUUAUAUGAAGUUGAUUGCAAGGCCCAACACUUGCUUCAUAAACUGGUAAUCAAUCCUGACGAGGAACCUGAAUUUUGCUUGGAAAAUGGACUCCUCAAACAUCAGGGCAGAAUAUGGGUUGGAGCAAAUGCAGGCUUGCACAUGAAAAUCAUAUAAGCCUUGCACUCCUCUCCCAUUGGUGGACAUUCUAGCAGCCAAGCCACUUAUGCAAGGGAUAAGAAACUUUUCCAUUGGUAUGGUCUCAAAGAAGCAGUGGCAAACAUUGUACAACAGUGUCAAACAUGUCAACGAGCAAAACGUGAGCAUUGUAAAUACCCUGGCCUUCUAUGCCCUUUACCAAUACCAAAACGCUUUUGGGAAGACAUUUCUAUGGAUUUCGUAGAAGGAUUGCCAAAUUCCAAUGGAUAUUCAGUGAUUUUAGUGGUGGUGGAUAUAUUUACUAAGUAUAUUCACUUUAUUGCUCUCAAGCAUCCUUUCACUGCUGCCCGGAUUGCCCAAACAUUUCUGCUCAAUGUGGUUAAGCUGCAUGGCAUGCCAUACACAAUAACAUCUGACAAAGACAAGAUUUUUACAAGUAACUUUUGGAAGGAACUCUUCAAGCUGUGGGGUACCAAGUUGCAGAUGUCGUCUGCCUAUCACCCACAAACAGAUGGGCAAACGGAAAGGGUAAAUCAGUGUUUAGAGAUGUAUCUCAGGUGUGCAGUCCAGGACAGUCGAAAACAGUGGUCUCAAUGGCUUCCCAUGGCCGAAUUUUGGUACAACACCUCAUACAAUUCAUCUUUGGGAUGCACUCCUUUUAAAGCUAUUUAUGGGCAUGACCCUCACAUGGGGCAAUUCCCUGAACCACUGCAAGCUUCCAACACUGAUCUGCAAGUAUGGCUAGAUGAGAGGCAGAACUACUUCGAGCUUCUGCACCAUCAUUUGAACACAGCUCACACAAAGAUGAAAGCAGAUGCUCACAAACAUCGCUCGGCUAGAUAAUUUACAGUAGGAGACAAGGUAUUUUGGAAACUCCAACCUUAUGCUCAAACAUCUGUUGUCAACAGACCUUACCCAAAAUUUUCCAUGAAGUUCUUCGGACCAUUUGAAAUCUUGGAAAGAAUUGUACCUGCAGCCUAUAAACUGCUACUACCUGCGGGCAGUCAGAUUCACCCAAUGUUCCACAUUUCCCAACUCAAGCAACAUGUACCUGACCACACUCCAGUGUACAAUUCCUUACCAGAACCAUCGCCUCUUGAUCGGGUGGACCUUGUCCCUGAAGACAUACUGGAUCGUCGACUGGUCAAGAAGGGAACCGUGUCCCUGGCUCAAGUGCUCGUUCGUUGGACAAAUCUGUCGGCCACAUCCGCAACAUGGAAGGACUAUAACACAUUGCGUCAGCGUUUUCCUCUAGCACCAGCUUGGGGGCAAGCUGCUUCUUCAGGUGGGGGGUAUUGUCAGCGUUGUCGAGCUAACAGGCGAUUAACUGCGUCAUUGUCUGAAGAGCUUCAGAGCAAUGACAUGCUUUGGAUGGACUACCGUGUAUUUUGGGUUGUAAGUGUGAGUAAGUGUGGUCCGGCCAGCCCGUGUAAGUGGGCGCUGUUAUAAGCUCCACGUCCAGCCUGUAUUGGGUAUCGAUCAAGAAAUGAAACAAUUGCUUCUCCUACCUUCUUCUCCCCCAAGUUGCUCUUAUCCUCUCCGAUCCCCAAUUCCCUUCUGCUACUCUAGGGUUCGGAUAUCACAAAGUAGAAUGUGUGCUAAAUGUUUCUAUUGUUGGUUUUAUCUAGUGACAAGCUGAAAUAAUUCAGCUUUUGAUCGGAUAACCUUUUUUAGAAUUUCCACAACGAGUUAGAUACCAUAGCUCCCGCUUUCUAGUUUGUGUGCAUUUAUGGUGGUACCUAAACACGAAGCUAUUUUGGAUUCCUAAGCCACUUUACAUGUUUCUCUUUAUGGGCGGAGCCGGUACACAUACGUGCAUACUUGUUUCCCCACUUCGGUUAUCAAACGAUGAUUAAGGGGAAAGAGGUCCCCUAGACUCAGCCAAAGUGGUCUCCGUUUUACCCCGUGAUGACCCGUGAGUAUAGGAAAUAAAUCGUAGUCCUUUCGAUAAGUAAGAGUGUCGAACCCAACGAGGAGCAGAGGGAAAUGACAAGCGGGUUUCCGUAAGGUAUCCUCUGCAAGUGCGCUAAGCAUUAUUAAAAAAAUCAUUUGAUUUAGCGAUUUAUCUUUUGAUUUAUCUCUAAUCACUGGAUAACCGAUAAGAUUAUGUAAUACCUUCACCAUUUAUCAUUUGGACCGGUUUACGGUUCUGACAAACGAUUUAUCACGAAUAUACCAAUAAAUCAGGCCUAUUUCUAGCACUAUGGUGCAAGAACUAUUUUUAUUUGUGUUUUCGGACCUUGUUAUGUAAUAUGUAGAAUUGUCUUGUUUUGUUUGUCAUUCUACAUGGAUUCAAAGGCAAGGAAUCAAGGUAACACUUUUGUCGAAUAUUGUUUGUUUGUUGAAUAUGGCUUAUUUUAUUGUUGGAAACCUAGGAUAUGUAAAAAAAUAGACAAUUAAUAGCCAAUCGGUAAAAUCUAUUAAUCGUCUGAUUUCCGAUUAAUCUCUAAACCCCAGCCGACCAAGACACUAACAAUAAGCGAUAUCCUCAACAUUGGCUAUAAGUAACAAUGUGUGACAGCCCGAGACUGACGUUCCAGAAGAUUCCCCCCUUUUAUUCCGUUUCCAUCGUGUGGCUAUUUUAUUUUGUUGGUUGCAUCAUCAUUUAGUUUGCAUCGUCGCAUCUUGCAACGUCUGUCAUGUGUGGUGUUUUGAGUGUUGUGCUUCGAGUGAUCACCGAGUCUUAGUGCGAUAGGAACUCCCCCUCUUCCCUCUUAUUUCGUUUUUGCGGUUUGCUAAAGUUUCCCGUUUUAAACCCCUAGUUAAAAGGGUUCGUCUUCUUCUUUUCAAUAAAAGUUCCUUUUAUUAAAUGUGGGGGCAACCCCUUGGGUUUUCUUUAUUUCCUCCUUUUGUUUUAUUUUAAAUCUGUAUCAUUUGGGGGGGGGGGGGGGAGCACUUUUAUUUUAUUCUUUAAAUAAAAGAGGUUUAUUUUAUUCUUAAAAAAACUUUUGAUUUUAAUUUUUCAAAAGGGUUUAUAUUAUUUCUUUUAAAAAUGCCCAACUAUUUAUUAUAGUUGGGCUUUUUUUCUUUUCAAAAGGGGUCAAAGGCAUUUAUUUUUUUUACUUUUUGUGACAAGCCUUUCUUUAUUUGAAAAUUUCUGUUUUAAANNNNNNNNNNNNNNNNNNNNNNNNNNNNNNNNNNNNNNNNNNNNNNNNNNNNNNNNNNNNNNNNNNNNNNNNNNNNNNNNNNNNNNNNNNNNNNNNNNNNNNNNNNNNNNNNNNNNNNNNNNNNNNNNNNNNNNNNNNNNNNNNNNNNNNNNNNNNNNNNNNNNNNNNNNNNNNNNNNNNNNNNNNNNNNNNNNNNNNNNNNNNNNNNNNNNNNNNNNNNNNNNNNNNNNNNNNNNNNNNNNNNNNNNNNNNNNNNNNNNNNNNNNNNNNNNNNNNNNNNNNNNNNNNNNNNNNNNNNNNNNNNNNNNNNNNNNNNNNNNNNNNNNNNNNNNNNNNNNNNNNNNNNNNNNNNNNNNNNNNNNNNNNNNNNNNNNNNNNNNNNNNNNNNNNNNNNNNNNNNNNNNNNNNNNNNNNNNNNNNNNNNNNNNNNNNNNNNNNNNNNNNNNNNNNNNNNNNNNNNNNNNNNNNNNNNNNNNNNNNNNNNNNNNNNNNNNNNNNNNNNNNNNNNNNNNNNNNNNNNNNNNNNNNNNNNNNNNNNNNNNNNNNNNNNNNNNNNNNNNNNNNNNNNNNNNNNNNNNNNNNNNNNNNNNNNNNNNNNNNNNNNNNNNNNNNNNNNNNNNNNNNNNNNNNNNNNNNNNNNNNNNNNNNNNNNNNNNNNNNNNNNNNNNNNNNNNNNNNNNNNNNNNNNNNNNNNNNNNNNNNNNNNNNNNNNNNNNNNNNNNNNNNNNNNNNNNNNNNNNNNNNNNNNNNNNNNNNNNNNNNNNNNNNNNNNNNNNNNNNNNNNNNNNNNNNNNNGCCGCGCUGCCUCUAGCUCGCCUGCCGCCAUUUUGCUAUAGCUGCUGUUGCUGCCAGAGUUUUGCUGCUGUUGAUGUUGCCAAGCUGCUGCAGUAGGUGCUUGGCCGAUGCUUGCUUUGCUGUUGCUGCCUGCUGCCGGAUGUAGUUUAGGUUGUUGUGCUUGCGAUAGCUUGUUGUGCCGAAGAUGCAUGCUGCCACUGUUAUUUGCCUGCUGUGCUGCCAGCUAGCUGCUGCUUGUAGUUGCUGGCUACUAGUGCUGUUGCUUAGUUGCUCUGUUGCCUAGUGCAUUGCUGCUAGGUUAGUUGCGUAGCCAGUUGCUGCUAGUUAGUAAUUGCUAGCUGCUGUAGUUUGUUGUUGGCUGACGCUAGAUAGAUGCUAGGAUGUCAGUUGUUGCAUGCUAGUUUGCCGUGCUAUUGGUUGCCUGCUGCCGCUUUGCUGCUUGCGUCGCCUUUGCUCGUGCUGCCGCUUGCCGUUGCCGCGCACACCAUCCCCGCCACCGUGGGUCAUCGACAAAUCCGCGAGUACAACGACGUCCUCGACGACCCCGGACCGUGUUCGACUACCAACGCCGAAGACCCUGUGCCGACGAGAAGAACCGUGUACGACUACCGUCGACGAGAUCGUGUACCACGACUUCCAUGACGACCGUUGUUCUCCUUCAACGAACCGAACCGCUCCGAUUGCACGCUUCGAAGGUAUACGAUGAGACGUGUCGUGUAACGAAUGCUUGUUUUGUAUGAGAUGAAUGUAUGUUUUGCGUCGUAUGUUGUCGUAGCACGUUGUCUCACUUUUGUUGUGGCCCGACACAUGGGAACCCGAUAUACGGGAUCACCCCAUCCUUAUUUAACGUUCCCGCACACGCUUCCAGAUCGUGGCACCGAUAUCUCGUUGAGUAUCAGGCAAGGAACGUUGUCGUGGCUACAUUUCCGUGUUGCCGCCAUGGUUCCUUCUCGCUCGCCGUGGCGACACAUGUUUCUUUCCCUUCUUGCCCGUGGUGUUGUGAACUUGUAUGCAUGUCGCAUUCAUUGCAUAUAAUCUUGUGUUGCAUGUUCUUGUGCCGUAGCUCCGUUCUAUGUUCCGCGAGUUAAACCAUCUAGGAUGCCAUGUAGGAUCACCGCUUCACCCCUUGCCAUGAUAAUGACAAUUUAAUAUUACCGUGUAAAUAAUCGGGAGUGAAUUAAAUAAUUAAUCGUGGAGUUUCGUCGAUAUGUAACCCAUUGCAUAUUGAGAUUCACUUAAUGUAUAGUGUUUGCAUGAGGUGAUUUGCCAUGCCAUCCCUUGCAUUUUAACCUGGUCAUGCAUCAUAGUAGGUUAUGCAUCAUGUUGUGCAUCGUGUGGUGAAUAUCUGUGUUGAUGUUUGUUUCCGGUUUGCUCCGUCUCGAUAGAGUUCCGCAAGCGUGUCGGAAUGUGAGGACCCAUUCGACUACGUGUUGGGGAACGUCGCAAGGGAAACAAAAAUUUUCCUACGCGCACGAAGACCUAUCAUGGUGAUGUCCAUCUACGAGAGGGGAUGAGUGAUCUACGUACCCUUGUAGAUCGUACAGCAGAAGCGUUAGUGAACGCGGUUGAUGUAGUGGAACGUCCUCACGUCCCUCGAUCCGCCCCGCGAACAAUCCCGCGAUCAGUCCCACGAUCUAGUACCGAACGGACGGCACCUCCGCGUUCAGCACACGUACAGCUCGACGAUGAUCUCGGCCUUCUUGAUCCAGCAAGAGAGACGGAGAGGUAGAAGAGUUCUCCGGCAGCGUGAUGGCGCUCCGGAGGUUGGUGAUGACCUUGUCUCAGCAGGGCUCCGCCCGAGCUCCGCAGAAACGCGAUCUAGAGGAAAAACCGUGGAGGUAUGUGGUCGGGCUGCCGUGGCAAAAGUUGUCUCAAAUCAGCCCUAAUACCUUAGUAUAUAUAGGAGGGAGGGGGAGGGAAGAGGCAGCCUCAAACCCUCAAGGUUUGGCCGAAAUUGGAGGUGGAGGAGUCCUACUCCAAUCCUACUUGGNNNNNNNNNNNNNNNNNNNNNNNNNNNNNNNNNNNNNNNNNNNNNNNNNNNNNNNNNNNNNNNNNNNNNNNNNNNNNNNNNNNNNNNNNNNNNNNNNNNNNNNNNNNNNNNNNNNNNNNNNNNNNNNNNNNNNNNNNNNNNNNNNNNNNNNNNNNNNNNNNNNNNNNNNNNNNNNNNNNNNNNNNNNNNNNNNNNNNNNNNNNNNNNNNNNNNNNNNNNNNNNNNNNNNNNNNNNNNNNNNNNNNNNNNNNNNNNNNNNNNNNNNNNNNNNNNNNNNNNNNNNNNNNNNNNNNNNNNNNNNNNNNNNNNNNNNNNNNNNNNNNNNNNNNNNNNNNNNNNNNNNNNNNNNNNNNNNNNNNNNNNNNNNNNNNNNNNNNNNNNNNNNNNNNNNNNNNNNNNNNNNNNNNNNNNNNNNNNNNNNNNNNNNNNNNNNNNNNNNNNNNNNNNNNNNNNNNNNNNNNNNNNNNNNNNNNNNNNNNNNNNNNNNNNNNNNNNNNNNNNNNNNNNNNNNNNNNNNNNNNNNNNNNNNNNNNNNNNNNNNNNNNNNNNNNNNNNNNNNNNNNNNNNNNNNNNNNNNNNNNNNNNNNNNNNNNNNNNNNNNNNNNNNNNNNNNNNNNNNNNNNNNNNNNNNNNNNNNNNNNNNNNNNNNNNNNNNNNNNNNNNNNNNNNNNNNNNNNNNNNNNNNNNNNNNNNNNNNNNNNNNNNNNNNNNNNNNNNNNNNNNNNNNNNNNNNNNNNNNNNNNNNNNNNNNNNNNNNNNNNNNNNNNNNNNNNNNNNNNNNNNNNNNNNNNNNNNNNNNNNNNNNNNNNNNNNNNNNNNNNNNNNNNNNNNNNNNNNNNNNNNNNNNNNNNNNNNNNNNNNNNNNNNNNNNNNNNNNNNNNNNNNNNNNNNNNNNNNNNNNNNNNNNNNNNNNNNNNNNNNNNNNNNNNNNNNNNNNNNNNNNNNNNNNNNNNNNNNNNNNNNNNNNNNNNNNNNNNNNNNNNNNNNNNNNNNNNNNNNNNNNNNNNNNNNNNNNNNNNNNNNNNNNNNNNNNNNNNNNNNNNNNNNNNNNNNNNNNNNNNNNNNNNNNNNNNCUUAAGUGUGCAGACCCUGCGGGUUCGAGAACUAUGUAGACAUGACCCGAGAGACUCCUCGGUCAAUAUCCAAUAGCGGGACCUGGAUGCCCAUAUUGGAUCCUACAUAUUCUACGAAGAUCUUAUCGUUUGAACCUCAGUGCCAAGGAUUCAUAUAAUCCCGUAUGUCAUUCCCUUUGUCCUUCAGUAUGUUAUUUGCCCGAGAUUCGAUCGUCAGUAUCCGUAUACCUAUUUCAAUCUCGUUUACUGGCAAGUCUCUUUACUCGUUCCGUAAUACAAGAUCCCGCAACUUACACUAAGUUACAUUGCUUGCAAGGCUUGUGUGUGAUGUUGUAUUACCGAGUGGGCCCCGAGAUACCUCUCCGUUCACACGGAGUGACAAAUCCCAGUCUUGAUCCAUACUAACUCAACUAACACCUUCGGAGAUACCUGUAGAGCAUCUUUAUAGUCACCCAGUUACGUUGCGACGUUUGAUACACACAAAGCAUUCCUCCGGUGUCAGUGAGUUAUAUGAUCUCAUGGUCAUAGGAAUAAAUACUUGACACGCAGAAAACAGUAGCAACAAAAUGACACGAUCAACAUGCUACGUCUAUUAGUUUGGGUCUAGUCCAUCACAUGAUUCUCCUAAUGAUGUGAUCCCGUUAUCAAGUGACAACACUUGCCUAUGGCCAGGAAACCUUGACCAUCUUUGAUCAACGAGCUAGUCAACUAGAGGCUUACUAGGGACAGUGUUUUGUCUAUGUAUCCACACAAGUAUUGUGUUUCCAAUCAAUACAAUUAUAGCAUGGAUAAUAAACGAUUAUCAUGAACUAAGAAAUAUAAUAAUAACUAAUUUAUUAUUGCCUCUAGGGCAUAUUUCCAACAGUCUCCCACUUGCACUAGAGUCAAUAAUCUAGUUCACAUCACCAUGUGAUUCCAACGAAUCCAACACCCAUAUAGUUAUGGGGUCUGAUCACGUCUUGCUCGUGAGAGAGGUUUUAGUCAACGGUUCUGAAACUUCCAGAUUCGUGCGUUCUCUACAAAUCUUUAUGUCAUCUUAUAGAUGCUGCUACUAUGUGCUAUUCGGAAAUGCUCCAAAUAUCUACUCUACUAUACGAAUCCGUUUCACUACUCACAGUUAUCCGGAUUAGUGUCAAAGCUUGCAUUGACGUAACCCUUUACGACAAACUCUUUAACCACCUCCAUAAUCGAGAAAAAUUCCUUAGUCCAUUAGUUACUAAGGAUAAAUUUCGACCGCUGCUAGUGAUUCAAUCAUGGAUCACUCUCUGUACCUCUCAACAUACUUUGAGUCAAGGCACACUUCAUGUGCGGUACACAGCAUGGCAUACUUUAGAUUCUACGGCUAAGGCAUAGAAGACGACCUUCGUCUAUUCUCUUUAUUCUGCCGUGGUCGGUUUUUGAGUCUUACUCAAAUUCACACCUCACAACGCAACCAAGAACUCCUUCUUUGCUGGUCUAUUUUGAACUCUUUCAAAAACUUGUCAAGGCAUGCAUCUUGUUGAAACUUCUAUUAAGCGCUUUCGAUCUAUCUCCAUAGAUCUUUGAUGCUCAACGUUCAAGUAGCGUAAUCCAGGUACUCCUUUGAAAACUUCUUUCAAACAACCUUGUAUGCUUUACAGAAAUUCUACAUUACUUCUGAUCCAUAAUAUGUCAACCACAUAUACCUAUCAGAAAUUCUACAGUGCUCCCACUCACUUCUUUGGAAAUACAAGUUUCUCAUAAACCUUGUACACACCCAAAAUCUUUGAUCAUCUCAUCAAAGUGCUUAUUCCAACUCCGAGAUGCUUGCACCAGUCCAUUGAAGGAUCACUGGAGCUUGCAUACUUGCUAGCAUCUUUAGGAUCGACAAAAACUUCUGGUUGUAUCACAUACAAUGUUUGCUCAAGGAAACCGUCGAGGAAACAAUGUUUUGACAUCCUACGUGCAAUAUUUCAUAAAUAAUGCAUCAACAACUAACAUAAUUCUAACAGACCUUUAGCAUCGCUACGAGUGAGAAAGUCUCAUCAUAGUCAACUGUUUGAUCUUGUCGAAAACAUCUUUGUGACAAGUCGAGCUUUUCUUAAUAGUGACUUAUCACCAUCAUCGUCUGUUUUCCUUUAAAGAUCCAUCUUUACUCAAUAGUCCUAUGACCAUCAAGUAAUUCUUCCAAAGUCUACACUUUGUUUUCAUACAUGGAUCCUCUCUCGGAUUUCAUGGCUUCCAGCCAUUUGUCGGAAUCUGGGCCCACCAUCGCUUUCUCCAUAACUCGUAGGUUCAUUGUUGCUCAACAACAUGACCUCCAAGACAGGGUUACCGUACUACUCUCCAGCAGUACGCGACCUUGUCGACCUACGAGGUUUGUAGUAACUUGAUUCGAAGCUCAAUGAUCACCAUCAUCAUCUUCCACUUCAAUUGGUGUAGGCGCCACAGGAACAACUUCCUGCGCCCUGCUACACACUGGUUGAAGUGAUGGUUCAAUAACCUCAUCAAGUUCUACUACCCUCCCACUCAAUUCUUUCGAGAGAAACCUUUCCUCGAGAAAGGAUCCGUUUCUAGAAACAAACACUUUGCUUUCGGAUCUGAGAUAGGAGAUGUACCCAACUGUUUUGGAUACCCUAUGAAGAAGCAUUUAUCUGCUUUGGGUUCGAGCUUAUCAGACUGAAACUUUUUCACAUAAGUGUCGAAACCCCAAACUUUCAGGAAACGACAGUUUAGAUUUCUCUAAACCUCAGUCUAUACUGUGUCAUCUCAACGGAAAUACGCGGUGCCCUAUUUAAAGUGAGUGCGGUUGUCUCUAAUGCAAAACCCAUAAACGAUAGUGGUAAUUCGAUAAGAGACAUCAUAGUAUGCACCAUACCAAAUAGUGCGUGGCUAUGACGUUCAGACACAUCAUCACACUAUGAUGUUCUAGGUGGCAUGAACUGCGAAACAAUUUCCACAUUGUCUUAACUGCGUACCAAAAACCCGUAACUCAGAUUUUCAUUUCCAUGAUCAUAUCGUAGACAGUUUAUCCUCUUGUUACGAUGAACUUCACUCUGAAACGGAAUUGAACUUUUCAACAUUUCAGACUUGUGAUUCAUUAAGUAAAUACUCCUGUAUCUACUCAAAUCGUCAGUGAAGUAAGAACAUAAUGAUAUCCACUGCGUGCCUCAGCACCCAUUGGACUGCAUACAUCAAAAUGUAUCACUUCCAACAAGUUACUAUCUUAUUUCAUCUCAAUGAAAACAAGGCCUUGCUCAUGUGGUAUGAUUUGCAUGUCACUAGUGAUUCGAAAUCAGGUGAGUACAAAGAUCCAUCAGCAUGGAGCCUCUUCAUGCAAUUUAUACUAACAUGACUCAAGCGGCAGUGCCACAAGUAAGUGGUACUAUCAUCAUUAACUCGUAUCUUUUGGCACCAAUAUCAUGAACAUGUGUAACACUACGAUCGAGAUUCAAUAAACCAUUGAAGGUGAAUAUUCAAGAAAAUAGAGUAACCAUUAUUCUCCUUAAAUGAAUAAUCGUAUUGCAAUAAACACGAUACAAUCAUGUUCAUGCUUAACGCAAGCACCAAAUAACAAUUAUUUAGGUUUAACACCAAUCCCGAUGGUAGAGGGAGCGUGCGACGUUUGAUCAUAUCAACCUUGGAAACACUUCCAACACGUAUCGUCACCUCGCCUUUAGCUAGUCUCCGUUUAUGCCGUAGCUUUCAUUUCGUGUUACUAAUCACUUAGCAACCGAACCGGUAUCCAAUACCCUCAUGCUACUAGGAGUACUAGUAAAGUACACAUCAACAUCAUGUAUAUCAAAUACACUUCUUUCGACUUUUGCCAGCCUUCUUAUCUACCAAGUAUCUAGAGUUGCUCCGCCUCAGUGACUGUUCCCCUCAUUACAGAAGCACUUAGUCUCGGGUUUGGGUUUAAUCUUGGGUCUCUUCAUUAGUGCAGCAACUGUUUUGCCGUUUCACGAAGUAUCCCUUCUAGCCCUUGCCUUUCUUGAAACUUAGUGGUUUUACAAACCAUCAACUAUUGACGCUCCUUCUUGAUUUCUACUUUCGCAGUGUCAAACAUCACGAAUCGCUCAAGGAUCAUUGUAUCUAUCCUUGAUAUGUUAUAGUUCAUCACGAAGCUCUCACAGCUUGGUGGCAGUGACUUUUGGAGAACCAUCACUAUGUCAUCUGGAAGAUUAACUCCCACUUGAUUCAAGUGUUUGUCGUACUCAGACAAUCUGAGCACACGCUCAACGAUUGAGCUUUUCUCAUUUACUUUGUGGACAAAGAAUCUUGUUGGAGGUCUCGUACCUCUUAACAAGGGCACAAGCAUGAAAUCACAAUUUCAUCUCUUUAGAAGAUCACUUAUGUUCCGUGACGUUUCAAAACGUCUUCGGCGCCUUGCUUCUGAGCCAUUAAGUAUUUUGCACUGAACUAUCAUGUAGUCAUCAGAAACGUGUAUGUCUGAUGUUCACAGCAUCCACAGACGACGCUCGAGGUGCAGCACACCAAGUGGUGCAUUAAGGACAUAAGCCUUCUGCGCAGCAACGAGGACAAUCCUCUGCAAAGUUUGCUACUAUCAACUUUCAACUAAAUUUUCUCUAGGAACAUAUAAAAACAGUAGAGCUAUAGCGCAAGCUACAUCGUAAUUCGCAAAGACCAUUAGACUAUGUUCAUGACAAUUAGUUCAAUUAAUCAUAUUACUUAAGAACUCCCACUCAAAAAGUACAUCUCUCUAGUCAUUUGAGUGGUACAUGAUCCAAAUCCACUAUCUCAAGUCCGAUCAUCACGUGAGUCGAGAAUAGUUUCAGUGGUAAGCAUCUCUAUGCUAAUCAUAUCAACUAUACGAUUCAUGCUCGACCUUUCGGUCUCAUGUGUUCCGAGGCCAUGUCUGCACAUGCUAGGCUCGUCAAGCUUAACCCGAGUGUUCUGCGUGUGCAACUGUUUUGCACCCGUUGUAUGUGAACGUUGAGUCUAUCACACCCGAUCAUCACGUGGUGUCUCGAAACGAAGAACUGUCGCAACGGUGCACAGUCGGGGAGAACACAAUUUCGUCUUGAAAUUUUAGUGAGAGAUCACCUCAUAAUGCUACCGUCGUUCUAAGCAAAAUAAGGUGCAUAAAAGGAUUAACAUCACAUGCAAUUCAUAAGUGACAUGAUAUGGCCAUCAUCACGUGCUUCUUGAUCUCCAUCACCAAAGCACCGGCAAGAUCUUCUUGUCACCGGCGCCACACCAUGAUCAUCCAUCAACGUGUUGCCAUCGGGGUUGUCGUGCUACUUAUGCUAUUACUACUAAAGCUACAUCCUAGCAAAAUAGUAAACGCAUCUGCAAGCACAAACGUUAGUAUAAAGACAACCCUAUGGCUCCUGCCGGUUGCCGUACCAUCGACGUGCAAGUCGAUAUUAUCUAUUACAACAUGAUCAUCUCAUACAUCCAAUAUAUCACAUCACAUCGUUGGCCAUAUCACAUCACAAGCAUACCCUGCAAAAACAAGUUAGACGUCCUCUAAUUUUGUUGUUGCAUGUUUUACGUGGUGACCAUGGGUAUCUAGUAGGAUCGCAUCUUACUUACGCAAACACCACAACGGAGAUAUAUGAGUUGCUAUUUAACCUCAUCCAAGGACCUCCUCGGUCAAAUCCGAUUCAACUAAAGUUGGAGAAACCGACACUUGCCAGUCAUCUUUGAGCAACGGGGUUACUCGUAGCGAUGAAACCAGUCUCUCGUAAGCGUACGAGUAAUGUCGGUCCAAGCCGCUUCAAUCCAACAAUACCGCGGAAUCAAGAAAAGACUAAGGAGGGCAGCAAAACGCACAUCACCGCCCACAAAACCUUUUGUGUUCUACUCGAGAAGACAUCUACGCAUGAACCUAGCUCAUGAUGCCACUGUUGGGGAACGUCGCAAGGGAAACAAAAAUUUUCCUACGCGCACGAAGACCUAUCAUGGUGAUGUCCAUCUACGAGAGGGGAUGAGUGAUCUACGUACCCUUGUAGAUCGUACAGCAGAAGCGUUAGUGAACGCGGUUGAUGUAGUGGAACGUCCUCACGUCCCUCGAUCCGCCCCGCGAACAAUCCCGCGAUCAGUCCCACGAUCUAGUACCGAACGGACGGCACCUCCGCGUUCAGCACACGUACAACUCGACGAUGAUCUCGGCCUUCUUGAUCCAGCAAGAGAGACGGAGAGGUAGAAGAGUUCUCCGGCAGCGUGACGGCGCUCCGGAGGUUGGUGAUGACCUUGUCUCAGCAGGGCUCCGCCCGAGCUCCGCAGAAACGCGAUCUAGAGGAAAAACCAUGGAGGUAUGUGGUCGGGCUGCCGUGGCAAAAGUUGUCUCAAAUCAGCCCUAAUACCUUAGUAUAUAUAGGAGGGAGGGGGAGGGAAGAGGCAGCCUCAAACCCUCAAGGUUUGGCCGAAAUUGGAGGUGGAGGAGUCCUACUCCAAUCCUACUUGGAGUAGGAUUCCACCUUCCCACUUGGAAACUCUUUCCACCUUGUGUUUUUUCCUUCUCAAACCUUAUGGGCCUUAGUGGGAACUUAUUCCAGCCCACUAGGGGCUGGUUUAUCUCUUCCCAUAGCCCAUGAGACCCCUUGGGGCGUGACACCCCUCCCGAUGGUCCCCGGCACCCCUCCCGGCACUCCCGGUACACUACCGAUGAGCCCGAAACUUUUCCGGUGACCAAAACAGGACUUCCUAUAUAUCAAUCUUUACCUCCGGACCAUUCCGGAGCUCCUCGUGACGUCCUGGAUCUCAUCCGGGACUCCGAACAACAUUCGGUAACCAACCAUAUAACUCAAAUACGCAUAAAACAACGUCGAACCUUAAGUGUGCAGACCCUGCGGGUUCGAGAACUAUGUAGACAUGACCCGAGAGACUCCUCGGUCAAUAUCCAAUAGCGGGACCUGGAUGCCCAUAUUGGAUCCUACAUAUUCUACGAAGAUCUUAUCGUUUGAACCUCAGUGCCAAGGAUUCAUAUAAUCCCGUAUGUCAUUCCCUUUGUCCUUCAGUAUGUUAUUUGCCCGAGAUUCGAUCGUCAGUAUCCGUAUACCUAUUUCAAUCUCGUUUACUGGCAAGUCUCUUUACUCGUUCCGUAAUACAAGAUCCCGCAACUUACACUAAGUUACAUUGCUUGCAAGGCUUGUGUGUGAUGUUGUAUUACCGAGUGGGCCCCGAGAUACCUCUCCGUUCACACGGAGUGACAAAUCCCAGUCUUGAUCCAUACUAACUCAACUAACACCUUCGGAGAUACCUGUAGAGCAUCUUUAUAGUCACCCAGUUACGUUGCGACGUUUGAUACACACAAAGCAUUCCUCCGGUGUCAGUGAGUUAUAUGAUCUCAUGGUCAUAGGAAUAAAUACUUGACACGCAGAAAACAGUAGCAACAAAAUGACACGAUCAACAUGCUACGUCUAUUAGUUUGGGUCUAGUCCAUCACAUGAUUCUCCUAAUGAUGUGAUCCCGUUAUCAAGUGACAACACUUGCCUAUGGCCAGGAAACCUUGACCAUCUUUGAUCAACGAGCUAGUCAACUAGAGGCUUACUAGGGACAGUGUUUUGUCUAUGUAUCCACACAAGUAUUGUGUUUCCAAUCAAUACAAUUAUAGCAUGGAUAAUAAACGAUUAUCAUGAACUAAGAAAUAUAAUAAUAACUAAUUUAUUAUUGCCUCUAGGGCAUAUUUCCAACACUACGAUGGUUCGUCGACUUCUUGGAGUUGUUCUUCUUCCAAGCCGGAUCUCAGGCAAGAUGACCAUUUCCCCAGAUACCAUUACUAUCAUUGCCAUGCUAGUUUUACCGUUUCUACCGUUUACGUCUUGUUGCCUACCACUUGUUAUAUACGCGCCUCUCAACAAUGCCAUGAUAACCUUCAACUGUUCAACCUAGCAAACCACUAAUUGGCUAUGUUACUGUUUUCUUAACCAUGUUGUUAGCGUUGCUAGUUGCACGUGUAGUUGCUUCCAUGUGAAAACAUGGGUUCCUUGUUAUAUCACUCUAUUAAAUGCUAUUAAUUUAAUGCACCUAUAUACUUGGUAAAAGGUGGAAGGCUCGGCCUUUCUAGCCUGGUGUUUUGUUCCACCUUUGCCCCCUUAGUUUCGGCUACCGGUGUUAUGUUUCAUAAACGAGCGCUCCUAACACGAUCGGGGUUGUUAUGGGACCCCCUUGAUAAUUUGUUUUAGAUUAAAGCUGGUCCGGCAAGGCCCAACAUUGGUACUACAUUUUCCCAACAUAAUAAUUUUAUUAAUACUGAAAGCAUAGGGUGUCAUGAACCCGAGGAGUAAUUUUACAUAAUAUAGGGGGGCCAAUGCUGAUGGUGCUGGUCCAACACUAGAGCCGUUUGCGGGGCCAACCCGAGGCAACUCGGGAGAUUUCUAUGAGGCCACCGUACGCUGUGCUUAUCCGUUGUGUCCUGAGAACGAGAUAUGCGGCUCCUAUCAGGAUCGUCGACACGUCGGGCGGCCUUGCUAGAUUAGUUUUACGUUUGAUGAGAUAUCUUGUGCAUCGGGAUUCCGGUGAUGCUUUGGGUAAUCUCAGAGUUGAGGUUUUCCACUAAGGAAUCCGACGAGAUCGCGAGUGUCGUGAUCGAGGAUUUCUAUGCGGCUUGUGGUAAUUUAUGAUGGACUAGUUGGAGCACCCCUGCAGGGUUAAAUCUUUUCGGAAAGCCGUGCCCACGGUUAUGUGGCAACGUGGAAACUUUGUUUAACACUGGUUCUAGAUAACUUGAAGUUAACUUAAUUAAAAUAUGCCAACUGUGUGCGUAACCGUGACUGUCUCUUUCGUGAGUUCCGUCUCUGAUCGAGGACACGGUGGGGUUAUGUCUAACGUAGGUAGGUGUUCAGGAUCAUUCAUUUGAUCAUCAGUAGUUCACAUCCGUUAUGCGUAGAUCUUCCCCCCUCUUAUUUCUUGUACUCGUAAGUUUAGCCACCAAGUAUAUGCUUAGCCGCUGCUGCAACCUCACCACUUAUCCAUGCCUCACCCAUUAAGCUUAGCUAGUCUUGAUACCUUUGGAAAUGAGAUUGCUGAGUCCCCUAUGGCUCACAGAUUACUACAACACCAGUUGCAGGUACAGGUAAAGGUUACUCGACGCGAGCGCGUUGAUUGUUCAUUUGGAGUUGCUUCUUCUUCAUCGAUCUAGGAUGGGUUCCAGGCCGGCAGCCUGGGAUAGCAAGGAUGGACGUCGUUCUUCUUUUGCCGUUUGUUUUCGUCCGUAGUCGGACCCUGCUCCUACUCUUGAUGAUUAUGUAAUGUACUGAUGUGACUCUGAUGUAGCUUGUGGCGAGUGUAAGCCAAUUCUAUUAUAUAUCUCUUCUUUUCAGUACAUGUACUUGUAACGAUGUCCAUUCUUGCGACACGACGAGAUGCGCUUCUAUCCCUGACGAGGCCUUCGUGCCAAAUUGAGGAUAGGGUCGCAUCUUGGGCGUGACAAGUUGGUAUCAUACCAGUACCGACCUAGGAGCCCCCUUGAUUGAUCGAACUUGGCCGAGUCGAGUCUAGUAAAAAAAACUGCUUUGAGUCUUAGUUAUAUAUCAGAGAGUAGGAUUCUUUUUUCUCCUCUUCUAUGCUCUGGUGAGGAAUCUUGACGUAAUAAUUUAAUUCUACUCCUCUUCUCACUCAAAAUUUUUUUUUUUAGGAUCACGCGGAUAUUUUUGGAAUCUAUAUGAUGCGAUGUGACGGAGUUCUGUCUUGGUGCCUCCUAUUUGCUUUGAGUUUCAGGGGAGUUGAGCUCCAGGGGAUUCUUGAGCACAUCGUUAUCAUUCAGGUUUCUUAGUAUCUCAGAACGAAGGAUGUUCGAAAUUGCUUCAAUACUAGUCGUGGCGAGAUAACCCCGAUGUCCCCAGUACUGGUGCAGAUUGUUCGGGAGUACUGCCAUACUUUGUAUCGUUGUGAUCACGAGGGUCUGUUGUAGAUGAAGGUCCGAGAUUCUGGUUGUGUGUUGACGGAUGUGAUACAGGUGACGGGUUAGUAUAUGAGUUGUGUGAUAUUACUCCUUGUAUCCGUGUACUAGAUUGCAUGACCAGAUAUUUCGGGAAUUCAUAGGUGGGAAUUCAAGUAGUUACUUAUAGGACGAUCUUCCAACAAAUUUGUGUUGCUUCGAUGUCAAGUGGUGAUUUCAGAUCUGUUCUAAGAGGUGUUCUCAUAUUUUAUAAGAGUAUUAAUUCUUUUGCUCUAUCAAUUGUCUUAUCAAUUCCUUUUCAACCGGAGUCAUCGUAUCAAUUCCAUUCAAUCGGUGUGCUUCUCUUUAGCUGAACUCAAUCUUCUCCAGUGGUUGCAGAUCAUUCUCUCAAUCCUUUCCGGAGUUCAUCUCAUCUGUCUCAAGUUGUCUUUGUUUUUCCCCGCCCUCCCACCCUUUUCUUCAGUGAUUCAAUUUUUAUCUAGGAGUUUUCUUGUCAUUGUGCUUCCGUUGCCUGUUCUUUCCUCUUUUACCCGGUGUUUCAUUGUGAAGAUUCUCAGGAGCUUCGUGUUCAUCCUUAUUCNNNNNNNNNNNNNNNNNNNNNNNNNNNNNNNNNNNNNNNNNNNNNNNNNNNNNNNNNNNNNNNNNNNNNNNNNNNNNNNNNNNNNNNNNNNNNNNNNNNNAGAAAACAACAAAAAAGAAAAACCGGUUCAGAGAAUCUUCUAGAAAGUUCCCAAAAUCGGAAAAAAUCAGCUGAAAACCUGUAGAAGGUUCCCAAAACCGGAGCUGUUGGCAUGUAAAUGGGCCGGCCCAUUACCAAACGUAGCAUGGGACAUUUAGACACAGAAUGCUGCUAAUACGGAUUUCCGAGGGAGACUAGAGGCUAGCUGCAGCUAGGGCAUAAAAGAGAUCGGGCCAAACGCCUCUUUGCCUUAGGUCAGGUAUAAAUACUGGGACAAAUGUAACCAAGCCCUUAUGGCUCUCUGUCAGGAUAAAAAAUAAGCAAACUGUAGCCCGUUUUGACCUUUAGAGGCUUUGUUACAAUCUUGAAUUUCGGCCUCGGUUAUGGGAGCACCUCCUAGGAAAGGUCCUAUAGCGGGCCAGCCCAGGACCUGGUAAAGAAAGCAACGCAUAGAAAAAAACUGGAGAAAAAAUCAUGAAAUUUUGAAAUAAAUUCACAAACUACAAAAAGGUUAUCAAAUUUGAAAAAAAAUGUGAAAAACUUUCAUUAAAAUUGACAAAUAGGACAUCAAACAUGAAAAAACUACAUCAAUAUUGAAAAAAGAAGUACAGCAAAAUAGAAAAAAAUCAUCAAAAAUGAAAAUAGUUCAUCAAAUUUGAAAAUAGUUUAUUGUAAUUGAGAACUAGUUCAUCAAUUUUGAAAAAGGUCAUCGAUUUUGAAAAAAAUCAUAGAAUUUGGAACAAAUCACUGAUUCUCGAAAAAGUUCGUUAAUUUUUGUAAGAAAGUAUAUUGAGAAUGAAAAAAGUUUUUCAAUUUUAAAAAAAGUUCAUCGAUUUUGAAGAAAAGUUCAUGGAUUUUGAAAAAUAUAUUGUGAAUUUGAAAAAAAAAUCAUGCAUUUAGCAAAAAAAAGGNNNNNNNNNNNNNNNNNNNNNNNNNNNNNNNNNNNNNNNNNNNNNNNNNNNNNNNNNNNNNNNNNNAAAAAGUUACACGAACUAAAGAGGACAAAAGGAUGAAAAGAAGCUAAUUAACAUGUUAAUCAUGAUGGUUUAGUGGUUACUUCUCUAAUCCCUGUUGUCGCAUCAUUUUUUUCUUUAAUAUGAAAUGAAAAGGUUAAACGGGUCGGCUGAUGAGUCUAAAUUUUGAGACCUCUUCACCGUUUUUUUUNNNNNNNNNNNNNNNNNNNNNNNNNNNNNNNNNNNNNNNNNNNNNNNNNNNNNNNNNNNNNNNNNNNNNNNNNNNNNNNNNNNNNNNNNNNNNNNNNNNNUGCCACCAGGGGGGUGGCGGCUACAUGGCUUGUGGCCCACUAGCCCAUCCCCUUCGGUGGAUCUUUGCGCACGUAUUUUUCAUAUUUUCCAGAAAUAUUCUCCGUAAAUUUUCAGGACGUUUUGAGAACUUCCAUUUCUGCACAAAAACAACACCAAGGCAAUUCUGCUGAAAACAACGUCAGUCCAGGUUAGUUCCAUUCAAAUCAUGCAAAUUAGAGUCCAAAACAAGGGCAAAAGAGUUUGGAAAAGUAGAUAUCAUGGAGAUGUAUCAAUGCCCACAAAAAAAAGAGGCCAAAGAACCCACCCAAAAAAAUGAGAGAAAAAGAGAGAAGCGACAAUGCUACUAUAUUUCCACACUUGUGCUUAUUAAGCACCAUUAUCUUCAUGAUUGAGAGUCUCUCGUUUUGUCACCACCAUAUAGCUAGUGGGAAAUUUUCAUUAUAUAAUUUGGCUUGUAUAUUCCAAUGAUGGGCUUCCUCAAAAUUGCCUUAGGUCUUCGUGAGCAAGCAAGUUGGAUGCACACCCACUAGUUUUCUUUAAGAGCUUUCACAUACUCCUAGCUCUAGUGCAUCAUUUGUAUGGCAAUCCCUACUCAUUCACAUUGAUAUCUAUUGAUGAGCAUCUCCAUAGCUCAUUGAUAUGCCUAGUCAAUGUGACCAUCUUCUCCUUGUUUGCCUUGCAACCUCCACCACACUCCAUUCCACUUAUAGUGCUAAAACCAUGGCUCACGCUCAUGUAUUACGUGAGAGUUGAAAAAGUUUGAGAAAGUAAAGGUGUGAAAAAAAUUACUUGGCCAAUACCGAGGUUGUGCAUGAUUUAAAUUCGUUGUGCAAGGAUGAUAGAGCAUAGCCAGACUAUAUGAUUUUGUAGGGAUAACUUUCUUUUUGGCCUUGUUAUUUUGAAAGUUCAUGAUUACCUUGCUAGCUUGCUGGAAGUAUUAUGGUCUCCACAUCAAUAGCAAACUAUUGUUUUGAAUCUAACGGAUCUGAACAUUCAUGCACGUGAGAGAAGUUACAAAGGACAACUAUGCUAGGUAGCAUGCAACAUCAAAAAUUCAUUCUUUAUCACUUCCCUACUCGAGGACGAGCAGGAGUUAAGCUUGGGGAUGCUUGAUACGUCUCCAACGUAUCUAUAAUUUUUGAUGGUUCCAUGCUAUUAUCUUGUCAACCUUGGAUGUUUUAUAUGCAUGAAUAUGCUAUUUUAUAUCUUUUUUGGGACUAACCUAUUAACUCAGUGCCAAGUGCCAGUUUCUGUUUUUUCCGUGUUUUUGACCCUUUUUCAGACGGAGUCCAAAUGGAAUGAAACUUUACGAUGAUUUUUUUGGACCAAAAGAGACCCCCGAAGCUUUGGAAGAAGGCCAUAAGAGCCACGAGGGAGUCACAAGCCCUGAAGCCACCACCACCCCCCUAGGCGGCGCCUACCAGGCUUGUGACCUCCUCGUGGGCCCAACCGAUGUAAUUCCACCGCCAUAAAUUCCUAUAAAUUCAGAACCCCCCAAAAAGAAACCUAGAUCGGGAGUUCUGCCGCCACAAGCCUCUGUAGCCACCAAAAACCAAUCUGGAGCCCGUUCCAGCACCCUGUCGGAGGGGGAAUCCAUCUCCGAUGGCCAUCUUCGUCAUCCCGGCGAUCUCCAUGACGAGGAGGGAGUAGUUCUCCCUCGGGGCUGAGGGUAUGUACUAGUAGCUAUUGUUUGAUCUCUCUCUCUCUCUCGUGUUCUUGAGAUGUCUUGAUCUCGAUGUACCAUGGGCUUUGCUACUGUAGUUGGAUCUUAUGAUGUUGUUCCCCCUCUCCCUCUUGUAAUGAAUUGAGUUUCCCCUCUGGAGUUAUCUUAUCGGAUUGAGUCUUUGAGAACACUUGAUAUAUGUCUUGCACGUGUCUAUCUGCUGCGAUCAACUUGCGGGUUCGUGACAUUGGGAACCUAUGCAUAUGGGUUGGCACACGUGGAUUCAUGUGAGUACUUGUUGUAUGUUUUUGUGAUCAACUUGCGGAUUCGUGACAUUGGGAACCUAUGCACAGGGGUUGGCACACGUUUUUACUCUCUAGUAGAAACUUUGGGGCACUCUUUGAAGUUCUAUGUGUUGGUUGAAUAAAUGAUUCUGAUAUUGUGUGAUGCAUAUCGUAUAAUCAUGCCCACGGAUACUUGAGGUGACAAUGGAGUAUCUAGGUGACAUUAGGGUCUUGGUUGAUAUGUAUCUUAAGGUGUUAUUCUAGUACGAACUCUAUGAUGGAUCGAACGGAAAGAAUAGCUUCGUGUUAUUUUACUACGGACUCUUGAAUAGAUCGAUCAGAAAGAAUAACUUUGCGGUGGUUUCGUACCCGACAAUAAUCUCUUCGUUUUUUCUCUUCUAUUAGUGACUUUGGAGUGAAUCUUUGUUGCAUGUUGAGGGCUAGUUAUAUGAUCCAAUUAUGUUAUUAUUGUUGAGAGAACUUCACUAGUGAAAGUAUGAACCCUAGGCCUUGUUUCCACGCAUUGCAAUACCGUUCGUGCUCACUUUUGUUACUAGUUACCUUGCUGUUUUUGUAAUUUCAUAUUAAGAAAACCUAUAUCUACCAUCCAUUUUGCACUUGUAUCACCAUCUCUUCGCCGAACUAGUGCACCUAUACAACUUACCAUUGUAUUGGGUGUGUUCGGGACACAAGAGACUCUUUGUUAUUUGGUUGCAGGGUUGCUUGAGAGAGACCAUCUUCAUCCUAUGCCUCCUGCGGAUUGAUAAACCUUAGGCCACCCACUUGAGGGAAAAUUUCUACUGUCCUUGAUACGUCCAUUUUCCAUCAUGCUUUCAUGUUAAUAUUUAUCGCUUUAUGGGUUGUUAUAUUACCUUGUGGUACCAUACUUAUGCCUUUUCUCUCUUAUUUGGCAAGGUUUAUUUGAAGAGAGAGAAUACCGGCAACUGAAAUUCUGGACUGGAAAAGGAGCAAGUCUGAGUCCUCUAUUCUGCACAACUCCAAAUGCCCUGAAAAUCAACGUGGACUUUUUUGGGAGUUUAUAAAAAAUAAUGGGCGAAAGAAGUACCACAGGGGAGCUACCAGGGCCCCACAAGCCUGGUGGCGGCUACAGGGCUUGUGGGCUCCCUGACGACCCACUGGCCCCCCUCUUUUGCUAUAUGAAGGGUUUCGUUCCAGAAAAAAUCAAGGAUGAGCUUUUUCGUGGUUUCACUGCCGCCACGAGGCGGAACUUGAGCAGAUCCAAUCUAGAGCUCCGGCAGGACGAAACUGUCGGGGAAACUUCCCUCCCGGAGGGGGAAAUCGUCACCAUCGUCAUCACCAACACUCCUCUCGUCGGAGGGGAGUCAUCUCCAUCAACAUCUUCAUCAGCACCAUCUCCUCUCCAAUCCCUAGUUCAUCUCUUGUAACCAAUCUCCAUCUCGCGACUCCGAUUGGUACUUGUAAGGUUGCUAGUAGUGUUGAUUACUCUUUGUAGUUGAUGCUAGUUGGAUUACUUGGUGGAAGAGUUUAUGUUCAGAUCCUUGAUGCUAUUCUUUACACCUCUGAUCAUGAUUAUGAUUAUGCUUUGUGAGUAGUUACUUUUGUUCCUGAGGACAUGGGAUAAGUCAUGCUGAUAAUAGUCAUGUGAAUUUGGUAUUCGUUCGGUAUUUUGAUAUGUUGUAUGUUGUAUUUUCCUCUAGUGGUGUUAUGUGAACGUCGACUACAUAACACUUCACCAUAUUUGGGCCUAGAGGAAGGCAUUGGGGAGUAGUAAGUAGAUGAUGGGUUGCUAGAGUGAUAGAAGCUUAAACCCCAGUCUAUGCGUUGCUUCGUAAGGGGAUGAUUUGGAUCCACUAGUUUAAUGCUAUGGUUAGACGUUGUCUUAAUUCUUAUUUCAUAGUUGCGGAUGCUUGCGAGAGGGGUUAAUCAUAAGUGAGAUGCUUGUCCAAGUAAGGGCAGUACCCAAGCGUCAGUCCACCCACAUAUCAAACUAUGAAAGUAAUGAACACGAAUCACAUGAACAUGAUGAAACUAGCAUGACAGAAAUUCCCGUGUGUCCUCAGGAGCGUUUUUCCUCGUAUAAGACUUUGUUCACGCUUGUCCCUUGCUACAAAAGGGAUUGGGCCACUUGUUGCACCAUUGCUACUACUUGUUACUUGUUACUUUUUGCUUGCUACGUUUCACCUUGCUACACCAUCACUUGUUACCGCUACUUUCAGUGCUUGCACUUACUACCUUGCUGAAAACUGUUUAUCAGAGCCUUCUGCUCCUCGUUGGGUUCGACACUCUUACUUAUCGAAAGGACUACGAUUGAUCCCCUAUACUUGUGGGUCAUCAAGACUCUAUUUCUGGCACCGUUGCCGGGGAAGGAGAGAUCUAUCCAAGUAGGUCUCACAAACUCAUCUCUUGCAUUUACCUUUUUUGCGAGUUCCCUCUCGUUUUCCUCUCCCCCACUUCACAUUUCUCGUUUUCAUUUGCCUUUCGCCUUUGCCGUUUUCUUUUGCCUUUUGCCUUUUUUCCGUUUUCCUUUGCCGGUUUUCUUGCUUGCUUGUGUGCUUGUUUGUUUGUUGAAGUCAUCAUGGCUGAAAACACCAAACUUUGCGACUUCUCGAGUACCAAUAAUAAUGAUUUUAUUAGUACUCCGAUUGCUCCCGCCACUAGUGCGGAAUCAUAUGAAAUCAACACAGCUUUGCUGAAUCUUGUUAUGAAACAGCAAUUCUAUGGCCUUCCUAGUGAAGAUGUCGCGUCCCAUCUCAAUACCUUCAUUGAGCUUUGCGAUAUGCAAAAGAAAAGAGAUGUGGAUAAUGACGUGAUUAAGUUGAAGCUUUUUUCCUUUCUUGUUGCGAGAUCGUGCAAAAAUUUGGUUUUCUUCUUUGCCUAAAAAUAGUAUGGAUUCUUGGGAUAAGUGCAAAGAUGCUUACAUAUCCAAGUAUUUUCCGUCGGCUAAGAUUAUCUCCUUACAUAACGAUAUCAUGAAUUUCAAGCAACUUGAUCAUGAACACGUUGCACAAUCUUGGGAGAGGAUGAAGUUAAUGAUUAGAAAUUGUCCCGCUCAUGGCUUGAGUUUGUGGAUGAUUAUACAAAUCUUUUACGCUGGCUUGAAUUUUGCCUCUCGCAAUAUCUCGGACUCCACCUCAGGUGGAACGUUCAUGGAAAUCACGUUAGGAGACGCUACAAAACUCCUAGACAAUAUCAUGACCAACUACUCUCAGUGGCACACUGAAAGGUCACCCGCUAGCAAAAAGGUACACGCUAUAGAAGAAAUUAACUCGCUUAGUGCUAAGAUGGACGAGUUGAUGAAUUUGGUUGCUAGUAGAAAUGAUCCUUUAGAUCCUAAUGACAUGCCACUAUCUUCCUUGAUUGAGAGUAGCAACGCUAAUUUGGACGUUAAUUUUGUUGGUAGGAACAAUUUUGGCAACAACAAUGCUUUUAGAGGAAACUAUGUUCCUAGGCCUUUUCCUAGUAACUCCUCUAACAAUUAUGGCAAUUCCUACAACAACACUUAUGGAAAUCACAACAAAUUAUCCUCUGAUUUAGAGAGUAAUAUCGAAGGGUUCAUCAACUCUCAAAAGAUUUUCAAUGCGUCCAUUGAGGAAAAACUACUCAAAAUUGAUGAUUUGGCUAAGAGCGUUGAUAGGAUGUCUUGUGAUAUUGAUGCUUUGAAAGUUAGAUGUGCUCCUCCCAAUGUCAACUCGGAUGAAACUUUAAAAGCUAUGCGUGUCUCCAUGAAUGAGAGAAAAGAAAGAACCACCCAAAUUCGCGCUAGGCAUGAAUGGUUUAAAAGGGUGCGCUCUAGUGAUGUAAAUCACGAAUAUCUUAAAGUGCUUGGUGUGACUCCUCUUGAAUCUUUGUUUUCGCGUAUCAAACCUAUUGAUGAAGGUGCUGUAUAUGAAUCCACCUAUCUUGAUGAUAAAGGUGUGGAGAGUGGAGUAGAAGAAAUCAAAAUUUUGGGUAGUAAUGAAACUCCCACUUUGGAUUUCAAGGAAUUCAAUUAUGACAGCUGCUCCUUGUUUGAAUGCAUUUCUUUGAUGCAAUCCAUUGCAAACUCUCCACAUGCUUAUAGCCAAAGGAAAACAUUUACCGCUCAUAUCAUAGAUGCUAUGAUGAAAUCUCUUGAAGAGAAGCUCGAAUUAGAAGUCUCUAUACCUAGAAAACUUCAUGAUGAGUGGGAACCUACUAUCAAAAUCAAAAUCAAACUACGAGUGCAAUGCUUUGUGUGAUUUGGGUGCUAGUGUUUCCGCGAUCCCAAAGUCUUUAUGUGAUAUUUUUGGUUUUCAUGAGAUUGAAGAGUGUUCUCUUAAUUUGCAUCUUGCAGAUUCUACUGUCAAGAAACCCAUGGGAAGGAUCGAUGAUGUUCUUAUUAUUGCAAAUAAGAACUAUGUACCCGUGGAUUUCAUUGUACUUGACAUAGAUUGCAAUCCUUCAUGUCCCAUUAUUCUUGGUAGACCUUUCCUAAGGACUAUUGGUGCUAUCUUCGAUAUGAAGGAAGGGAAUAUUAGAUUUCAAUUUCCUCUAAAGAAGGGCAUGGAGCACUUUCCUAGAAAGAAAAUAAGAUUGCCUUAUGAAUCUAUGAUGAGGGCUACUUAUGGUUUGAGCACCAAAGAUGACAAUACGUGAUUCCAUCACCUUUUGCCUAGCUAAGGGCAUUAAGCAAUAGCGCUUGUUGGGAGGCAACACAACGAAUUUAUCCUUUUUCUUUAUGUUUUGUGUUUCCACACUUUCAUAAUUCUGUUAUGAUUGUGUUUUUUCUGUUUCUUUUUGCGUUUGUGCCAAGCAAAACCGUUAUGAUUAGUCUUGGGGAUGAUCGUUUGGUCAUGCUGGAAAAGACAGAAAAUUUCUACUCACGAAAAGAAUAUUUUUUUUUUCUGUAAGAGCAUUUGAGUUGAUUCUUGUCAACUCUUUGUCCUAGAAUAGCACUAACAGCAUAAUCACUAGCAUCGCACAUGAUUUCAAAGGGCAAGUUCCAAUCAGGUGGUUGAACAAUAGGUGCGGUUAUCAAGGCAUUCUUAAGUAUUUCGAAAGAUUCCUCACAAUCCUCAUCAAAAACAAAAGGAACAUCCUUCUACAAGAGGUUGGUAAGAGGCCUAGAAAUCUUAGUGAAGUCUUUAAUGAACCUUCUAUAGAAACCAGCAUGACCUAGGAAACUUCGUAUACCUCUGAUAUCUGUGGGGCAAGGCAUCUUCUCAAUUGCAUCAACCUUAGCCUUAUCAACUUCAAUGCCUUUCUCACAGAUUUUAUGUUCUAAGACGAUGCCUUCAUUAACCAUGAAGUGGCACUUCUCCGAGUUCAAGAUGAGGUUGGUAUCUUUGCAUCUCUGUAAGACUCGAUCAAGGUUGUUGAGGCAAUCGUCAAAGGAAGAACCGUAAACGGAGAAAUCAUCCAUGAAAACCUCAACAAUCUUUUCACAAAAGUCAGAGAAUAUUGCCAUCAUACAUCUUUGAAAGGUGGCAGAUGCAUUGCAUAAGCCAAAAGGCAUACGUCUAUAAGCAAAGGUACCGAAGGGGCAGGUGAAAGUGGUUUUCUCCUGAUCAGAUUGUGCAACAGGUAUUUGCGAGAAACCUGAAUAACUGUCAAGAAAGUAGAAGUGUGUGGGUUUAGAUAACCUUUCUAGCAUUUGGUCGAUAAACGACAAAGGAUAAUGGUCUUUCCUGGUUGCCUUGUUCAGUUUCCGGAAGUCUAUCACCAUCCUAUAGCCAGUAAUAAUCCUCUGUGGGAUUAGUUCAUUCUUAUCAUUAGGAAUGACGGUGAUACCUCCCUUCUAAGGUACGCAAUGUACUGGACUUACCCAAUCACUAUGAGCAACAGGAUAAAUGAUUCCUGCUUCCAGAAGCUUUCAUAUUUCUUUUCUCACGACCUCUUUCAUCCUAGGAUUUAAUCUCCAUUGAUGAUCAGUAACUGGCUUAGAAUCAGGAUCGGUUUUAAUCUUGUGCUGACAUAGAGUGGGACUAAUACCCUUAAGAUCAUCAAGAGUAUAUCCAAUAGCAGCAUGGUGCUUCCUCAAAGUUUUAAUAACUUCUUCUCUUCGUGAUUCGAGAGGUGAGCACUAAUAAUAACAUGAUAUAUCUCCUCAUCAAGAUAGGCAUACUUAAGUGUAUCUGGUAACUGUUUUAGCUCGAACACAGGAUCACCCUUUGGUGGGGGAGGAUCCCCAAGCAGUUCAAUAGGCAUAUUAUUCUUAAGAAUAGGAUAUUGUUCUAAAACAAUUUUAUCUAUCUCAUCUCUUUCAUCCAUAUGCAUAUCAUUUUCAUGCUCAAGCAGACAUUGCUCUAAAGGAUCCGUAGGAGGUACGGCAAUAGGGGCAGGAGCAAUGGUUUCAUCCCUACCAGACGACUCUUUUUCAUGGGGUUGUCUUCCAAACUUGGAGAAGUUAAAUUCAUGAGACACACCCUCGAAACUAACAGUGACAGUCUGUUUAAUGCAAUCAAUAUGAGCAUUGACAGUGUUGAGAAAGGGUCUACCAAAUAUGAUGGGACAAAAGCUAUCUUGUGCAGUAGCAAGGACGAGGAAAUCAGUAGGAUACUUCGUCUUACCACAUAGGACUUCUACGUCUCUCACAAUUCCCACAGGGCAGAUAAUGUCUCUAUUAGCUAGCGUAAUAGUGACAUCAAUGGGUUCUAACUCAGCAGGUGCAGUCUCAUCUUUGAUUUCAUCAUAUAGGGACCGGGGUAUUGCACUAACACUAGCACCCAUAUCACAUAAAUCAUGAUAACAGUGAUCUUCUAUCUUGACAGAAACAACGGGCAGGCCAACUACAGGUCCGUAUUUGUCUUUCGCGUGAGGUUCAACAAUUCUAGCGGAGUCCUCAUAGAAUUUGAUAGCAUGCCCGUCUAUGUCUUCGGCUAAGAGAUCUUUGAUAAUAGCAACACUAGGUUCAACUCUAAUUUCCUCAGGGGGUGCAAGUGGUCUAAUGUAACCCCUACGUAACACAGUUGGAGCCUUAGAAUAAUCCUUUUUCCUAGCAGGGUAAGGUGGUUUCUUAGUGUAGGCACAAGGAACAAUAGGAUCAUUAUGGGCAAUGACUUUCUCUUCAACUAGAUUGGGUUUAACUAUGUUGACUUCUACAGGAAGAUGAUACUUAAACCACUUCUCUUUGGGAAGAUCAAUAUAAGCAGCAAAAGAUUCACAUAGAGAAGCUACUAUCUCAGAUUCAAGUCCAUACUUCGCGCUAAAAUCUCUAGAAGUGUUUGUUUCAAGAAAGAUUUAACGCAACCAAACUAGAAAUUCAUACCCAACUCCUUACCUUCUUCAAGCACCCAACAUUCAGAGUUACGUUUGAUUCUUUCCAAUAAAUUCCACUUGUGGUCAAUAUGCUUCUUCAUAAAAGAACCGGUACAAGAAGUGUCAAGCAUGGUACGAUCUUCAUGAGAAAGCCGAGCAUAAAAGUUUUGAGUGAUAAUUUCCCUCGAGAGCUCAUGAUUGGGGCAUCAAUAUAGAAUUGAUUUAAACCUCCCCCAAGCUUGAGUUAUGCUUUCCCUGUCACGAGGCCAAAAGUUAUAAAUAUAAUUCCGAUCAUGAUGUACUAAAUGCAUAGGAUAAAACUUCUGAUGAAAUUCCAAUUUCAACCGAUUGUAGUCCCAUGAUCCAGUAUCAUCACAUAGCCUAUACCAUGUCAACGCCUUAUCCUUCAAAGAUAAAGGAAAGACUUUCUUAUUUACCUCAUCCUCGGGCAAACCUGCAAGCUUAAAUAAACUACAAACUUCAUCUACGUAGAUUAGAUGCAAGUCUGGAUGUGAUGAUCCAUCUCCUGUAAAACGAUUAGCCAGCAGUUUCUCAAGCAUACCCGAAGGAAUUUCAUAAAAGAUAUUUUCAGUAGGUACCUUAGGUUGAGGAGCAACUCCUCGUGCUUCCAUUCAUGGUGAAGAUACUCCGAACAAAUUCCUCAAAGGAACAGUUUCCAUAGUGACAAGUGACAAUAAAUUUCAGCACAGUAUACAAAUGUUUCCUUACCAAAUUCCACUUACCAAAGGCGCUUCCCUCCCCGGCAACGGCGCCAGAAAAGAGUCUUGAUGACCCACAAGUAUAGGGGAUCAAUCGUAGUCCUUUCGAUAAGUAAGAGUGUCGAACCCAACAAGGAGCAGAAGGCUCUGAUAAACGGUUUUCAGCAAGGUAAUAACUGCAAGCACUGAAAUUUGCGGUAACAAGUGAUGGUGUGGUGAGGUGAAACGUAGUAGGUGAAAAGUAACAAGUAACAAGUAAUAGCAACGGUGCAGCAAAGUGGCCCAAUCCCUUUUGUAGCAAGGGACAAGCCUGAACAAUGUUUUAUAGGAAGUAAAGCGCUCCCGAGGACACAUGGGAAUUUCUGUCAUGCUAGUUUCAUCAUGUUCAUAUGAUUCACGUUCGUUACUUUGAUAGUUUGAUAUGUGGGUGGACCGGCGCUUGGGUACUUCCCUUACUUGUACAAGCAUCCCACUUAUGAUUAACCCCUCUCGCAAGCAUCCGCAACUAUAAAAGAAGAAUUAAGACAACGUCUAACCAUAGCAUUAAACUAGUGGAUCCAAAUCAGCCCCUUACGAAGCAACGCAUAGAAUGGGGUUUAAGCUUCUGUCACUCUAGCAACCCAUCAUCUACUUACUACUCCCCAAUGCCUUCCUCUAGGCCCAAGUAUGGUGAAGUGUUAUGUAGUCGACGUUCACAUAACACCACUAGAGGAAAAGACAACAUACAUCAUAUCAAAAUACCGAACGAAUACCAAAUUCACAUGACUAUUAAUAGCAAGACUUAUCCCAUGUCCUUAGGAACAAAAGUAACUACUCACGAAGCAUGGAUAUAUUCAUGACCAGAAAAGUAAUGAAUAUCAUAAUGGAUCUGAACAUAUAAUCUUCCACCAAGUAAACCAACUAGCAUCAACGACAAAGAGUAAUCAACACUACUAGCAACCUUACGGGUACCAAUCGGCGUCGCGAGACGGCGAUUGGUUACAAGAGAUAGACUAGGGUUUGGAUAGGAGAUGGUGCUGAUGAAGAUGUUGAUGGAGAUAACUCCCCUCCGACGAGAGGAGUGUUGGUGAUGACGAUGGCGACGAUUUCCCCCUCUGGGAGCGAAGUUUCCCCACCAGGAUCGUCAUGCCGAAGCUCUAGAUUGGUUCUUCUCAAGUUCUGCCUCGUGGCGGUGGCGCCUCCUCGAAAAAGCUCUGCCUUGAUUUUCUUCUGGACGAAACCCUUCAUAUAGCAGAAGAGGGGGGCAGUGGGCCACCAGGGUGCCCACAAGUCGUGUAGCCGCGGCUACCAGGCUUGUGGGCCCCUGGCAGCUCCCCUGUGGCACUUCUUUCGCCCAAUAUUUUUUAUAUAUUCCCAAAAAAUCCACGUUGAUUUUCAGGGCAUUUGGAGUUGCGCAGAAUAGAGGACUCAGACUUUCUCCUUUUCUAGUCCAGAAUUCCAGCCGCCGGUAUUCUCCCUCUUCAAAUAAACCUUGCAAAAUAAGAGAGAAAAGGCAUAAGUAUGGUACCACAAAGUAUAAUAACAGACCAUAAAACGAUAAAUAUCAACAUGAAAGCAUGAUGCAAAAUGGACGUAUCUACUCCCCCAAGCUUAAACCUCGCUUGUCCUCAAGCGAAAACCAAGAUCCAUAAACAUGUCCACAUGUUUAGGGAUGAAGGUGUCGAUAAAACAUAAUAUGGACAUGAGGGCAUCAUGAUCACACAUAGAACAGCAAUACAUCAUAAAGAUUCUUAUGGGAAAGUAACAAUUCCUUCACAAAGCAAAGUAUGAAUCAAAAACCUUACCAGGAAGUAACCAACAACAGUCCAUAGUCAUUGAAGAAAUUGCAAUAUAUCAUAACAUCAGAAAGAGUCAAAUAAGAGUUUGUAAAGCAAAUCCACAUACUCAAUCAUCUCUUUUGUUUUCCACAGUUGUUACAACUCACGUGGUACUCAUGGUAUCAAAGUUUCAGUUGGACACGGAGAAAGAUAGGGGCUUAUAAUUUUGCCUCCCAACCAUUUACCUCAAGGGUAAAGUCAACAAUAAUAAAGCAUAAGUACUCAUCUCCAAGUUGAUAUAUGAAUACAGAUCUUUCCCUAGCAUAUGACGUUCACCAAGAUGAAGACGGAAUAGGGAAUUGGUGUUGAUCACCAUGACUUUCACAAGGACAAAACUAAAGGUACAAAAUAGACCCUUCGUAGAGGGAAGCAGAGGUUGUCAUGCGCUUUUAAGGUUUGGAUAUACGACCUCUUAGUAUAAAGGAACGUCGCUUUAUAUUGCCCCAUGUGAUAAAGAACUUUAUUAUGCAGUCUGUCGCUUUUAUGUCUUCCUCAUCACAGGUUCGUACAACGCUUAUUUUCCACACACUAAUAAAUCAUUCAUACUUUAGGUAGCAACUUUUUAUUGCUUGCACCAAUGACAACUUACUUGAAGGAUCUUACGCAAUCCAUAGGUAGGUAUGGUGUACUCGGGGGCAAAACUGGGUUGAAGGUUUAUGGAUGCACAAGUAGUAUUUCUACUUAGUACGGAAGUUUUGGCUAAUAUGAGGUGGAAGCAAUCGUCACAUGCUAAGGGAUCUCUAGACUUAUAACAUUGUUUGGAAUCAAGCAAACACAAUUCAUUAUGUUGUCUUCCUUGUCCAACAUCUACUCCUAAGCAUGUAAUAGUUUGGUGAGUGCUCACAAUUGUAAAAAGUGUCUAAGAUGAUAUAUUUAUAUGUGAACCUCUCUUUUCUUAUUACUUCUUAUUAAUUGCAACAAUGACUGGGGUCUAUGUUGGUCUAUUCUCAACAAGUUUCAAUCAUUAUACUUUUUAUAUGUGAAGCUAUCACUUUCCAUAAGAUCAUCUCAUGAUCUUUCAUGCUGUCGUUCUUUUCAUACUUUUGAUCACGGCACAAAACAAAGCCCUUGACUAAGAUACUCUUUAUUAUAUAGCUCGCAAGCUCGAAUACAUCGGGGGAGACACAAGGCAAAAGACUCAAACUAAACACUAAAGACUUAUCCCACUAAGAGAAGAAAUAAAAACUGAAAAGGAAAGAACUAAAAAAAAGGUAAAAGCAAAAGAUAUAAAGGUGAUACGAUACCAGGGAAACUCCCCCAAGCUUGGCAAAAGCCAAGGGGAUUGCCCAUACCAAUGCUCAAUUGUCUUCCAUUGGUGGUGGUGGUGAAGGAGUUGCAACAUGAAUUUUAUCCUCCAUCUUCCAAGGCAUAGGUGCUCCAUCAUGGCAGGAUGAACGAGUCGUCGGAAUCCUCAAAUCUGCAGCCAACCGUAUUGAUUUAAAUCUAUACUCAUACUCACAGUUUUGGUUCUGCAGGUCAUAGAUAUGGCCGUGGAGUUGAUCAACCCUGUCAUAGAGCCUGGAGAGGUGCUUCCCAAUGUCAUUGGCAUCCAUCUUGUGCUUGCUGGUGAACUCCGUGAUCAUCAUGUGGUUGGAGUUGAGUCCAUGCUCCACCAUCCCUUGGCACUUGAAGACUUGUUGCACCAUUGCUUCGAGCCUCGUCUCCACACUUCCGGUCUUCUUAGGCCCCUUAACAUCACGGAUGUGCAACAUCCCGCAUCUCAAUAGAUUGAGGGUGUUGCAGCACUUCCGUGAGGUAGGUGUUGAUGACCUUCUCGAAGAUCUUGUCCUUAGGAGCUUUUGGGGAAGUCAUGACGAUCUAGAUCUGCAACAGAAACAGGCUCGAAACGAAAAUAAGAGCAAAACUGCGUGAUACGGAGAUCAAAACCCUCGGGCGUAUAUAUAAUGAUUUUUUCUGGACCAGAAGGAGUGCUCCGCAAGAAAACGGUGUCCGGGAGGCACACGAGGUGCCCACAAUCCCUGUAGCCGCGGCCAGGGGGGAGGCCGCAGCUACCAAGCAUGUGGCCGCCUCGUGCGCUCUCCGGACUGCUUUUUAUUUUUCUAUUUUUCCAUAAAUUCCAAAACGGAGAAAAUUUCCUACUGGAAAAGUUAUGGAGUCCAAUUACUUACCGAAACACAUACCUCUUCGUUUUCAGAGUCUGAAACAGGCUGAUAAACAUCCCUUAUGUACUCCUCUCGAGUUAUGAUAUUGAUGAUAUUGGUCUCAACAUUUAUGGGAGUACCAGAGAUAUAAUGCUUGAUUCUUUGCCCAUUUACCACUCUCGGAAAAUUACCUUCCGUGUUAUUGAUUUUGAUGGCACCAGAACGAUAUACUUCCUCGACAACGUAGGGACCUUCCCAUUUAGAGAGAAGCUUGCCUGCGAAGAAUCUUAAGCGAGAAUUGUAUAGCAGGACAUAAUCACCUACAUUGAACUCACGUUUUUGUAUUCUUUUAUCGUGCCAUCUCUUAACCUUUUCCUUGAACAACUUGGCAUUCUCAUAUGCCUGGGCCCUCCAUUCAUCUAAUGAGCUGAUAUCAAACAACCGCUUCUCACCGGCAAGUUUGAAAUCGAAGUUGAGCUCUUUGAUUGACCAAUAAGCUUUGUGUUCUAGAUCAAGAGGUAAAUGACAGGCCUUACCAUAAAACAUUUUAUACGGCGACAUGCCCAUGGGAUUCUUAUAAGCAGUCCUAUAAGCCCAUAGUGCAUCGUCAAGUUUGCUAGACCAAUUCUUUCGAGAUCUAUUGACAGUCUUUUUUAAGAUCAAUUUGAUCUCCCUAUUACUCAACUCCACUUGACCACUAGACUGAGGAUGAUAAGGAGAUGCAACUCUAUGGUUGACAUCAUACUUAGCGAGCAUCUUGCGGAAAACACCAUGAAUGAAGUGUGAACCGCCAUCAGUCAUCAGAUAUCUAGGGACUCCAAAUCUUGGGAAAAUGACUUCUUUAAGCAUCUUAAUAGAGAUGUGGUGAUUAGCAUUUCUAGUGGGGAGAGCUUCUACCCACUUAGUGACGUAAUCAACAACAACUAAGAUGUGAUUAUACCCAUUGGAACUCGGGAAGGGUCCCAUAUAAUCAAAGCCCAAGACAUCAAAUGGUUCAAUGACAAGUGAAUAGUCCAUAGGCAUUUCCCGACGUUUACUGAUGUUCCCUAUUCUUUGGCAUUUGUCACAAGACAAGACAAACUUACGGGCAUCCUUGAAGAGAGUAAGCCAAUAGAAACCUGAUUGCAAUACCUUAUGAGCAGUUCUAUCUCCAGCAUGGUCUCCUCCGUAGGCUUCGGAAUGACACUUCUGCAGGAUCUGUCCCUGUUCAUGUUCAGGCACACAACAUCUAAUAACACCAUCUACUCCUUCCUUAUAAAGGUGAGGAUCAUCCCAAAAGUAGUGUCUCAAAUCAAAGAAGAAUUUCUUCUUUUGCUGGUAGGUGAAACUGGGUGGUAUGUAUUUGGCUACGAUAUAGUUUGCGUAAUCAGCAUACCACGGUGCACUAUGUGAAGUACGGAUGACAUUCAAUUGCUCAUCAGGAAAGUUGUCAUCAAUAGGUCGUGGGUCAUCAAGGACAUUCUCUAGCCUGGACAAGUUAUCUGCUACAGGGUUAUCGGCACCCUUUCGGUCAACAACGUGCAAAUCAUAUUCCCGUAGUAGGAGAACCCAUCUAAUUAGCCUAGGUUUAGCGUCCUUCUUCUCCAUAAGGUACUUAAUAGCAGCAUGAUUAGAGUGAAUAAUGACUUUGGAGUCAACUAUAUAAGAUCUGAACUUUUCACAUGCAAACACGACUACUAAAAAUUCCUUCUCCGUAGUGGCAUAGUUUCUUUGGGCAUUAUCUAGAGUUUUACUAGAGUAGUGAAUGACAUUCAACUUCUUGUCAACUCUUUGUCCUAGAACAGCACCAACAACAUAAUCACUAGCAUCACACAUGAUUUCAAAGGGCAAGUUCCAAUCAGGUGGUUGAACAAUAGGUGCGGUUAUCAAGGCCUUCUUAAGUAUUUCGAAAGCUUCCUCACAAUCCUCAUCAAAAACAAAAGGAACAUCCUUCUGCAAGAGGUUGGUAAGAGGCCUAGAAAUCUUAGAGAAGUCUUUAAUGAAUCUUCUAUAGAAACCAGCAUGACCUAGGAAACUUCGUAUACCUCUGAUAUAUGUGGGGCAAGGCAUUUUCUCAAUUGCAUCAACCUUAGCCUUAUCAACUUCAAUGCCUUUCUCAGAGAUUUUGUGUCCUAAGACGAUGCCUUCAUUAUCCAUGAAGUGGCACUUCUCCCAAUUCAAGACGAGGUUGGUAUCUUUGCAUCUAUGUAAGAAUCGAUCAAGGUUGCUGAUGCAAUCAUCAAAGGAAGAACCGGAAACAGAGAAAUCAUCCAUGAAAACCUCAACAAUCUUUUCACAAAAGUCAGAGAAUAUUGCCAUCAUACAUCUUUGAAAGGUGCCAAAAGGCAUACGUCUAUAAGCAAAGGUACCGAAGGGGUAGGUGAAAGUGGUUUUCACCUUAUCAGAUUGUGCAACAGGUAUUUGCGAGACACCUGAAUAAUUGUCUAGAAAGCAGAAGUGUGUGUGUUUAGAUAGCCUUUCUAGCAUUUGGUCGAUAAACGGCAAAGGAUAAUGGUCUUUCCUGGUUGCCUUGUUCAGUUUCCGGAAGUCUAUCACCAUGCUAUAGCCAGUAAUAAUCCUCUGUGGGAUUAGUUCAUUCUUAUCAUUAGGAACGACGGUGAUACCUCCCUUCUUAGGUACGCAAUGUACUAGACUUACCCAAUCACUAUGAGCAACAGGAUAAUUGAUUCCUACUUCCAGAAGCUUUAAUAUUUCUUUUCUCACGACCUCUUUCAUCCUAGGAUUUAAUCUCCGUUGAUGAUCAACAACUGGCUUAGAAUCAGGAUCGGUUUUAAUCUUGUGCUGACAUAGAGUGGGACUAAUACCCUUAAGAUCAUCAAGAGUAUAUCCAAUAGCAGCAUGGUGCUUCCUCAAAGUUUUCAAUAACUUCUUCUCUUCGUGAUUCGAGAGGUGAGCACUAAUAAUAACAGGAUAUAUCUCCUUCUCAUCAAGAUAGGCAUACUUAAGUGUAUCUGGUAACUGUUUUAGCUCGAACACGGGAUCACCAUUUGGUGGGGGAGGAUCCCCAAGCAGUUCAACACGCAGAUUAUUCUUAAGAAUAGGAUAUUUUUCUAAAACAAUUUUAUCUAUCUCAUCUCUUUCAUCCAUAUGCAUAUCAUUUUCAUGCUCAAGCAGAUAUUGCUCUAAAGGAUCCGUAGGAGGUACGUCAAUAGAGGCAAGAGCAAUGAUUUCAUCCCUACCAGACGACACUUUUUCAUGGGGUUGUCUUCCAAACUUGGAGAAGUUAAAUUCAUGAGACACACCCUCUAAACUAACAGUGACAGUUUGUUUAAUGCAAUCAAUAUGAGCAUUGACAGUGUUGAGAAAGGGUCUACCAAAUAUGAUGGGACAAAAGCUAUCUUGUGCAGUAGCAAGGACGAGGAAAUCAGUAGGAUACUUCGUCUUACCACACAUGACUUCUACGUCUCUCACAAUUCCCACAUGACAGAUAGUGUCUCUAUUAGCUAGCGUAAUAGUGACAUCAAUGGGUUCUAACUCAGCAGGUGCAAUCUCAUCUUUGAUUUCAUCAUAUAGGGACCGGGGUAUUGCACUAACACUAGCACCCAUAUCACAUAAACCAUGAUAACAGUGAUAUCCUAUCUUGACAGAAACAACGGCCAGGCCAACUACAGGUCCGUAUUUGUCUUCCGCGUGAGGUUUAGCAAUUCUAGCGGAGUCCUCAUAGAAUUUGAUAACAUGCUCGUCUAUGUCUUCGGCUAAGAGAUCUUUGAUAAUAGCAACACUUGGUUCAACAAAAGAUUUAACACAAUCAAAUUGGAAAUUCAUACCUGACUCCUUACCUUCUUCAAGCUCCCAAUCUUCAGAGUUACGUUUGAUUCUUUCCAAUAAAUUCCACUUGUGGUCAAUAUCCUUCUUCAUAAAAGAACCGAUACAAGAAGUGUCAAGCAUGGUACGAUCUUCAUGAGAAAGCCGAGCAUAAAAGUUUUGAGUGAUAAUUUCUCUCGAGAGCUCAUGAUUGGGGCAUGAAUAUAGCAUUGCUUUAAGACUCCCCCAAGCUUGAGCUAUGCUUUCCCUGUCACGAGGCCAAAAGUUAUAAAUAUAAUUCCGAUCACGAUCUACUAAAUGCAUAGGAUAAAACUUUUGAUGAAAUUCCAAUUUCAACUGAUUGUAGUCCCAUGAUCCACUAUCAUCACAUAGCCUAUACCAUGUCAACGCCUUAUCCUUCAAAGAUAAAGAAAGACUUUCUUCUUUACCUCAUCCUCGGGCAAACCUGCAAGCUUAAAUAAACCACAAAAUUCAUCUACAUAGAUUAGAUGCAAGUCUAGAUGUGAUUAUCCAUCUCCUGUAAAAGGAUUAGCCAACAGUUUCUCAAGCAUACCCGAAGGAAUUUCAUAAAAGAUAUUUUCAGUAGGUACCUUAGGUUGAGGAGAAACUCCUCGUGCUUCCGUUCGUGGUGAAGAUACCCCGAACAAAUUCCUCAAAGGAACAGUUUCCAUAGUGACAAGUGACAAUAAAUUUCAGCAUAGUAUAUAAAUGUUUCCUUACCAAAUUCCACUUACCAAAGGCGCUUCCCUCCCCGGCAACGGCGCCAGAAAAGAGUCUUGAUGACCCACAAGUAUAGGGGAUCAAUCGUAGUCCUUUCGAUAAGUAAGAGUGUCGAACCCAACAAGGAGCAGAAGGCUCUGAUAAACGGUUUUCAGCAAGGUAAUAACUGCAAGCACUGAAAUUUGCGGUAACAAGUGAUGGUGUGGUGAGGUGAAACGUAGUAGGUGAAAAGUAACAAGUAACAAGUAAUAGCAACGGUGCAGCAAAGUGGCUCAAUCCCUUUUGUAGCAAGGGACAAGCCUGAACAAAGUUUUAUAGGAAGUAAAGCGCUCCCGAGGACACAUGGGAAUUUCUGUCAUGCUAGUUUCAUCAUGUUCAUAUGAUUCGCGUUCGUUACUUUGAUAGUUUGAUAUGUGGGUGGACCGGCGCUUGGGUACUUCCCUUACUUGGACAAGCAUCCCACUUAUGAUUAACCCCUCUCGCAAGCAUCCGCAACUACAAAAGAAGAAUUAAGACAACGUCUAACCAUAGCAUUAAACUAGUGGAUCCAAAUCAGCCCCUUACGAAGCAACGCAUAGAAUGGGGUUUAAGCUUCUGUCACUCUAGCAACCCAUCAUCUACUUACUACUCCCCAAUGCCUUCCUCUAGGCCCAAAUAUGGUGAACUGUUAUGUAGUCGACGUUCACAUAACACCACUAGGGAUAAAGACAAGAUACAACAUAUCAAAAUACCGAACGAAUACCAAAUUCACAUGACUAUUAAUAGCAAGACUUAUCCCAUGUCCUCAGGAACAAAAGUAAAUACUCACAAAGCAUGGAUAUAUUCAUGACCAGAGAAGUAAUGAAUAUCAUAAUGGAUCUGAACAUAUAAUCUUCCACCAAGUAAACCAACUAGCAUCAACGACAAAGAGUAAUCAACACUACUAGCAACCUUACGGGUACCAAUCGGCGUCGCGAGACGGCGAUUGGUUACAAGAGAUAGACUAGGGUUUGGAUAGGAGAUGGUGCUGAUGAAGAUGUUGAUGGAGAUGACUCCCCUCCGACGAGGGGAGUGUUGGUGAUGACGAUGGCGACGAUUUCCCCCUCCGGGAGAGAAGUUUACCCAACAGGAUCGUCCUGCCGAAGCUAUAGAUUGGUUCUGCUCAAGUUCCGCCUCGUGGCGGCGGCGCCUCCUCGAAAAAGCUCCGCCUUGAUUUUUUUCCCGACGAAAACCUUCAUAUAGCAGAAGAGGGGGGCCAGUGGGCCACCAGGGUGCCCACAAGCCCUGUAGUCGCGGCCAGGGGGGCAGGCCGCGGCUACCAGGGUUGUGGGCCCCUGGUAGCUCCCCUCUGGCACUUCUUUCGCCUAGUAUUUUUUUAUAUUCCCAAAAAAUUCCAUGUUGAUUUUCAGGGCAUUUGGAGUUGCGCAAAACAGAGGACUCAGACUUGCUCCUUUUCCAGUCCAGAAUUCCAGCCGCCGAUAUUCUCCCUCUUCAAAUAAACCUUGCAAAAUAAGAGAGAAAAGGCAUAAGUAUGGUACCACAAAGUAUAAUAACAAUCCAUAAAGCGAUAAAUAUCAACAUGAAAGCAUGAUACAAAAUGGACGUAUCAGGCAACGAGCUUGUGCAUGGCUGAGCCGCUGCGUGCGUGUGCUGCGUCGAUCGGGUUGCUGCUCUCUAUGGCGUCGGGCGUGCUCCCGCUCGAUCGAUGCGCAUGCAUGCAGUGUCGGUCCAACGGGCGAGCGAGGGGAGGCAGGGCUAUGGGCGAGCGAGGGGAGGUAGGGCUACUCGCAUGCAUGCAAGGCUGGUACGUUGUGAGGUCCAACGGAUAAAAGGGUGGGCCGCCUUUAAUUAAGCCCAACAACGCAUGCACGCGUCUUCUCAUACAGCAAUAAAAAAGAGGGCUAAAAAGGCCAGCCAAUCAGAGUGAAGGCCACGGAUCGCUGCUGACGUAGCCCUAAUGCGCGAUCCAGACCGUCCAUUCACGGUGAUCCAAUGGUCCGAUGGGGUGCUGGGUUUUGAGAGGUUUGGACGGGGUUUUGAUGGGGUUUUGAGAGGUUUUCAAGGGUUAGGGUACAGCAUAGCUAAUUCAAAAAAAUUAAAAAAAUAUAAAACUUGUGCCAAUCAUCAUUAUAUGUGAUUAGGUUGCUAGGAAAAAUAAUAAACUUGGACUAUGAAGUUUUUCAUGAAAAGCCCUUCACAAAAGUGGCUAUCACGUACGAGGUUGUACGGUUUUCAAAAGUUAGGGUUGAAUAUAACUAAUUCAAAAAAAAUCAAAAAAAUAUAUAACUUGUGCCAAUCAUCUUCCUAUGUGACUAGGUUUCUAGGAUAAAUAAUAAACUUGGACUAUGAAGUUUUUCAUGAAAAACCCUUUACAAAAGUGGCUAUCACGUACGAGGUUGUACGGUUUUCAAAAAUUAGGGUUGACUAUAACUAAUUCAAAAAAAUAUAAAACUUGUGCCAAUCAUCAUUAUAUGUGACUAGGUUGCUAAGGAAAAUAAUAAACUUGGACUAUGAAAUUUUUCAUGAAAAACCCUUCACAAAAGUGGCUAUCACGUACGAGGUUGUACGAUUUUUUAAAGUUAGGGUUGACUAUAACUAAUUCAAAAAAAAUCAAAAAAAUAUAAAACUUGUGUCAAUCAUCAUUAUAUGUGACUAGGUUGCUAGGAAAAAUAAUAAACUUGGACUAUGAAAUUUUUCAUGAAAAACCCUUCACAAAAGUGGCUAUCACGUACGAGGUCGUACGAUUUUCAAAAGUUAGGGUUGACUAUAACUAAUUCAAAGAAAAUUAAAAAAAUAUAAAACUUGUGCCAAUCAUCUUUCUAUAUGACUAAGAUGACAAGUUUCAUUUUUUGGCUCAUUUGGAGAAGGUCGAAAAAAACUUGCUUACAAAUGGGGCUUUGCACGGGGGCUUGGAGGGGGUUUUGGAGCUCAUUUGGAGCACAUUUUUCAUGUCCAAAGUUUCACAUAAUAAAAGUUCUCCGAUUAAUCACCUAACAUGUGUAAUAGUACGUAAAUCAUUGUAACACCAUACCACAUACCAAAUAACUUCAAAUUUGAAUUUUGGCUCAAAUUUGAAUUUUGGCUCAAAUUUGAAUUUUGUCUCAAACUUGAAAUUUGUCUCAAACUUGAAUAGUAUUACACAAAUACAUUUCAUAUGAAAAAUACAACACCAUACCACAUACCAAAUAACUUCAAAUUUGAAUUUUGGCUCAAAUUUGAAUUUUGUCUCAAAGUGGAAAUUUGUCUCAAACUUGAAUAGUAUUACACAAAUACAUUUCAUAUGAAAAAUACAAUUUCACGCAAAGUUUUAUUCUAUAGCAUAGUACAACACCCAGUUCACUUCACUUCAGCUUCUUCUUCUUCUUUUUAUCAGUGCUUCUCUUUACCACUAUACCCAGUUCACUCAAGCUCUUGGUUUUCAUCACUGCAUCAGUUGGAAUAUCAUCAAGCUCAAUUGGCAACAGAACUUCCAAUAUAGGCUUAGUUGGCACCACAUCUUCUGAAAAAACAGGGUUAGGCAACACAACUUCUAAUAUAGGCUCAGCUUGCACAACAUCAGCUGGAAGAUAAUCAUUUGGCACCAGAUCCAUAUCUUGCUCAUUUUGCACCCACAUCUUCUGGAAAAACAGGGUUAGGCAACACAACUUCUAAUAUAGGCUCAGUUUGCACAACAUCAGUUGGAAGAUUAUCAUUUGGCACCACAUCCAUAUCUUGCUCAUUUUGCACCACAUCUUGAUUUUGCAACACAUCCAAGUCUUGCUCAUUUUGGACCACAUCUUCAUUUUGGAACACAUCCAAGUCUUGUUGCUCAUUUUGCAGCACAUCCAAGUCUUGCUCAUUUUGCUCAGUUUGCAUUGUUUCACCAUAACUUCUCUUUUUUCUACAACCAUUGCCUCUUGUCUUUUUCUUUGGCCAGCAAUCUUCAACAACAAGGGGCUCAGCUGCACACUUCCUCCUAAAAAAUUUAAGCAUGUCAAUUGGUUUGUAAUUGAAAAAUGCAGCCAAAUAGUAAACAUAAAAAACAUUAGCACACAUACUUUGGCCUUUUAGGAGUGUAACAACACUUGGAAGAUCCAGCUCGGUGCCCAAGUUCCUGGCACAACUUGCAUCUAUUUUUGUUACCUUUUUGGGACCUUUUUGGUUUUCCAUCCUUCUUUCCCUUCCCUUUUUUACUACUCCCACCUCUCUCAAACCAUGCCUUGAAUCUGCUCUCUUUAGGCCUACCAGCCUUUCUUUUUGUUAGGGGAGGACACAUGGAAAAUUCUAUGUCCACUUCAGGCCACUGAGACUGAUCUGUAAGUGCUGGAAUUGGAGUUGCAUAUGCAGCCUUGAAUUUUGCUACUGAGUAAUAUUCGUGCAAAUAAGGGUGCAUGUUUAUCUUUGGUCGGGAGGCCAAGAAAAGUAUGGCAUGAUCACAUGGUUUCGUAGUGUGUUGCCACUCCAAACAAGUGCACUCAUGCAUUUCAGUGUUAACAACAUGCCUUCUACUAGUUUUGGUAUCUCUAACUUCAACACCCCACACAGAAGAUUUUUCAACAGAUAAAUGUGUAAGAUUUCUGCUCCUGUUGAUCACCUGUUGUACCACUGCAGGAAGCUUGUCCCCUUGCAGACAAUCACCAAUCCUUCUUCUCAAUUCCCACAAGCGCACGAUCAUGAUCCUGAUUUGGUCAACCAUGUCAUGCACAGGCAGGUUUUUCAACUGCUUCACCUUGUUGUUAAAACUUUCUGCCAAGCUGUUGUUGAUAUGAUCACAGUUGAUGGCAGUGUUAAAUCCUGACCUAUACCAUAAUAGAGAAUGGUAGGUGUUCACCCAUGGACCAAAUUCAGGGCAUGCUGUCAUUAUCUUACCAAGAUGAUAUGAAAUGUCUGUUUAGUGUAAGAUCUUGCUGCUGGCCACAUGCGACCAAAUUCUUCCCCUCUGAACUUUUUGAUCAAAUUCAUCCACAUAUGGCCGAAGCACUCUCUCUGCUCACAAUGGGGGAACACAUUCUUGAGUGCAUUUUCUAGCCCUUUGCAUGCAUCUGUGUGGACUGCCAAAGGUGACACUGGACCUAUGCAUCUCUUCAACUGCAUCAUGAACCAUGUCCAUGAGACCUCUGUUUCUGACUGAAACAAGCCAAUAGCAACAGGGAACAUCCAGUUGUGUCCAUCUAAAGCAUUGCAAGCUGUCAAUUGACCAUUCCAUUUGCCGGUCAAAAAUGAAGAGUCUAUGCUCAAAUAUGGACGACAAUCUGCCUUGAAUCCAUCGAUGCAAGGCUUUAAAGCCAUAAAAAACUUUCACCAUAUAAUUCUUUCAUUUCCCUUUGUUUUGCCUUCCACAUUGUGUUAUACUUCACCUUAAUUGGGUACUGCUUUUCCAAGUCUACUUUAAGUUUCUUUGCAGUAGUAUUUGGUUUCUUGGCUAAAAUAGGAGUGAUCUUUUCUGCAAUCCAAAGUUGUGAUGUCAUGGUUGAUACUCUUUGUGAACUUGUAAUACAAGUAUGUUGGUGUGGGAUUUGAUUGAACCUAAUGGUACUUCCAUCAGGUUGGCGUCUAGCAGAUAUGUACCACUUGCAAGGCUUGACACUUUCAUCAAAACCUCUGCAUCUUGCAUAAAACUUUUUUCUGUCAGUCCACUUUGUUUUGGCAUCAAACUCAUGUUUGAUGGCAUAAGUCAUGAAACACAUUCUAAAUUCAUCCAUGUUUGGGAACAACUUCCCUACUGCAAUAACAGGGUUUUCCUUGUCAUAGACAUUUACCAACUCGUCAUCAUGUGCAUCAUCAACAUCAUCUGCAGCAUCUUCCAUCAGCUGUCCAUCCACAUCUUCACAUAUAUCUCUUUUAGCAUCAGUAAGCAUACUAGUUUCAUCAUUCUCUUCCUUAUCUUCAUCAGGUACUGGAAUGUCAAAAAAUUUGGCCAUCUCAGUGUCAUCCAUUGGUGCAAUGACUAAAUCAGUUGGUUCAUUUAAUUCAACCGAAUUCCAAUCAACAGAAAGAACCCUUGCAACACCAUCAGAGCCCUCUUGUGCAUCUGCAUCAGCCCCCUCAUGUAAUACUGUCACCUCACCUGUACACAUGGGCAUUAUCUGCCUCUCUGAAGCCCAAUUAUCAUCUACCAUUUGAGCAACCAAUUUUGAGGGAACAUAUCCAACCUUAGAAUCUGAUUUCAGAUCAACCAGCUCUACACGAAACGUAGUUUGUUUGGUUGUCAAGCCAUUUUUUCGAUCGAUUUCAUCAACCAUCUCUUCGCCAUCCUCAAUUCUCACACACUCUCCUUUCCAAUUAUCAAACCAUAACAAUGCUACCUCUUGCUGUGGACCCCAAAAAAUGCUCUCCCCAAUUUUUGCCACCACAUUCCUCACGACCUUCUCUUCCAUGCUCUGUAGUUCUUGUGGAUCAAUCUCUGAUAAUUCAACCUCCCAUUUCACAAUAGUAUCUCCCUCUAUGUCCCGCACGCUACCAUCACCUAGCUUCGCCUUAGAAGUAAAGAAUUCGAUAGUGAAUUCAAAUGUCCGAGCAUCAUCGGCCCUGUUUUUCAAUGGCGCGCACUGUGAGCUAGCGGAAGGAGACGGGGCACAAAUCGCAUAGGAUGGAAAGGAUGCACAGAUUACCUAGUCAACGUUGUUGUUGUCUCUGGCGGCUCCAUCACCUUUAGCCCCCUCCGCCCCACCCAAAUCUGGAUCACAUCGACCAAAGAAAACAGAGGAGGGAAACAUGAACUGCAGUGAGAUCUAACUCGACACAGAAGGGAACGGGCUGGACAAGGGUUCUGGAUUCACUCACCACAGUCGCCGAGAUCGAAAGCUCCACCGCUACAACAAAAGCGUCGCCGCCGUCUUCGGCUCACCUCCGGGAACGGAAAGGAGGGAGCAACAGAGCUUCAGACGGGCGGUUCACACAGACAGGCCAGGCACGGGGACACGUCUCACCCGAUGCACUGCCAAGUGGGGCCCGUAAGUAGAUGCACUGUCAAGUGGGGCCGUAAGUAGAUGCACUGCCAAGUAGGACCCACAUGUCUUAACAUAACCUCACUCCCGUUGACGACCAUUUUAAUCGCUCGAGUGGGCCUUUGGCUAUUUGGGCCAGAGAAACGUCGCACAGGAUCCAAUUCGCAUCAAAUGUGUUGCACAGGAUCCAAUUCGCAUCAAAUGUGUCGCACAAGAGCUAUUGACCCAAGGAAACGAGGGAGACGAGGGGACCUCCCUUCAGGCGCUACUAAGGGAACGGGCGCGUGCAGCGGCCCUCUUCGUGGGCCGGCUCAUAUUAAAUUCGUUAGUUAGUAAAAAAUUGAAAAGAGUUCAAAGAAUUUUCAAAAAGUAUAGAUUUUUGGAAAAAAAUCAAUGAUUAUGGAAAAAAGUUCACCGAUUUUUGGAAAUAUGUUUAUGAACUUUCGAAAAGUUCACAGAAUUCGAAAACAAAUAUCAUCGAUUUUGAAAAAAAGUUCAUCAAUUUCCGAAAAUAGUUCACUGAUUUCAAAAAAAGUUCAUGAAUUUUAAAUUAUGUUCAUCACUUUUCAAAAAAGUUCAUGGAUUUCAAAAAAAGUUCAACGAUUUUCAAAGAAAUUCACCGAUUUUAAAAAAGUUCGCGGGCUAAAACAGUUCACCGACAAAAAAAGUUCAUGAAGAAUUUUCAGAUGGGCGAGCCCAUUGUGUAGCGCUGCACGCGCCGGUUAGCACAUUUUGACUUUACCAAGCCAAGCGCCUCUUUUUCCCACAGGGGUCAUGUAAAUACUGGGCCAAUGCAGCCAAGGCCUUAUGGCUCUGUGUCAGGAAAAAAUAAAUAAACUAUGGUCCGUGUUGACCUUUAGAGGCUUUAUUACAAUCUUGAUUGAAUUUCGCCAUCGGUUAUGGGAGCUGAGAGCAACUAGUUGGCGCUUAUUCGGAGCCUCCCAACGAUUAAUACCUGACGCAUUUUUAGCUAUCUUCAUGUAUGGCGUGUUCAAUAUUUUCUUUAGAUUUUUAUUUUCUAUUUUUAGUUUCACAUAUUUUCGACUUUUUAGAUGGGGUUUUUUGGGUUUUCUCGGUGUUUGGUUUUUCACCGGUAUUUCUUAGCUUUUGGAUGAAAAAAAAUAAAAAAUAUCUGAAAAAACAUAUUUCCUUUUUUCUUUCUCUCUUCAAAAGCACGAAUUUUCUUGCUCAGGAACGGAAAAAAUACGUAUCUUUUUCUUUUGAGAGAGGCACAGUUUUUCUUUGCGAGAGACACGGAUUGGUUUCGGAAGAGGCACGGUCAUGCCUCUUGGNNNNNNNNNNNNNNNNNNNNNNNNNNNNAUGUGUUUUCUGUUGUUUUUUCUUUCACGAAAGGAACGGUUUUUCUUUUAUGAGAUACACAGAUUUGCUUUUGCGAGAGGCACGGCCGUGUUUCUCGAAAACGAAAAAACAUGUGUUUUUGUUUUUUUGUGAAAGACACGAUUUGCUUUCAUGAAAGGCACAGGUUUGCUUCCGCGAGAGGCAUAGUCGUGCCUCUCGGGGACGAAAAAAAACGUGUGUUUUGAGCUUUCGCGGAAGGAACGGUUUUCGAGUCCAGUUUUUCUAUUCGUUUUUUUUUCGUGAAAAGAAGUUCGUUAAAACCUAUUAACAUGAGAUCUUGUUUUAAAGAUCUCGAGCGAAGAAUACAACGAUGAAAAUAGUUCAAGAUUUGGACAUACGGUUUAAGAGAUAAAAUAUUAUGAAAAUAAGGAUCUACGAAAAAAAACGAAAACUUUUCAUAACCUGGUUAGAUGGGAGUGAUCUUUGAAAGGAAUACUCCUCAAUUAGUUAUUUCGCCUCAUAUUCGACGUUCUGAGAUUGGAGCUCCUGGAUGGCACGUGGGGCUAGCACCGGCGUCCACGUGGAAAGAGAGAGAGAGCGCACGAAGGUGGGCUGCGAGAGGGGGCCGGCCGGCUACGCUAGCUGGGCCAUCGAUGUUGUUGUGCUGUUGGGUUGUUGCUUGCCAUGUGAGCGACAGGUGGCCACCUCUCAUACUUCUUAGCUCCAGUACUUUUUAUAUAUUUCAAAAAUAUUCUUCUCAUUUGGAGUUCAGGAAAAUAGGUAUAUUUGAUGUAGCUUUUUUAGGUCCAGAAUUCCAGCUGUCGGUAAUGUUCCUCUCCAUGUAAACCUUGUAAAUUCAAAGAGAAAAGGCAUUAAAAUUAUAUCAUAAAGUUUAAUAAUGACCAAAAGAAAUAUAAGUAACAAUAUCAAAUCAUGAUGCAAAAAUAGACGUAUCACCUCUAUUGCUACUGUCGCUACGAAGGGAGAAGGGGUGUGUCAUGUCACUCGAUUCCACAACCACAAAAUUAGCCAGCUGUAAUAAUCUUCCGUCCAAAGUUGGCAUACGUUAGAUGUGCGACUUCAACCAACGUCAAGAAGAUUAUGAACAUAAACAUGCAAAAAGGGAUAUUAAGUCCUAAUACCAAACAACCUAUUACAUACUAGGGUGUACUCCCUGAGAACAACAGGUCUACUUACACAUGGGAAUGACAAAUCAUCAUGGUAAUGAUAAUGGAGUACAUGGAUGGACGAAUCAAUCGAUACAUCGAAGGAUCCACUAGGGUUCUUAAUGUUGCACAUGAUAAGGGUGCGGAUGAGAUGACAAUGGUUAUGAAGAUAGUGAUGAUGACUUCAUUCCCUUCAUGGUGAGAGUGACCCCCUCCUCCUAGUUAAUCCUCCCUCCGCAUGGGCUCCGGAGGCUAGGGUUCUGCCUUGUAGAUGAGUUUCUGGAGUCUGUGCACGUGUGAUUCACGAUCCGCUUCGACGGGGUAAAAAUAGCUGAUCUUCCACAGGGAUCGGCGCGCCAAACGACCGCUCAUGCGAGCAUGCGGUCGCAUGGAACGACGUCGUUCGCUCUUGAAGUGCGACAACGACUAUUUCUUUGGUCUUCUUACUUGAUUUUUUUAUGGAAAAUGUUUAUCACCUUUAAUACAUGAUUCUAAUGUUAUUUUUGGAAAUUUUCUCCAAAUAAAUAUUGCUUCAAAAGCCAUUACAUGAGGGAUUAUCAACAAAAAAAAGUGCACGAACACUGUAAAAUUCCACAAAGCCUACAAAAUUGCCACAAAAAAAAACGGUGAAGAGGUCUCAAAAUUUAGACUCAUCAGCCGACCCGUUUAACCUUUUCAUUUCAUAUUAAAGAAAAAAAUGAUGCGACAACAGGGAUUAGAGAAGUAACCACUAAACCAUCAUGAUUAACAUGUUAAUUAGCUUCUUUUCAUCCUUUUGUCCUCUUUAGUUCGUGUAACUUNNNNNNNNNNNNNNNNNNNNNNNNNNNNNNNNNNNNNNNNNNNNNNNNNNNNNNNNNNNNNNNNNNNNNNNNNNNNNNNNNNNNNNNNNNNNNNNNNNNNGCCCAGGAGGGACGAGGCAGGGUGAGGGGAGGUGCGCUGCGGGGCAGGGGCAACCGGCGGCGUGGCAGGAGAGGGAAUCAGGCGAGGGGGAGGAUGUCGGGAUCGGGGGCUGCGAGAGGAGGGGGACGAGAGGAACAGGGACACGAGGAGGACGGCGCUCGGGAGGACGAGGAGAGCGGGGUGGUUCGCUAGGGCAGGGGAGGUCUGGGCCUUGGCCGACUGAGCCUUGGCGUGGGGUCCUCCCCCUUUGGGUUUUUUCUUUUUAACUUUUAAAACAAAAAAAUUUAAAUAAAGAAAGGCUUUUAACAAAAAAUAAAAUAAAUGCCUUUGACCCCUUUUGAAAAAAAAAUAUUGCCAACUAUAAUAAAUAGUUGGGCAUUUUUAAAAGAAAUAAUAUAAAUCCUUUUGAAGAAUUAAAAUCAAAACCUUUUUUAAGAAUAAAAUAAACCUAUUUUAUUUAAAGAAUAAAAUAAAAGCGCUUUAAAAGAGAAAAGAAAAUGAUACGGAUUUAAAAUAAAACAAAAGGAGGAAAUAAAGAAAACCCAAGGGGUUGCCCCCACAUUUAAUAAAAGAAACUUUUAUUGAAAAGAAGAAGACGAACCCUUUUAACUAGGGGUUUAAAACGGGAAACUUUAGCAAACCGCAAAAACAAAAUAAGAGGGGAGAGGGGGAGUUCCUAUCGCACUAAGACUCGGUGAUCACUCGAAGCACAACACUCAAAACACCACACGUGACAGACGAUGCAAACUAAAUGAUGAUGCAACCAACAAAAUAAAAUAGCCACACGACGGAAACGGAAUAAAAGGGGGGAAUCUUCUGGAAUGUCGGUCUCAGGCUGUCACAACUCUCCUACACUACAAGAGGAUCUCGCCCCAAGAUCCAAGAAUGAAAGGGGGGAGAGGAUGAGAAAGCAAGAGGUAAAAACUUAGUCGCUUCUUUGACAAACUAGUGAAACCAACGAUCCUUGAAAGUUGCAAAGAGAUGAGGAAUGAUAUGAGAAAGAAGCAAGAAUUCACGGAAAAUUUCGGUAGCACUUCGGUAGGAAAAUGGGACAAAAAAUUCGAUAAGAAGGAAGAAAUAGACAAUAUUCACAACCAACAACUAAAUAGAACGAGGGAACACCACAAUCUUGAUAGAACAAGAUAAUAGACCCAAAAGAGCAACAUCAUAAUGCCUCCGGAACAAGAGAAUAUGACUAGCUCAAGCAGAAGAAGAGAAUGAAGAAAAGAAUGCCAACUAUCAUCACAAUAGAAUUGAAGAGCCUCCGGACAGAGAAUUGAUGUAGCAAUUGGAAAUCCAACAACGAAAAGAACAAGAUAGUAGUGGGCUUAUGAAAAUCAUCUCAACAAAUAUGAGGUGACAACCAACCACUAAAAGAAACAAGGAUAGCUUAGGAGCAACAAGAAAUCAAAACUUCUUACACCAAGAGGAUACAUUGAGAACUGGGAUUAAUGACAAGCACCAUGAUAGCACAAUCCAUAGGAAAAGCUUUAGGUGAAGUCCAAACCAAGAUAGCUCAAUGAAGAAAUCAUGGGUUGAAAAUAUCUCAUGAUCAUAGAAUUGGUGGGUUUAAUUAUCUCAUUCUUGAAGGAAAAACUCUUCGAGGAUCCUACACUAACAAGAAAGCUAUAAUACCACCUCAAAGGAUAAAGGAAGAACAAUUGCACUGAAAUGCAAGGGAAAGAAUGUUUGAGGUACUCCAACAAGAAUCUUGAAGAACACUUGAGAAUGGAUUGAAACCUUGAUGAACCACCAUGAAGGACCUUCGUAUACAAAUGAAUGAUGCAACGAUAUGAAGGUAGACAAGAAUAAGAUUAUGACCUUGCCAAGAUUUAGAUGAAGCUUCACAAAGAGAUACUUGAGAAAACUUGGAACUCCGGAAAAUAAAAGAUAAUAACACUUGAGAAAAAGGAAUUGAUAUCAUGAGGCACUCCAGAAGAAAUAUUGAAAUCACUAUGAAACAGGAAUAAGAAUUAUGUUAUGCUUAUCCUUCAUCAAGUUUAAUUGAUGACAAGCAAUGGAUUUAGCGUACCACUUAUUCUUGAAAGAAUCUUGAAGAGGUAGAUAGAUAAGCACCAUUUGAGGCAAAAUUGAAGGAAGCACCGGUAAGAAUUCACAAAUAAAUGGGAACACCACGAAUUAAUGGAGAUACAUGAGAAUGAAGAGAUCAUGAGCCACCCGAGAGAAAACUUGAACAAGGCACCAGAUAAACGAGAGACGGCGAAGAGACAACAAUGGAGAAGAACUGAGGAUGAAAGUUGAAAGCUGAGAACGAAGAAUCUUCUGAAAUGAUGGCCUUCAGAGGAACGAGAAAUAAAAACAACUCAGAAAUGCACCGGAUAGCACGAAAGGGAUUACUCACGAUUGACAACAAUUAAAAUGAUGGCACAAAGCUGAAAUGACGAAUAUCCACGAGAAUGAACCAAGAUUGAGAGAAACACUCCUUCGAAUUUGCAGGCUGAGAAUGAUGACGAGAAACAACACCAAGAAUAGCUGAGACACUCCGGAAUAAAGAAGAAUGAAAGGUUGAGCCAAAAUGAGAAUUAAUUCAAAUUGAACUUGAAGAAUGAAUAUGACUGAUGAAAAUCAUACUUACGUCAUAGUUGAAAGAAUUAAGGAUCUCCGGAAAAGAUUACAAGAGCUAAAAGAUCCUGGGAAAAACCUGUGGGUUAUGGGCCCACUCAAAGAAACCACCGUUGAAAAGAUUGCUAGAAAGAGGGAUAUUGCACCGGUACAAUGAAAACUUGAUGAGGUUGAGCACCUUGCAAUAAUUGGAAAAUUUGAAAACAAGAACUCUCAGACAUCUUCAACACUCCGGAUAGAAUAGAGAGAAAUGACAGCAAGAUCGACUGAUAAAAAAAUCCAACAUAGGAAAGAAUUACAAGGAUGAAAAGGAUAUGAUGACACGGACAACUGAAUUGAAUUCACCGGAAAAAAUAACACGACUNNNNNNNNNNNNNNNNNNNNNNNNNNNNNNNNNNNNNNNNNNNNNNNNNNNNNNNNNNNNNNNNNNNNNNNNNNNNNNNNNNNNNNNNNNNNNNNNNNNNUGUUGGAAUUAUGCCCUAGAGGCAAUAAUAAAUAUAUAGUUAUUAUUAUAAUUCCUGUAUCAAGAUAAUAGUUUAUUAUCCAUGCUAUAAUUGUAUUGAAUGAAGACUCAUUUACAUGUGUGGAUACAUAGACAAAACACCGUCCCUAGCAUGCCUCUAGUUGGCUAGCCAGUUGAUCGAUGAUAGUCAGUGUCUUCUGAUUAUGAACAAGGUGUUGUUGCUUGAUAACUGGAUCACGUCAUUGGGAGAAUCACGUGAUGGACUAGACCCAAACUAAUAGACGUAGCAUGUUGAUCGUGUCAUUUUGUUGCUACUGUUUUCUGCGUGUCAAGUAUUUAUUCCUAUGACCAUGAGAUCAUAUAACUCACUGACACCGGAGGAAUGCUUUGUGUGUAUCAAACGUCGCAACGUAACUGGGUGACUAUAAAGAUGCUCUACAGGUAUCUCCGAAGGUGUUAGUUGAGUUAGUAUGGAUCAAGACUGGGAUUUGUCACUCCGUGUGAACGGAGAGGUAUCUCGGGGCCCACUCGGUAAUACAACAUCACACACAAGCCUUGCAAGCAAUGUAACUUAGUGUAAGUUGCGGGAUCUUGUAUUACGGAACGAGUAAAGAGACUUGCCAGUAAACGAGAUUGAAAUAGGUAUACGGAUACUGACGAUCGAAUCUCGGGCAAAUAACAUACUGAAGGACAAAGGGAAUGACAUACGGGAUUAUAUGAAUCCUUGGCACUGAGGUUCAAACGAUAAGAUCUUCGUAGAAUAUGUAGGAUCCAAUAUGGGCAUCCAGGUCCCGCUAUUGGAUAUUGACCGAGGAGUCUCUCGGGUCAUGUCUACAUAGUUCUCGAACCCGCAGGGUCUGCACACUUAAGGUUCGACGUUGUUUUAUGCGUAUUUGAGUUAUAUGGUUGGUUACCGAAUGUUGUUCGGAGUCCCGGAUGAGAUCCAGGACGUCACGAGGAGCUCCGGAAUGGUCCGGAGGUAAAGAUUGAUAUAUAGGAAGUCCUGUUUUGGUCACCGGAAAAGUUUCGGGCUCAUCGGUAGUGUACCGGGAGUGCCGGGAGGGGUGCCGGGGACCAUCGGGAGGGGUGUCACGCCCCAAGGGGUCUCAUGGGCUAUGGGAAGAGAUAAACCAGCCCCUAGUGGGCUGGAAUAAGUUCCCACUAAGGCCCAUAAGGUUUGAGAAGGAAAAAACACAAGGUGGAAAGAGUUUCCAAGUGGGAAGGUGGAAUCCUACUNNNNNNNNNNNNNNNNNNNNNNNNNNNNNNNNNNNNNNNNNNNNNNNNNNNNNNNNNNNNNNNNNNNNNNNNNNNNNNNNNNNNNNNNNNNNNNNNNNNNAGGGACGUGAGGACGUUCCACUACAUCAACCGCGUUCUCUAACGCUUCUGCUGUAUGAUCUACAAGGGUACGUAGAUCACUCAUCCCCUCUCGUAGAUGGACAUCACCAUGAUAGGUCUUCGUGACGUUCCCCAACAGUGGUAUCAGAGCUAGGUUCAUGCGUAGAUGUCUUCUCGAGUAGAACACAAAAGUUUUUGUGGGCGGUGAUGUGCGUUUUGCUGCCCUCCUUAGUCUUUUCUUGAUUCCGCGGUAUUGUUGGAUUGAAGCGGCUUGGACCGACAUUACUCGUACGCUUACGAGAGACUGGUUUCAUCGUUACGAGUAACCCCCUUUGCUCAAAGAUGACUGGCAAGUGACGGUUUCUCCAACUUUAGUUGGAAUCGGAUUUGACCGAGGAGGUCCUUGGAUGAGGUUAAAUAGCAACUCAUAUAUCUCCGUUGUGGUGUUUGCGUAAGUAAGAUGCGAUCCUACUAGAUACCCUUGGUCACCACGUAAAACAUGCAACAACAAAAUUAGAGGACGUCUAACUUGUUUUUGCAGGGUAUGAUUGUGAUGUGAUAUGGCCAAUGAUGUGAUGUGAUAUAUUGGAUGUAUGAGAUGAUCAUGUUGUAAUAGAAAUAUCGACUUGCACGUCGAUGGUACGGCAACCGGCAGGAGCCAUAGGGUUGUCUUUAUACUAAUAUAUGUGCUUGCAGAUGCGUUUACUAUUUUGCUAGGAUGUAGCUUUAGUAGUAAUAGCGUAAGUAGCACGACAACCACGAUGGCAACACGUUGAUGGAUGAUCAUGGUGUGGCGCCGGUGACAAGAAGAUCGUGCCGGUGCUUUGGUGAUGGAGAUCAAGAAGCACGUGAUGAUGGCCAUAUCAUGUCACUUAUGAAUUGCAUGUGAUGUUAAUCCUUUUAUGCACCUUAUUUUGCUUAGAACAACGGUAGCAUUAUGAGGUGAUCUCUCACUAAAAUUUCAAGACGAAAUUGUGUUCUCCCCGACUGUGCACCGUUGCUACAGUUCGUCGUUUCGAGACACCACGUGAUGAUCGGGUGUGAUAGACUCAACGUUCACAUACAACGGGUGCAAAACAGUUGCGCACGCGGAACACUCGGGUUAAGCUUGACGAGCCUAGCAUGUGCAGACAUGGCCUCGGAACACAUGAGACCGAAAGAUCGAGCAUGAAUCGUAUAGUUGAUAUGAUUAGCAUAGAGAUGCUUACCACUGAAACUAUUCUCGACUCACGUGAUGAUCGGACUUGAGAUAGUGGAUUUGGAUCAUGUACCACUCAAAUGACUAGGGAGAUGUACUUUUUGAGUGGGAGUUCUUAAGUAAUAUGAUUAAUUGAACUAAUUGUCAUGAACAUAGUCUAAUGGUCUUUGCGAAUUACGAUGUAGCUUGCGCUAUAGCUCUACUGUUUUUAUAUGUUCCUAGAGAAAAUUUAGUUGAAAAUUGAUAGUAGCAAACUUUGCAGACUGAGUCUGUAAAACCGAGGAUUGUCCUCGUUGCUGCACAGAAGGCUUAUGUCCUUAAUGCACCACUCGGUGUGCUGCACCUCGAGCGUCGUCUGUGGAUGCUGUGAACAUCCGAACUACACGUUACUGAUGACUACACGAUAGUUCAGUGCAAAGUACUUAAUGGCUUAGAAGCAAGGCACCGAAAACGUUUUAAAACGUCACGGAACAUAAGUGAUGUUCUAAAGAGAUGAAAUUGUGAUUUCAUGCUUGUGCCCUUGUUAAGAGGUACGAGACCUCCAACAAGAUUCUUUGACCACAAAUUAAAGGAGAAAAGGUCAAUCGUUGAGCAUGUGCUCAGAUUGUCUGAGUACGACAAUCACUUGAAUCAAGUGGGAGCUAAUCUUCGAGAUGAGAUAGUGAUGGUUCUCCAAAAGUCGCUGCCACCAAGCUUUGAGAGCUUCGUGAUGAACUAUAACAUAUCAAGGAUAGAUACAAUGAUCCUUGAGCGAUUCGCGAUGUUUGACACUGCGAAAGUAGAAAUCAAGAAGGAGCAUCAAUAGUUGAUGGUUUGGAAAACCACUAAGUUUCAAGAAAGGCGAGGGCUAGAAGGGAUACCUCGUGAAACGGCAAAACAGUUGCUGCGCUAAUGAAGAGACCCAAGAUUAAACCCAAACCCGAGACUAAGUGCUUCUGUAAUAAGGGGAACAGUCACUGAGGCGGAGCAACUCUGGAUACUUGGUAGAUAAAGAAGGCUGGCAAAAGUCGAGAGAAGUAUAUUUGAUAUACAUAAUGUUGAUGUGUACUUUACUAGUACUCCUAGUAGCACAAGGGUAUUGGAUACCGGUUCGGUUGCUAAGUGAUUAGUAACGCGAAAUGAAAGCUACGACAUAAACGGAGACUAGCUAAAGGCGAGGUGACGAUACGUGUUGGAAGUGUUUCCAAGGUUGAUAUGAUCAAACGUCGCACGCUCCCUCUACCAUCGGGAUUGGUGUUGAACCUAAAUAAUUGUUAUUUGGUGCUUGCGUUAGGCAUGAACAUGAUUGGAUCGUGUUUAUUGCAAUACGAUUAUUCAUUCAAAGAGAAUAAUGGUUACUCUAUUUGCUUGAAUAAUCACCUUCAAUGGUUUAUUGAAUCUCGAUUGUAGUGUUACACAUUGGUGCCAAAAGAUACGAGUUAAUGAUGAUAGUACCACUUACUUGUGGCACUGCCGCUUGAGUCAUGUUAGUAUAAAUUGCAUGAAGAGGGGCCAUGCUGAUGGAUCUUUACUCACCUGAUUGCGAAUCACUAGUGACAUGCAAAUCAUACCACAUGAGCAAGGCCUUGUUUUCAUUGAGAUGAAACAAGAUAGUAACUUGUUGGAAGUGAUACAUUUUGAUGUAUGCAGUCCAAUGAGUGCUGAGGCACGCAGUGGAUAUCAUUAUGUUCUUACUUCACUUACGACUUGAGUAGAUACAGGAGUAUUUACUUAAUGAAUCACAAGUCUGAAAUACUGAAAAGUUCAAUUCCGUUUCAGAGUGAAGUUCGUCGUAACAAGAGGAUGAACUGUCUACGAUAUGAUCAUAGAAAUGAAUAUCUGAGUUACGAGUUUUUGGUACACAAUUAAGACAAUGUGGAAAUUGUUUCACAGUUCAUGCCACCUGGAACAUCAUAGUGUGAUGAUGUGUCUGAACGUCAUAGCCACGCACUAUUUAGUAUGGUGCAUGCUGUGAUGUCUCUUAUUGAAUUACCACUAUCGUUUAUGGGUUAUGCAUUAGAGACAACCGCAUUCACUUUAAAUAGGGCACCGCGUAUUUCCGUUGAGAUGACACAGUAUAGACUGAGGUUUAGAGAAAUCUAAACUGUCGUUUCUUGAAAGUUUGGGGCUUCGACACUUAUGUGAAAAAGUUUCAGCCUGAUAAGCUCGAACCCAAAGCGGAUAAAUGCAUCUUCAUAGGAUAUCCAAAACAGUUGGGUACAUCUCCUAUCUCAGAUCCGAAAGCAAAGUGUUUGUUUCUAGAAACGGAUCCUUUCUCGAGGAAAGGUUUCUCUCGAAAGAAUUGAGUGGGAGGGUAGUAGAACUUGAUGAGGUUAUUGAACCAUCACUUCAACCAGUGUGUAGCAGGGCAUAGGAAGUUGUUCCUGUGGCGCCUACACCAAUUGAAGUGGAAGCUGAUGAUGGUGAUUAUUGAGCUUCGAAUCAAGUUACUACAAACCUCGUAGGUCGACAAGGUCGCGUACUGCUGCAGAGUAGUAUGGUAACCCUGUCUUGGAGGUCAUGUUGUUGAGCAACAGUGAACCUACGAGUUAUGGAGAAAGCGAUGGUGGGCCCAGAUUCCGACAAAUGGCUGGAAGCCAUGAAAUCCGAGAGAGGAUCCAUGUAUGAAAACAAAGUGUAGACUUUGAAAGAACUACUUGAUGGUCAUAAGACUAUUGAGUAAAGAUGGAUCUUUAAAAGAAGAGAUGAUGGUGAUAAGUCACUAUUAAGAAAAGCUCGACUUGUCGCAAAGAUGUUUUCGACAAGAUCAAACAGUUGACUAUGAUGAGACUUUCUCACUCGUAGCGAUGCUAAAGGUCUGUUAGAAUUAUGUUAGUUGUUGAUGCAUUAUUUAUGAAAUAUUGCACGUAGGAUGUCAAAACAUUAUUUUCUCGACGGUUUCCUUGAGCAAACAUUGUAUGUGAUACAACGAGAAGGUUUUGUCGAUCCUAAAGAUACUAGCAAGUAUGCAAGCUCCAGUGAUCCUUCAAUGGACUAGUGCAAGCAUCUCGGAGUUGGAAUAUACACUUUGAUGAGAUGAUCAAAGUUUUUGGGUGUGUACAAGGUUUAUGAGAAACUUGUAUUUCCAAAGAAGUGAGUGGGAGCACUAUAGAAUUUCUGAUAGGUAUAUGUGGUUGACAUAUUGUGGAUCAGAAGUAAUGUAGAAUUUAUGUAAAGCAUACAAGGUUGUUUGAAAGAAGUUUUCAAAGGAGUACCUGGAUUACGCUACUUGAACGUUGAGCAUCAAAGAUCUAUGGAGAUAGAUCGAAAAACGCUUAAUAGAAGUUUCAACAAGAUGCAUGCCUUGACAAGUUUUUGAAAGAGUUCAAAAUAGAUCAGCAAAGAAGGAGUUCUUGGUUGCGUUGUGAGGUGUGAAUUUGAGUAAGACUCAAAACCCGACCACGGCAGAAUAAAAAGAAUAGACGAAGGUCGUCUUCUAUGCCUUAGCCGUAGAAUCUAAAGUAUGCCAUGCUGUGUACCGCACCUGAUGUGUGCCUUGACUCAAAGUCUGUUGAGGGUACAGAGAGUGAUCCAUGAUUGAAUCACUAGCAGCGGUCAAAAUUUAUCCUUAGUAACUAAUGGACUAAGGAAUUUUUCUCGAUUAUGGAGGUGGUUGAAGAGUUCGUCGUAAAGGGUUACGUUGAUGCAAGCUUUGACACUAAUCCGAAUAACUAUGAGUAGUGAAACGGAUUCGUAUAGUAGAGUAGAUAUUUGGAGCAUUUUCGAAUAGCACGUAGUAGCAGCAUCUAUAAGAUGACAUAAAAAUUUGUAAAGAACACACGGAUCUGAAAGUUUCAGAACCGUUGACUGAAAACUCUCUCACGAGCAAGACGUGAUCAGACCCCAGAACUAUAUGGGUGUUGGAUUCGUUGGAAUCACAUGGUGAUGUGAACUAGAUUAUUGACUCUAGUGCAAGUGGGAGACUGUUGGAAAUAUGCCCUAGAGGCAAUAAUAAAUUAGUUAUUAUUAUAUUUCUUAGUUCAUGAUAAUCGUUUAUUAUCCAUGCUAUAAUUGUAUUGAUUGGAAACACAAUACUUGUGUGGAUACAUAGACAAAACACUGUCCCUAGUAAGCCUCUAGUUGACUAGCUCGUUGAUCAAAGAUGGUCAAGGUUUCCUGGCCAUAGGCAAGUGUUGUCACUUGAUAACGGGAUCACAUCAUUAGGAGAAUCAUGUGAUGGACUAGACCCAAACUAAUAGACGUAGCAUGUUGCUCGUGUCAUUUUGUUGCUACUGUUUUCUGCAUGUCAAGUAUUUGUUCCUAUGACCAUGAGAUCAUAUAACUCACGGACACCGGAGGAAUGCUUUGUGUGUAUCAAACGUCGCAACGUAACUGGGUGACUAUAAAGAUGCUCUACAGGUAUCUCCGAAGGUGUUCGUUGAGCUAGUAUGGAUCAAGACUGGGAUUUGUCACUCCGUGUGACGGAGAGGUAUCUCGGGGCCCACUCGGUAAUACAACAUCACACACAAGCCUUGCAAGCAAUGUAACUUAGUGUAAGUUGCGGGAUCUUGUAUUACGGAACGAGUAAAGAGACUUGCCGGUAAACGAGGUUGAAAUAGGUAUACGGAUACUGACGAUCGAAUCUCGGGCAAGUAACAUACCGAAGGACAAAGGGAAUGACAUACGGGAUUAUACGAAUCCUUGGCACUGAGGUUCAAACGAUAAGAUCUUCGUAGAAUAUGUAGGAUCCAAUAUGGGCAUCCAGGUCCCGCUGUUGGAUAUUGACCGAGGAGUCUCUCGGGUCAUGUCUACAUAGUUCUCGAACCCGCAGGGUCUGCACACUUAAGGUUCGACGUUGUUUUAUGCGUAUUUGAGUUAUAUGGUUGGUUACCGAAUGUUGUUCGGAGUCCCGGAUGAGAUCACGGACGUCACGAGGGUUUCCGGAAUGGUCCGGAAACGAAGAUUGAUAUAUAGGAUGACCUCAUUUGAUUACCGGAAGGUUUUCGGAGUUACCGGGAAUGUACCGGGAAUGACGAAUGGGUUCCGGGAGUUCACCGGAGGGGGGCAACCCACUCCGGGGAAGCCCAUAGGCAUUUGGGGGGGUCACACCAGCCCUUAGUGGGCUGGUGGGACAGCCCACCAAUCCCCUAUGCGCCAAGAGAGAAAAAAUCAAAGGAAAGAAAAAAAAGAAGGAAGAAGUGGGAAGGGGGAAGGACUCCCUCCCACCAAACCAAGUAGGACUCGGUUUGGGGGGGGGGGAGAGUCCUCCCCCCUAGCUCGGCCGACCCCUUGGGGAUCCCUUGGACCCCAAGGCAAGGUCCCCCUCCCUCCUCCUAUAUAUAUGGGGCUUUUAGGGCAGAUUUGAGACGACUUUCUCACGGCUGCCCGACCACAUACCUCCAUAGUUUUCCCUCUAGAUCGUGUUUCUGCGGAGCUCGGGCGGAGCCCUGCUGAGACAAGAUCAUCACCAACCUCCGGAGCACCGUCACGCUGCCGGAGAACUCUUCUACCUCUCCGUCUCUCUUGCUGGAUCAAGAAGGCCGAGAUCAUCGUCGAGCUGUACGUGUGCUGAACGCGGAGGUGCCGUCCGUUCGGUACUAGAUCGUGGGACUGAUCGCGGGAUUGUUCGCGGGGCGGAUCGAGGGACGUGAGGACGUUCCACUACAUCAACCGCGUUCUCUAACGCUUCUGCUGUACGAUCUACAAGGGUACGUAGAUCACUCAUCCCCUCUCGUAGAUGGACAUCACCAUGAUAGGUCUUCGUGCGCGUAGGAAAAUUUUUGUUUCCCAUGCGACGUUCCCCAACAGGAGAGUCCUCCCCCUUGGCUCGGCCGACCCCCUUGAGGGUCCUUGGACCCCAAGGCAAGGCCCCCUCCCUCCCACCUAUAUAUACGGAGGUUUUAGGGCUGAUUUGAGAUGACUUUUCCACGGCAGCCCGACCACAUACCUCCACGGUUUUUCCUCUAGAUCGCGUUUCUGCGGAGCUCGGGCGGAGCCCUGCUGAGACAAGAUCAUCACCAACCUCCGGAGCGCCGUCACGCUGCCGGAGAACUCUUCUACCUCUCCGUCUCUCUUGCUGGAUCAAGAAGGCCGAGAUCAUCGUCGAGCUGUACGUGUGCUGAACGCGGAGGUGCCGUCCGUUCGGUACUAGAUCGUGGGACUGAUCGCGGGAUUGUUCGCGGGGCGGAUCGAGGGACGUGAGGACGUUCCACUACAUCAACCGCGUUCUCUAACGCUUCUGCUGUACGAUCUACAAGGGUACGUAGAUCACUCAUCCCCUCUCGUAGAUGGACAUCACCAUGAUAGGUCUUCGUGCGCGUAGGAAAAUUUUUGUUUCCCAUGCGACGUUCCCCAACAGUGGCAUCAUGAGCUAGGUUCAUGCGUAGAUGUCUUCUCGAGUAGAACACAAAAGGUUUUGUGGGCGGUGAUGUGCGUUUUGCUGCCCUCCUUAGUCUUUUCUUGAUUCCGCGGUAUUGUUGGAUUGAAGCGGCUUGGACCGACAUUACUCGUACGCUUACGAGAGACUGGUUUCAUCGUUACGAGUAACCCCCUUUGCUCAAAGAUGACUGGCAAGUGACGGUUUCUCCAACUUUAGUUGAAUCGGAUUUGACCGAGGAGGUCCUUGGAUGAGGUUAAAUAGCAACUCAUAUAUCUCCGUUGUGGUGUUUGCGUAAGUAAGAUGCGAUCCUACUAGAUACCCAUGGUCACCACGUAAAACAUGCAACAACAAAAUUAGAGGACGUCUAACUUGUUUUUGCAGGGUAUGCUUGUGAUGUGAUAUGGCCAACGAUGUGAUGUGAUAUAUUGGAUGUAUGAGAUGAUCAUGUUGUAAUAGAAAUAUCGACUUGCACGUCGAUGGUACGGCAACCGGCAGGAGCCAUAGGGUUGUCUUUAUACUAACGUUUGUGCUUGCAGAUGCGUUUACUAUUUUGCUAGGAUGUAGCUUUAGUAGUAAUAGCAUAAGUAGCACGACAACCCCGAUGGCAACACGUUGAUGGAUGAUCAUGGUGUGGCGCCGGUGACAAGAAGAUCGUGCCGGUGCUUUGGUGAUGGAGAUCAAGAAGCACGUGAAGAUGGCCAUAUCAUGUCACUUAUGAAUUGCAUGUGAUGUUAAUCCUUUUAUGCACCUUAUUUUGCUUAGAACGACGGUAGCAUUAUGAGGUGAUCUCUCACUAAAAUUUCAAGACGAAAUUGUGUUCUCCCCGACUGUGCACCGUUGCUACAGUUCGUCGUUUCGAGACACCACGUGAUGAUCGGGUGUGAUAGACUCAACGUUCACAUACAACGGGUGCAAAACAGUUGCGCACGCGGAACACUCGGGUUAAGCUUGACGAGCCUAGCAUGUGCGGACAUGGCCUCGGAACACAUGAGACCGAAAGGUCGAUCAUGAAUCAUAUAGUUGAUAUGAUUAGCAUAGGGAUGCUUACCACUGAAACUAUACUCAACUCACGUGAUGAUCGGACUUGGGAUAGUGUAAGUGGAUCAUGAACCACUCAAAUGACUAGAGAGAUGUACUUUUUGAGUGGGAGUUUAGCAUAUAAUUUGAUUAAGUUGAACUCUAAUUAUCUUGAACAUAGUCUAAGUCCACUUUGAAUAUAUUUGUGUUGUAGAUCAUGGCUCACGCGACAGUCAUCCUGAAUUUUAAUACGUUCCUAGAGAAAGCUAAGUUGAAAGAUGAUGGAAGCAACUUUGUAGACUGGGCUCGUAAUCUUAAGCUAAUCUUACAAGCUGGGAAGAAGGAUUAUGUCCUUAAUGCUGCGCUAGGAGAUGAACCACCCGCUAUGGCUGAUCAGGAUGUUAAGAACGCUUGGUUAGCACGUAAGGAGGACUACUCAAUAGUUCAAUGUGCAGUCUUGUAUGGCUUAGAACCGGGACUUCAACGUCGCUUUGAGCGUCAUGGAGCAUUUGAGAUGUUCCAGGAGUUGGAGUUUAUCUUUCAGAAGAACGCCCGGAUCGAGAGGUAUGAGACCUCCGAUAAAUUCUAUGCUUGCAAGAUGGAGGAAAACUCGUCUGUCAGUGAACAUGUGCUCAAAAUGUCUGGGUACUCAAACCGUCUGGCUGAGUUGGGGAUUGAACUCCCGCAAGAAGCGAUCACUGACAGAAUCCUUCAAUCACUGCCGCCAAGCUAUAAAGGCUUUGUGUUGAACUACAACAUGCAAGGGAUGAACAAGUCUCCCGGCGAGUUGUUUGCGAUGCUGAAAGUCGCAGAGUCUGAACUCCGUAAAGAGCAUCAAGUGUUGAUGGUGAGCAAGACCACUAGUUUCAAGAGAAACGACAAAGGCAAGAAGGGCAAUUCGAAGAAGAGCGGCAAGCCUGUUGCCAAUCCGCCGAAGAAACCCAAGGCUGGACCUAAGCCUGAAACAGAGUGCUUCUAUUGCAAGGGUAUGGGUCACUGGAAGCGCAAUUGCCCCAAGUAUCUGGCAGAUAAGAAGGCGGGCAAAGAAAAAUCAGGUAUAUUUGAUAUACAUGUUAUUGAUGUGUACUUAACCGGCUCUCGUAGUAGUGCCUGGGUAUUCGAUACCGGUUCUGUUGCUCACAUUUACAACUCGAAGCAGGAACUGCGGAAUAGACAAAGGCUGGCGAAAGACGAAGUGACGAUGCGCGUAGGAAAUGGUUCCAAGGUUGAUGCAAUCGCCGUUGGCACAGUGUCACUUCAGCUACCAUCGGGAUUAGUGAUGAACUUAAAUCAUUGUUAUUUAGUGCCUGCGUUGAGCAUGAACAUUAUAUCUGGAUCUUGUUUAUUGCGAGACGGUUACUCUUUUAAGUCUGAGAAUAAUGGUUGUUCUAUUUCUAUGAGUAACAUCUUUUAUGGUCAUGCACCGAAUGUGAGAGGAUUGUUCAUAUUGAAUCUUGAUAGCGAUACGCAUAUACAUAACAUUGAGACCAAAAGAGUUAGAGUAAACAAUGAUAGCGCCAUAUUUUUGUGGCACUGCCGCUUGGGUCAUAUUGGUGUAAAGCGCAUGAAGAAACUCCAUGCUGAUGGACUUUUGGAGUCACUUGACUUUGAUUCACUUGACACGUGCGAACCAUGCCUCAUGGGCAAGAUGACUAAGACUCCGUUCUCCGGAACAAUGGAGCGUGCAAGUGACUUGUUGGAAAUCAUACAUACCGAUGUGUGUGGUCCAAUGAGCGUAGAGGCACGCGGCGGAUAUCGUUAUUUUCUCACCUUCACUGACGAUUUAAGUAGAUAUGGUUAUGUCUACUUGAUGAAGCACAAGUCUGAAACAUUUGAAAAGUUCAAGCAAUUUCAGAGUGAAGUGGAAAAUCAUCGUAACAAGAAGAUCAAGUUCCUACGGUCUGAUCGUGGGGGUGAAUAUCUGAGUUUCGAGUUUGGUGCUCACUUAAGACAAUGUGGAAUUGUUUCGCAGUUAACACCGCCUGGAACACCACAGCGUAAUGGUGUGUCCGAACGUCGUAAUCGUACUUUGUUAGAGAUGGUGCGAUCUAUGAUGUCUCUUACUGAUUUGCCGUUAUCAUUUUGGGGUUAUGCAUUAGAAACAGCUGCAUUCACUUUAAAUAGGGCACCAUCAAAAUCCGUUGAGACGACACCAUACGAACUGUGGUAUGGCAAAAGGCCAAAGUUGUCGUUUCUUAAAGUUUGGGGAUGUGAUGCUUAUGUCAAAAAGCUUCAGCCUGAAAAGCUGGAACCCAAAGCGGAAAAGUGCGUCUUCAUAGGUUACCCAAAAGAGACAGUUGGGUACACCUUCUAUCUCAAAUCCGAGGGCAAAGUGUUUGUUGCUAAAAACGGAGCUUUUCUCGAGAAGGAGUUUCUCUCGAGAGAAUUGAGUGGGAGGAAGAUAGAACUUGACGAGGUUGUCGAACCUCUCAUCCCUCUGGAUGGUGGCGUAGGGCAAGGGGAAACCUCUGUCGUUGCGACGCCGGUUGAGGAGGAAGUUAAUGAUGAUGAUCAUGAAACUCCAGUUCAAGUUUCUGUUGAACCACGCAGGUCGACGAGAUCACGCGCUGCUCCAGAGUGGUACGGUAAUCUCGUCUUAUCAAUCAUGUUGUUAGACAACAAUGAACCUGCAAAUUAUGAAGAAGCAAUGGUGGGCCCAGAUUCCAACAAAUGGCUAGAAGCCAUGAAAUCCGAGAUAGGAUCCAUGUAUGAGAACAAAGUGUGGACUUUGGAGAUACUACCCGAGGGCCGCAAGGCUAUUCAGAACAAAUGGAUCUUUAAGAAGAAGACGGACGCUGACGGUAAUGUGACCGUUUAUAAAGCUCGACUUGUGGCAAAGGGUUUUUCACAAGUUCCACGAGUUGACUACGAUGAGACUUUCUCACCCGUAGCGAUGCUUAACUCCGUCAGAAUCAUGUUAGCAAUAGCUGCAUUUUUCGAUUAUGAAAUCUGGCAGAUGGAUGUCAAAACGGCGUUCCUUAACGGUUUCCUUAAGGAAGAGUUGUAUAUGAUGCAACCUGAAGGUUUUGUCGAUCCUAAAAAUGCUGACAAGGUGUGCAAGCUCCAGCGAUCCAUUUAUGGACUGGUGCAAGCAUCUCGGAGUUGGAACAAACGCUUUGAUGAGGUGAUCAAAGCAUUUGGGUUUAUACAAGUGGUUGGAGAAUCUUGUAUUUACAAGAAAGUGAGUGGGAGCUCUGUGGCGUUUCUAAUAUUAUAUGUGGAUGACAUAUUACUGAUUGGAAACAACGUAGAGCUUUUGGAGAGCAUAAAAGGUUACUUGAAUAAAAGUUUCUCUAUGAAGGACCUAGGAGAAGCUGCUUACAUUCUAGGCAUUAAGAUCUACAGGGAUAGAUCAAAACGCCUGAUAGGACUUUCACAAAGCACAUACCUUGAUAAAGUUUUGAAGAGGUUCAAAAUGGAACAGUCCAAGAAAGGGUUCUUGCCAGUUUUACAAGGUACGAGAUUGAGUAAGACUCAGUGCCCAGCAACUGAUGAAGAUAGAGAGCAUAUGCGCUCCGUCCCCUAUGCUUCAGCCAUAGGUUCUAUCAUGUAUGCGAUGCUGUGCACUAGACCGGAUGUUAGCCUGGCCAUAAGUAUGGCAGGUAGGUUCCAGAGUAAUCCAGGAGUGGAUCACUGGACAGCGGUCAAGAAUAUCCUGAAGUACCUGAAAAGGACUAAGGAGAUGUUUCUCGUAUAUGGAGGUGACGAAGAGCUCGCCGUAAAAGGUUACGUCGAUGCAAGCUUUGACACAGAUCCGGACGACUCUAAGUCGCAGACCGGAUACGUAUUUAUUCUUAAUGGGGGUGCACUAAGCUGGUGCAGUUCCAAGCAAAGCGUCGUAGCAGAUUCUACAUGUGAAGCAGAGUACAUGGCUGCCUCGGAAGCGGCUAAGGAGGGUGUCUGGAUGAAGCAGUUGAUGACGGAUCUUGGAGUGGUGCCAAGCGCACUGAAUCCAAUAACCUUGUUCUGUGACAACACUGGUGCCAUUGCCUUAGCAAAGGAACCACGGUUUCACAACAAGACCAGACACAUCAAACGACGCUUCAACCUCAUCCGCGACUACGUCGAGGAAGAGGACGUAAAUAUAUGCAAGGUGCACACGGAUCUGAAUGUAGCAGACCCGCUGACUAAACCUCUUCCACGGCCAAAACAUGAUCGACACCAGAACUGUAUGGGUGUUAGAUUUAUUACAAUGUAAUUCACAUGGUGAUGUGAGGGCUAGAUUAUUGACUCUAGUGCAAGUGGGAGACUGUUGGAAUUAUGCCUUAGAGGCAAUAAUAAAUAUAUAGUUAUUAUUAUAAUUCCUGUAUCAAGAUAAUAGUUUAUUAUCCAUGCUAUAAUUGUAUUGAAAGAGGACUCAUUUACAUGUGUGGAUACAUAGACAAAACACCGUCCCUAGCAUGCCUCUAGUUGGCUAGCCAGUUGAUCGAUGAUAGUCAGUGUCUUCUGAUUAUGAACAAGGUGUUGUUGCUUGAUAACUGGAUCACGUCAUUGGGAGAAUCACGUGAUGGACUAGACCCAAACUAAUAGACGUAGCAUGUUGAUCGUGUCAUUUUGUUGCUACUGUUUUCUGCGUGUCAAGUAUUUAUUCCUAUGACCAUGAGAUCAUAUAACUCACUGACACCGGAGGAAUGCUUUGUGUGUAUCAAACAUCGCAACGUAACCGGGUGACUAUAAAGAUGCUCUACAGGUAUCUCCGAAGGUGUUAGUUGAGUUAGUGUGGAUCAAGACUAGGAUUUGUCACUCCGUGUGACGGAGAGGUAUCUCGGGGCCCACUCGGUAAUACAACAUCACACACAAGCCUUGCAAGCAAUGUAACUUAGUGUAAGUUGCGGGAUCUUGUAUUACGGAACGAGUAAAGAGACUUGCCGGUAAACGAGAUUGAAAUAGGUAUGCGGAUACUGACGAUCGAAUCUCGAGCAAGUAACAUACCGAAGGACAAAGGGAAUGACAUACGGGAUUAUACGAAUCCUUGGCACUGAGGUUCAAACGAUAAGAUCUUCGUAGAAUAUGUAGGAUCCAAUAUGGGCAUCCAAGUCCCGCUAUUGGAUAUUGACCGAGGAGUCUCUCGGGUCAUGUCUACAUAGUUCUCGAACCCGCAGGGUCUGCACACUUAAGGUUCGACGUUGUUUUAUGCGUAUUUGAGUUAUAUGGUUGGUUACCGAAUGUUGUUCGCAGUCCCGGAUGAGAUCACGGAUGUCACGAGGGUUUCCGGAAUGGUCCGGAAAUGAAGAUUGAUAUAUAGGAUGACCUCAUUUGAUUACCGGAAGGUUUUCGGAGUUACCGGGAAUGUACCGGGAAUGACGAAUGGGUUCCGGGAGUUCACCGGGGGGGGAGGGCAACCCACCCCGGGGAAGUCCAUAGGCAUUGGGGGAGCCACACCAGCCCUUAGUGGGCUGGUGGGACAGCCCACAAGUGGUCUAUGCGCCAAGAGAAGAAAAAUCAAGAGGAAAAGAAAAAAAAGGAGGAGGUGGGAAGGGAGGAGGACUCCCUCCCACCAAACCUAGUCCAACUCGGUUUGGGGGGGGGGGGAGAGUCCUCCCCCUUGGCUCGGCCGACCCCCUUGAGGGUCCUUGGACCACAAGGCAAGGCCCCCUCCCUCCCACCUAUAUAUACGGAGGUUUUAGGGCUGAUUUGAGACGACUUUUCCACGGCAGCUCGACCAUAUACCUCCACGGUUUUUCCUCUAGAUCGCGUUUCUGCGGAGCUCGGGCGGAGCUCUGCUGAGACAAGGUCAUCACCAACCUCCGGAGCGCCGUCACGCUGCCGGAGAACUCUUCUACCUCUCCGUCUCUUUUGCUGGAUCAAGAAGGCCGAGAUCAUCGUCGAGCUGUACGUGUGCUGAACGCGGAGGUGCCGUCCGUUCGGUACUAGAUCGUGGGACUAAUCGCGGGAUUGUUCACGGGGCGGAUCGAGGGACGUGAGGACGUUCCACUACAUCAACCGCGUUCUCUAACGCUUCUGCUGUACGAUCUACAAGGGUAUGUAGAUCACUCAUCCCCUCUCGUAGAUGGACAUCACCAUGAUAGGUCUUCGUGCGCGUAGGAAAUUUUUUGUUUCCCAUGCGACGUUCCCCAACAGGUAGGUGUUCAGGAUCAUUCAUUUGAUCAUCAGUAGUUCACGUCCGUUAUGCGUAGAUCUUCCCCCCUCUUAUUUCUUGUACUCGUAAGUUUAGCCACCAAGUAUAUGCUUAGCCGCUGCUGCAACCUCACCACUUAUCCAUGCCUCACCCAUUAAGCUUUGCUAGUCUUGAUACCUUUGGAAAUGAGAUUGCUGAGUCCCCUAUGGCUCACAGAUUACUACAACACCAGUUGCAGGUACAAGUAAAGGUUACUCGACGCGAGCGCGUUGAUUGUUCAUUUGGAGUUGCUUCUUCUUCUUCUUCGUCAUCGAUCUAGGAUGGGUUCCAGGCCGGCAGCCUGGGAUAGCAAGGAUGGACGUCGUUCUUCUUUUACCGUUUGUUUUCAUCCGUAGUUGGACCCUGCUCUUACUCUUGAUGAUUAUGUAAUGUACUGAUGUGACUUUGAUGUAGCUUGUGGCGAGUGUAAGCCAAUUCUAUUAUAUAUCUCUUCUUUUCAGUACAUGUACUUGUAACGAUAUCUAUUCUUGCGACACGACGAGAUGCGCUUCUAUCCCUGACGAGGCCUUCGUGCCAAAUUGAGGAUAGGGUCGCAUCUUGGGCGUGACAGAAUGGUAUAUAGUUUUGUAGGAAGAUAAUUCAUAACUAGUAUUGAUAGUAACAAAUGUGCGUCAAGGUGGCCCAAUCCUUUUUAUAACAAAGGAUAAGCUUGAUUGUUCUCUUAUAUAAAGCAAAGCACUUUCAAGGACACAUGUGAAUUUUCGUUUAGUUACGUUCAUCAUGCUUAGUUGAUUCACAUUCGUUACUUUGAUAAUUUGAUAUGUGGGUGGACCGGUGCUAAGGUGUUGUUCUUACUUGAACAAGCAACCUACUUAUGGUUACGCCCUCUUGCACACAUCCGCAACUAUGAAAGAAGAAUUAAGAUAAAUCUAACCAUAGAAUUAAGCGUGUGGAUCCAAAUCAGCCUCCUACGGAGCAACUCAUAAACUAGGGUUUAAGCUUCUGUCACUCUCUCAACUCAUCAUCUACUUAUCAUUCUCCAAUGCUUCCCUUUAGGCCCAAAUAUGAUGAAGUUUCAUGCAACCGACGUUCAUGUGACAUCACUAAAGGAAGAGCCACAUACAUAUCAUGAAAAUAUCGAACGAAUACCAACAUCACAUGAUUACUUAUAACAUGACUUCUCCCAUGUCCUCGAGAACAAAAACAACUACUCACAAAUCAUGUUCAUGUUCAUGUUCAAGAUCAUAGGUGUAUUGAAUAUCAUUAAGGAUCUGAACAGAUAAUCUUCCACCAAAUAAACGAACUAGCAUCAACUACAAGAUGUAAUCAACACUACUAGCAACCCAUAUGUACCAAUCUAAGAUUUUGGAACCAAAAUUGAAUACAAGAGAUGAACUAGGGUUUGAGAUGAGAUGGUGCUGGUGAAGAUGUUGAUGAAGAUUGACCCUCCAAUGGUGGAGGAAGUGUUCGUGAUGAUGAUGGCUUCGAUUUCCUCCUUCCGGACGAAAAUUUCCCGAGCGGAAUUGUGACAGCCCGAGACCGAUGCUCCAGAAGAUUCCCCUCUUUUCCGUUGCUGACGUGUGUAUAUUUUUAUUUGUUGCAUCAUCACCGCGUCAUGCGCAUCAUCCAUGUUGCAUCAGCAUCCCGUUGCCGCCAGUUUUCAAAACUUGCAUCCGUUAUUAGUUGCCGGUUCUCUCCGCGUUCGUCGUUGACCGUCUCGAGCCCGACCACACUCGCACGCGCCCGCGUCAUCGUCAAAACAUUGUUUUUAAAAGUGUGUAUAAAACUUCCUCUGAUUGGAUUGAAACUUGGCAUGCGACUUUAUUUUAAUAUAGGUAGGCCGCCUCCCAAUUUUCAUCACAAUCGGAGUCCGUCUGGUACCCGAACAGUCGUCCGUAGCGGCACCGUCUUCGGUUAUUCGUCGGACGUUUUUUGGUGUUUUAGAAUCACGUUGCCGGGUGCCCGUUUUCCCUCUCAUCUCCGGCUAGCCUACUGUACACAUCCACGUACCCGUACCCGCGUUCGAGACUGUCUGAUUUAGAUCGCGCAGUUGAAACCGAGGCAAAAACAGCUAACCCUAGCCCAUUUUCUAUAAAUAGCAAGAUAGAUACGUAAUCCCCUUGUUUCCCAUGCCAAACCCUAAUCCUCUGAGCCUGAGCCUCCCUCCUCCUCUCAGCCGCAGACAGGGCCAACCCGAGCCCAUCGCCGGCCCUCCCCGGGCCUGGUUAUGCCGCCGGUCACCCGCAGCCGCCUAGAGCCGCCUUAGCCUCGCUCCCGCUCGCUGCCUGACCCGCGCCGCCUCCUUGAGCCGCCGCCGUCGACCACCGGCGCCCCCAGUCCGACCGGCCACCGGACAACCUGUCUCUUAUACACAUCUNCGCCGCGUGUGCUCCCGUCGCCUCUCAGAUCCGGUCCGGCAGCCCCGGAUCUGGCGCCCCCAACCCUCGCGCCGGCUACCUGAUCCCGCCGAGAUCUCGCCAGGUCCCUCGCCGUCCCUGCAGCCGGCGAGCCUCACUGCGCCGCCCGGUGGUUUGUUGCGUUGCCUCGCGCGAGGGAGACGAUCGGGCACUCGCUCUCCCGCGUGGGCCUGCUCCAGCACGACCGAAGACCCGAAGGUGACCCCCCCGUUGAGCCCUCUAUUUCUCGUCUGCGCGUAGUAUUGCUAUAUUGCGCCACUGGUUUCGGCCCGUUUAGAUUUUUAUUAUAUUUCUGUGAUUUAGUAUUUUCAGGAAAUAGAGUAAUUUCAAACGGCUAUAACUUUUAUUUCGUGCAUGGGUUCGCGACGUAUUAUAUAUGAAACUUGAUUAGUUUUUCGCGUAGAAAAUUAUUUUGCAACUUGCAUGUAUGUUUGGAGUGUUUGACCCACUGUUUGCCUAGAUUUACGUGUUGUACUAAUAGGUAUUUGUUGCGUAGAUAUUUUUGCGUGCAUACGUUUUCCUCAAAUACCAUAGAUAAAAUGUUCAUGUUGUUCGGGACCCUUUGCCAUGUAUUUUAGAGUAGUUGUUUGCAUUUUUGCAUGUAGGUUCCGUCGCUCGUUUGCUAUGUCGUGUUUAGGACAUAUUCUCGCAUAUAUGUGUGGCGUGAGUUUUAUUUUGCAACCCUAUAUAUUAUAUAUGUUUUCGGGGUAGAAAAAUCCAUAGAAUUUAACCGUGCAUUUAAUUUUGUCGUCCGAGUAAGUUAGUGUGCGUGAUAUUUUGCCAUGUUGCCCUCUUGUUUAUUUUGUGAGAUUUAUUCCGUGCGUGAUAUGCAUGAGUUGUGAACUAGAAAUAUGCUCUUGGAUAUGUAUGUUUGCCCCUGGUAUUUUUGGUUGAUUUAUAAAUCCAUGUUUAUGUGUUGUUUGCUUGUUGCCAACAGGCUAGAAAAUAGUGCUGAUUUGGAGAUGCUGAAAUAUUUCAAAGUCUGAGAUCUGUUAUAUUUUUCUUGUUGUCUUGCCAUGAGUUUUGCUAGUGAUCUACAGCUCCUUUGGGGUUGGUGCAAUGAAGUUAGUUGUAGUCCUUCAGAUUUUCUAGCAUGCUGUAAAUUUUCAUGUCAUUUGGUAUCUUGUAGCAUAUAGUUUUGCUGCUGUCAAUAUGCCUUCAGAUCGAAAACUGCACUGUCAAUAGUGUUAUUUUAACUAAGUCUGAAACUGUGUGUGAGAUGUCAUUUUGUGAGUUCUUUUCCUAGUGAUCCAUGCUUCCAUGCUAAUUGUAUUUAGUAGGGUGUUGUUGUGCAUCUUGACCACUACUGCCUCAUGUUUCGUUUGAGCAUUUUAGAAUUAUGUAGCUUGUUGUUUUGGGGUGUAGAAAAUGUCAUGUUGCUCUUUUGGCAGAUUGUACCUAGUUCUUGUUUUGCUUGUAAUCGUUGAACCGUGGCUCCGUUUUGAUCAUGUCAUAUAUGAAACUUGCUUAGAAUCUUGUGUAGGUUCAUAUUAUCUUCUGUUUGUAUGUUUUGGGAUGCUUGUGACUGUCAUUGCAUACAUGUUGCAUUCAUGCCAUCAUAUCUUGCGGUGUUCGUAUCUUUUAAACCGUAGCUCCGUUUGAGAUGUUCCAUAUAUGUAAAUGGACUAGGAAGAUGCGUAGAAUCACGUGAACCACUUUAUUUUGUUGUUUAAUAAUUAUUAAAACGUGUUAGUUCAGAUCUGGAUGGAAUUAUAAAUUAACGUAUGAGGUCAGUUCAGAGAUGUUAUAUGUCAUUUCUGACCUCAUUUAAAAUGCCUAGAUAGGUAGCUUAAUUACGCUUCACCUCUUGUCAUGUUUAACAAACAUUUAAUAUUGUUGUGUAAAUAAUCGUAAGUGAACUAAAUAAUUAAAGGUGGAGUUUCGUCAAUAUGCAAUUCGUUGUAUAUUGAAUUUCACUUAAUGUGUAGUGUUUCAUGGUGUGAAUUGCCAUGUCAUACCGUGCAAAAAUGAAACCGCUCAUGCAUCAUUUGUGUUGUGCAUCGCGUGGUGAAUAUCGUGUGUUGAUUCUUGUUUCCGGUUUGCUUCGUCUCGAUAGAGUUCCGCAAGCGUGUCGGAAAAUGAGGACCCGUUCGACUACGUCGGUUCGUCUGCUUCACGGAGUCAUUCUUCUUCCAAGCGGGACCUCAGGCAAGAUGACCAUUUCCCUAGAUAUCAUUACUAUCAUUGCCAUGCUAGUUGUUCGUUUCUGUCGCUAUGUCUCGUUGCCUACCACAUGUUAAAUAUCAGCCUCCCAACAUUGCCAUGAAAACCUUCAACCUGUUCACAACCUAGCAAACCACUGAUUGACUAUGUUACCGCUUGCUUAACCAUGUGUUAGCAUUCCUAGUUGUAGGUGCAGUUGUUUCCAUGUGAUAACAUGGGUUCCUUGUUAUAUCAUCCUCUUAAUUGCUAUUUAAUUUAAUGCACCUAUAUACUUGGUAAAAGGUGGAAGGCUCGGCCUUUCUAGCCACGUGUUUUGUUUCACUUUGCCGCCUUAGUUUCGGCUACCAGUGUUAUGUUCCAUAAAUGAGCGCUCCUAACAUGAUUGGGGUUGUUAUGGAGACCCCAUAGAUUCUUGUUUGGGAUAAAGCUCGUCUGGCAAGGCCCAACAUAAUAAUUCUGUUAAUACUGAAAAACAUAGGGAGUUAGCACUACCCGAGGAGUAAUUCAACAUAAUACAGGGAUGGCCAGUGCUGAUGGUGCUGGUCCAAAACAGAGUCGUGUGCAGGGCCAACCCGGGGCAACUCGGGUGAUUUCUAUCACGCCACUUUACGCUGCGCUCAUCCGAUUGUGCCCUCAGAACGAGAUAUGCGGCUCCUAUCGGGAUUGUCGGCACGUCGGGCGGCCUUGCUGGACUUGUUUUACAUUUAUCAAGCGUCUUGUGCGAUGGUUUCUGAGGAUGCUUUGAGCUAACUCGAGGUUGUGGUUUUCCAAUAGGAACCUGAAGAGAUCACGGGUUUCCCUGAUCGAGGUCAUUCCGUCGCAGCAUGUGGUAGUUUGUGAUGGACUAGUUGAAGCACCCCUGCAGGGUUAAAUCUUUCGAAAAGCCGUGCCCGCAGUUAUGUGGCAACGUGGAAACUUUGUUUAACAUCCGGUUCUAGAUAACUUGAAGUUAACUUAAAUAAAAUAUGCCAACUGAGUGCGUAACCGCAACUGUCUCCUUCGUGAACUCCUUCUACGACCGAGGACACGGUGGGGUUAUGUCUGACGUAAGUAGGUGUUCAGGAUCAUUUAUUUGAUCAUCAAUAGUUCACGUCCGUUAUGCGUAGACCAUUUCCUCUCUUAUUCUUGUACUCAUGAGUUAGCCACCUCAUAUAAAUGCUUAGUCGCUUGUUGCAGCCUCACCACUUAACCAUACCUCACUCACUAAGCUUUGCUAGUCUUGAUACCUUUGGAAAUGAAAUUGCUCAGUCCCUGUGGCUCACAGAUUACUACAACACCAGUUGCAGGUACAAGUAAAGGGUUACUUGACGCGAGCGCGUUGAUUGUUAAUUUGUAGUUUUUUUCUUCUUCUUCAUCGAUCUAGGAUGGGUUCCAGGCCGGCAGCCUGGGAUAGCAAGGAUGGACGUCGUUCUUUUAUCGUUUGUUUUCGUCCGUAGACGGACCCUGCUCUUCUUCAUGAUGAUUGUAUUUAUUGUACUGAUGUGACUCUGAUGUAGCUUGUGGCGAGUGUUAGCCAACUACUUAUACUCAUCUUUUCAGUACAUGUACUUGUAACGAUAUCCAUUCUCGCGAAACGACGAGAUGGGUUUCUAUCACUCUCGAGGCCCUCGCGCCAAAAUAUGGAUAUGACCGCACUUUGGGCGUUACAGGAAUUGUUCCGCUAGAGAGAAAAGGUGCUCAUGUCUAGGUUCCGCCUCCGAAUGACGGCUCUUCGUCCCGAAAGUAUCCUCCUAAUUUUUUCUAGGUCCAAACCCUUCAUAUAGGAGAAGAGGGGGGGGGGCACGAUCGCUUACGGGACCCACAAGGCAUUAGGGCGCACCCAGAGUGGUUGGUGCGCCAUGUUGCCUUGUGAGGGACAGGUGGACCCCUCUAGUACGUCUUGGCUCAUUUUUUUAUAUAUUUUAAAAAUAUUCUCCCUAAACUUUUAGGUCAUUUGAUGUUCAGUAAAAUAGGAGUGUCUAAUGUAGCAUUUUCAGGUUCAGAAUUCCAGCUGCUGGUAAUGUUCCUCUCCAUGUAAACCUAUUAAAAUCGCAGAGAAAAGGCACUAAAAUUGCAUCAUAAAGUGGAAUAAUGACAACAACAAUAUAAAUAACAAUGGGAAAUCAUGAUGCAAAAUAGACGCAUCACCCCUUGUUGCAACUAUUCACUAUGAAGGAAGAAGGGGCAUGUCACAUCAUCCGACUCCACAACUACACAGUUAGCCAAUAGUAAUAACCUUUCGUCCAAAGUUAGCAUACGUUCAAUGGUCAACUUCACCCAGCGUCAAGAAGAUUAUCAACAUAAAUAUGCAAAUAUGAUAUUAAAUCCUAAUACCAAGCAACCUAUUACACACUAAGGUUCAUCCAUACCCCGAGAAUAGCGGGUCUACUCACACAUGGAAACGGUAAUCAUCAUGAUAAUGGUACUGGAGUACAUGGAUGGACGAAUCAACCAAUACACCAAAGGGUCCACUAAUGUUUUUGAUGUUGCAGAUGAUAAGGAUUUGGAUAAUGAUGACAAUGGUUAUGAAGAUGGUGAUGAUGACUUCGUUCCCCUCGUGGUGAGAGGGAUCCCCUCCUUCUCCUAGUUGAUCCUUUCUAUGGAUGGGCUCUCGACGCUAGGGUUCUGCCUUUUAGAUGAGUUUCUGGAGUCUCAGCAUGUCUGAUUCUGGAUCCGCUUCAACAAGGUGAAAAUAGAUGAUCAUCGAGAGGUGUCGGCGCGCCAAACGACCAGUCAUGCGAGCGCGUGAUCACAUGGAACACCGUUUUUCGCUCGGAAAGCGUGACACCAACUGUUUCUUUGGCCUUCUUACUUGAUUUUUUUAUGGAAAAUGUAUAUCACCUUUAAUACAUGAUUCCAUUGUCAUUUUUUGAGAUUUUCUCCAUUAAAUGAAUGUUGCUCCAUAAGUCGUUAUCUAAGGGAUUAUCAACAAAAAAAAGUGUGCGAACACGGUAAAAUUCCACAAAGCAAAUAGGCAAAAGAAUAACGAUAAAAGAGUCUCAUAAUUUGGACGCAUCAGCCGACCGUUUAACUUUUUCCAUUUUCAUAUUAAAGAAAAAAAAGGAUGCAAUAACACAGUUUGAACCACAAAACCUCUCUAUUCACGGCAUAGAGAAGUAACCACUAGACCACCUCGAUUAACAUGUUAAUUAGCUUCUUUUCCUCCUUUUAUCCUCUUGAUUUUGCGUCAUUUUUUGUUUUCUUUGUUCUUGAAACGGUUUUGUUUGGUCUUUUUCUUUCAUUUUUCUUUUUGCUAAAUGCAUGAACUUAUUCUUCAAAUUUGCGAUAUUUUUACAAAAUCCAUGAACUUUUAUUCAAAAUUGAUGAACUUUUUUUCAAAAUCGAUGAAAUUUUUUCAAUCUAAACGAGCUUUCUUACAAAAAUUGACGGUUUUUUCAGAAUCAAUGAAUUAUUUAGAAUUGAUGAGUUUUUUAAAUUUGAUGAUUUUUUCAAUUGCCAUAAACUAUUUUCAAGUUUGAUGAACUAUUGUCAAUUUUGCUAAAAAAUUCUAUUUCGAUUUUUUCUUCAAAUUCAAUGAAGUUUUUUUUUCAUAUUUGAUUUUUUUUUAAUCUAUGAACUUAUUCCAAAAUUUCAUGAUUUGUUUUCCAGUUUUUUCUACGUGGUGCUUUCAUCAGCAGGUACUGGGCCUGCCCGCAACAUGUCCCUACGAGAGCCAGGACCUCGAAUCUCAAAACGUUGAAUAUGAGGCGAAAUAACUAAUUGAGGAGUACUCCUUUCAAAGAUCACUUCCAUCUAGCCAGGUUGUGAAAAGUAGUGCAUUAUAUGUGUGCCACUUGUCGCAACAUGAGAGUUUUUCUUUUUUUCGUAGAUCCUUAAUUUCAAAAUAUUUUAUCUCUUAAACCGUAUGUCCAAAUCUCAAACUAUUUUCAUCGUUGGAUUCCUCGCGUCGAGUUCUUUAAAACAAGAUCUCAUGUUAAUAGGUUUUAACAAACUUCUUUCCAUGGAAAAAAAGGAUAAAAAAACUGGACUCGAAAACCAUGCCUCCCGCGAAAGCUAAAAAACACACUUUUUUUCGUCCCUGAGAGGCAUGACUAUGCCUCUCGUGGAAGCAAACCUGCGCCUUUCGCGGAAGCAAAUCGUGUCUUUCACGAAAAAACAAAAAACAUGUUUUUCUCGUUUCCGAGAAACACGGCCGUGCCUCUCGCAAAAGCAAAUCCCUGCAUCUCGCAAAAGGAAAACCCUUCCUUUUGCAGAAAAAACAGAAAACACAUUUUUUUCCAAAAGGCAUGGCUGUGUCUCUUCCGAAACCAAAUUUGUGUCUCUCGCGAAAGAAAAACCGUACCUCUCAAAAAAGAAAAAGUAUACGUGUUUUUCCGGUUUCCGUGAGCAAGAAAAUUCGUGCUUUUGAAGAAAGAAAGAAAAUAAGAAAUAUGUUUUUUCAGAUAUUUUUUGUUUUUUUCAUCCAAAAGCUAAGAAACACCGGUGAAAAACCAAACAUCGAGAAAACCCAAAAAAACCCAUCUAAAAAGCCAAAAAUGUGUGAAAUAAAAAAUAAAAAUCUAAAGAAAAUAUUCAAGACGCGAUACAUGAAGAUAGCUAAAAAUGCGUCAGGUAUAGUUGCUCUCAGCUUCCAUAACCGAUGGCGAAAUUCAAUCAAGAUUGUAAUAAAGCCUCUAAAGGUCAACACGGCCAUAGUUUAUUUAUUUUUUCCUGACAGAGAGCCAUAAGGCCUUGGUUGCAUUGGCCCAGUAUUUACCUGACUCCUAUGGGAAAAAGAGGCGCUUGGCCCGAUCUCUUUUGUGCCCUAGCAGCUCGCCUCUCGUCUCCCUCGUUUCCUUUCCCCGGAACUCCCCAAUUCGGGCGCUCGAUUCCUGGCUUCGCCUCGAGCCGAUCUCACCUGUUGUUGAGGCAUGACGGCUUGCAAGCAGACCGCAUCCACGGGCACCGAUGUAACCAUGGACGAGGCCGACAGCAAGUAAGAAUCGAAAACUGAAUCUUGUUUCUGUGAUGCAAGAGACACCCUAGUUUCGGUGCAUCGAGCCGCCGAUCCAUAACCUUGGAUUCUUACGCAGCUCGGCAGCAAAGAGAGAUGGAGCGGAGGAGCGGAAGCCCUGGACCAAGUGCAGGAAGGGGAAGAAGGUCAAG